GAAGAGAAAAUUAAAGAAGAGAGAAGUUGCCCGUCGGCCAUGGAGAGCUCCUCCUCGUCUCUGUCGUUGAGCUCGUAUACCGGCAACAACAAGAGGGCCAGAGAGGCCGGCCAUGAAGCGGCCUCGUCCGCGGAGGCGGAGGCUGCCAAGAGGAUGCGGCCGGAGGACCUGCUGGACCUGCUCGACGACGACGCCGACGCCGCGGCGGCCGGCGACCUUGCCUCCGUCAUGCGGAGCCUGGAGGAGGAGGAUAUGCUCCGGCGACGUGACCCCGCCGCAGCCGGAGCUCGGGUUCCUGCUCGAGGCCUCGGACGACGAGCUCGGCCUGCCGCCGGCCGCCGGGGCCUCCUCGUCGUCGGAUGAGUGCCGGGGGCUGGGAGCCCGGAGGAGCCCACCGGCGUCUUCGUGGACCAGAUAUGGGGCUUCGAGGAUGAGAUUGACGGCGUAUACGCCUUCGGCGGCGUCACCUCCUCGCCGGAGGCCGCCGCCGCGGCUGCAGCGGCCGCGGCAGAGUGGGGCGACGACGCCUUCGACGCCGGCCUGUUCGGCUUCGGCGACGAGUCCUUCGGACCGUCCGAUCUCGCCGUUCUCCGCCAGGAGACCAUGCCCGCCGUUUGAUCAGCCAUCAGUGAAUGGAUUAGCCUUUUCUUUUUUACCUUUGGCUGACCUUAGCGUUACCCUUUUUUUAACCUUUUGGGGGUGUAAAGCUUCUAGAUGAUGCAAGAUGAACAAACUGUGAGCAAGAAACCUGGAAAAUGCGUUGCUUCGAACGAAUGAUGUAGAAAGAAAGAAAAAACAUGUCGAGAAAAAAAUAUAUGUCAAGAGGUUCCGGAAGAAAUGUUUAUGUUCUUGGAAUAAUUAUUUUUGUUUAGAUGAAAGGAAAUAGUAGUAUAAUGUGAAUGCGUUUACGAGUCAAAAGCAGAUGCGGAUUUAUGGCCGUUGAUGGAAAUGUUUGAAAUGAUACGCUGCCUGCUUGUUGACCUAACCAAAUGACAUGACAAACCUAAAUAGCGAGGAAAAAAAAACAUAUGACAUUCAACUGCCCAGCACGAUGGAUUGGAAAAUCAGAAGCUUCUAGUCGGACUCAUGUAUCUUUUAAUUUUUAAAAGGAUAGGCUCACAAUUCUAAGGAAAAAGAAAAUAAAGAAUGUUUUUAUAAAAUGUGGAUAAUUAUAUUCGAGCCCUUGUUAGGGUAUACAUGCCUAAUUUGCCCCUAGUUUUUGAAAACCCGCAAGGCAUGCGCGUGUACCUAUGUCGUAAAUUUAAGUUAUAUAAAAUAUAUUAUUUAACAUAAAAAUUAUAUCAUUAGAAAAUAAAACAUUAAAGUUUAAUGAUAUAUUUUUUGUACUUCCUCCGUUUCAGUUUAUAAGGCGUGCACGUGUAUCUAGGUCGUCAAUUUGACCAACUUAAUAAGAGACAUAUAUUACAAAAAAUAUAUCAUUAGAAACUUUAGAUGUUCUAUUUUUUAAUGAUAUAAUUUUUAUGUUAAACAAUAUAUUUUAUAUAAGUCAAAUUGACGACCUAGAUACACGUGCACGCCUUAUAAACUGUGAUGGAGGGUGUAAUACAUGUCUCUCAUUAAGUUAAUCAAAUUGACGACCUACAUACACGUGCCGGACUUAUAAACUGAAACGGAGGGAGUAUGAUUUUGGUCAAUCACCGGUUUGACCGCCGCUUUUAAAACACCAUAAUAAAUUCAUAUUAAUCUGGAAACAUGCGAUUAAGACAUCAAAAGUUUAAUAGAAAUAUCAUCUAUGUGUACAUGUCAUUUACAUUAUGACAAGAUUGUUGUUCAUAACAUUUUAGGUCUGAUAAUAUUAAUAACCUCGUGUGGUUUGGAAAAAGGAUACUUGGAUGUGAGUUGGUUGGAACAGAUAAUUCGGACGGCAACGGUUGACCUGUAAAACAAGAGCAUCUGACAAGAUGGGUGGGAUUUUUUCUGCACGUAUCUAUACAACCCGUAUAAUACAAGCAACCUGCAAGGUGUAACAACUAGGAGUAUCAUCCUGUCCGGAAAAUAAUAAUAUCAUCUCAUUCAUAUUCAGAUUUGCCGUCCCCCUCCAUAAACAAACAGUACGGACGCAUUGAGCUUGUGACGAAACUCCCGUGGAAACAUGUUGUGUCAAAGUGUCUGGAAAUAAAAAAAGUGCACAUAACUGGUUGAGCUGGUAGUAAUGAAAAGUAUCGAGACAGCCUGACAAGAGAACACGGAUCGUAUUUCUCGCCGGAGCGAGCUGGUACUCCGACGGCUGAUUUUGUCAACGGCGCUUGGAAAACGAGUUUGCACGACAGCGGGAGAUUGACCUUGCUUAGUUUUCUCUUCCGUUUUUUCCAUGCCAUCAACGCACUGGGCAUGACGUGUUGCCUCUACGUCCUCCCUCUCUCGGGUCUCUUUCGGGGCUGCCCUCUCCCAUCACAUGUCACCGUCUGAUCGUGCAAUAAUGUUAAUAAUGUCGGGUAUACCCAAGAUCUCGUAUGAGCUAAGCUAGGGAUAUGGGAUCAGAUUUUGCAGUGGGUAGUACUAGCUCGCUCGACCGCUGCGAGGUGAGUACAAAGGCUGCAAUCAGACCGGCAGACGUUUGAUGGAUGGAUGGGCAGAGAUUCCCUGUGAGAAACGAAAGACAGAUCUAGCCCCUGCUGGCUAUGUAUGGAAGGCCGGCGAGCCACGAUUUUUGCUUCCGGAGAAAGAAGGGAAAGGCGACGUGCGAAUGAGUAAAGCAGCGUGAUUCUUGUGCCACGGGACUCGUGACGCGGCGCAUGUGGACGGUCUUGGCUUUCGCUGGUUCCACGCACGCAACGGCCGCCGCCGCGGUGACCUUCUCGGCUUCUCCCCUGCGACGCACCAAAGGUCGCCGCACCCCCCGGCGGCGCCAACCAAACGGGCCGUGAACAUCAUCAUCUUCUCCUUUUCUUUGUUUAUACUAGUACUAUAGGAGAACCCAUAGCACGUUCGGCUGGCUGCUGCUGGUGGUGAUCACGCUCACGGCUCACGCAUGAUGCCCCGGGGAGCUGUGAUUAGCCACCUCCACCCCGGCCGGCGCUGUUUCGUCUCUGUCGGUUGCGUUGGUCACACGUACUAGUACGAGAGUUCUCGGCUGCUAGGAGGUGGCGAUCGGUGCAUGUGCUGCUGUUCGUUCGAGCGGUAGUGCAGCUGGUGCCGGCACGGUCUGUUGGGGCAGGUGGUUGGAUCGGAUCGCCCGAGUCCACCACACGCCCUGCGUCCGGCCGACCGCCUGCAAACGCAAGUAAACAUCGGAGCGUAAUAUAAUGGCCACCCAUAGGGGCAGAAGAUCUGAAUCUGCAUCGGGCUUGGGCCCGUGAUCUCACCAGAGGUUAGUUAACUUUGAACUGGUUGCUCCACGACCACGAGUGGCACAGGGGCCGACACAGGGCGUGGCACUGGCACAUGGGCAUGGGGUGUGCCCGCGCUUGUGGUUGGAUCCGAAUUGAACCACCGAUCGGUUGAUUGAUCGAUGCCAACAACGUAGUAGCUGGCCUUCAGGGUCGGGCGGGCAGGUCGGCAGACCGGACGUCGGCCGAGCUUUGAUGCGCUUCGUUCCAAUGCUGGACUCUGUCCGCUGGUUUAGCUGUCUGAAUAUCAUCCACUGUGUUGUUGUGCUCAUAGGUGCAACGAGCGAAUAUCAUUUUAUUUUUUGGCCACAGCUCCCACAAAUGUCAUUGCAUGAUGAAAGUUUGCAAACGAUCAAACUAAUUGUCAGUGUUUGUUAAAAAGAGAUGAAAUUGUUUUGAUUUUGUAUGUUGUUGUUCACCCGAGUUUAGAGCACUUCGAUGGUUCCGUACGUAUCUAUAUGAAUAGUGUAAAAUUAGAAGAAAAAAAUUGAUUUUUUGCUGAGUCAAACUUGGUCGCCUGGUCUACUUACAUGUGAAUUUUCGGAAAGAAAUGACACCCAUGGUAUACUCAUAGCUUAUUAUCCCCAAAAAAGGAUUUUAUUUUAAUGUGCUUCUGUUUUUUUUUCUUUUUUGCCUAGAGUACUACAUGUGUCAUUUUGUGUGUGUGUGUGUGUGCAAAAUGUUAUUAUUACCGAGUGUUUCACCAACAUGAUAUCGAAAAUGGUUAGCAAAAGCAGAAGUCCUUUUUUACUUCCGAGCUCAAAUGCUUACUUGUAAACAGUAAAAUCAAAAAAAUAGUAAAAUAAUUCAAACAAUUCUUUAAUUUUUUAUGAUAAACUUUUACAAAUGUUUUACAUGUGUACCAAAAUUCAGCGCGAAAUAACAUUCGUAGAAGUUGCAGCGAAAAAAGCAAAAUCAAUAGUCCAAAAUGUAUCAAAAACUAGCAUUUCAGCGAUUUUGUUUUUUUGUCACGACUUCCACAAAUGUAAUUUCGAGCUGAAAUUUUAUAAGCAUACAAAACAUUUGUCAGAGUUUACCACAAAACGAGUUCAGCAUUUUUAAAAUGUUCUUAAUAUUUUUUAAGAUUUUUACUAUUUAUGAGGGGCAUAUGAGCUCGGAAGAAAAACUCCAUAUCCUUAGCAAAAGCCUCUACCCAUUGUGUUCUAACUGUAGACACUAUCGGUACACGGAAGGGUCAUUUGGAUACUGAUAUUGUAGAGAAACAUGACUGUUGGUAUAAUUACCUAAAACUUAUUUGAAUUCUUUAAACUCUGAACAUGUAUAACUGUUUUUAUGAAAAGACCCUGAAAAGACGUGGAUGUCGCAUAGAGGGGGUGAAUAGACGCUUUAAAAUAAUUACGAUUUAGGUUUGAACGAAUGCGGAAUAAAACUAGCGAUUAAUUUAUCAAGCACAAAACCUAUAACAACUAGGCUCACCUAUGUGCACCAACAACUUAUGAUAAGCAAGAUAAACAACUAAGUGAUAGCAAGAUACUCCCUCCGUUCCUAAAUAUAAGUCCUUUUAGAGAUUGUGUUAUAAACUACAUAUGGAUGUAUAUAGACAUAUUUUAGAUUGUACAUUCACUCAUUUUGCUCCGUAUGUAGUCUCCUAGUGAAAUCUCUAAAAGGUCAUAUAUUUUGGAACGGAGGAAGUGUAUGACAAUAAACAAUAUGGCUAUCAUAAAGUAAAUUGCAUAAGUAAAGGGUUUGGGUAAGAGAUAACCGAGGCUUUACACCACAACGAUUGAGCUCCGAGACACCACCAAGCUUCUCGGACGCCAAAGCAUCCACGACGAACAAUCUCUAGGGUACUAAGUACCAAAGGGUAAUAAGCUUCUCAACUUCUCACUUCCACGUAUCACCCUGGAGAACUCAAACCGAUGCAACUAACGCAAUGGCAAGAACACACGAAGUGGUCAAUCCCCUCACACUUAAAUCCCUCCACAACAACAAAAGCUAUGGAGAAAUAUGAGAGGAAUAACAAGUAGCUCACAAAGAACUCCAAGAUAUAGAUCCAAGGGGUUCCCCUCACAUAGAGGAGAAAGUGAUUGGUGGAGAUGUGGAUCUAGAUCUCCUCUCUCUUUUCCCUCAAAAACUAGCAAGAAUCAUUGAAGGGAUUGAGAGUUAGCAAGCUCUAAGAAGGUCAACAAUGGGGGAAGAACAUGAGCUCAACGGGUAGAUCAGUCCAAGGGGGAAGAAGACCCCCUUUAUAUAAUGGGGGAAGAAAUCAGACCGUUACCCCCACUUACAGCCCGAGCACAGCGGUACUACCGCUAGCCCUGGCGGUACUACCGCUAACCCCUGGCGGUACUACCUCUAGCCCUGGCGGUACUACCUCUAGAGAAAGUCUUCGCAAAAAAGUCCGACAAAGAACAACCGCUCACAGAGAGGUACUACCGUCCCGAAGCGGUACUACUGCCAACCCGGAGCGGUACUACCGCUCCUAGAGCGUUACUACCGCUCCUAGAGCGUUACUACCGCUAGGGAGUGGUAGUAAGAAAUUACUACCGCUCCGGGGGCAGUACUACAACUCCGGGGGUGGUACUACCGUUGGAUACUGAAUCUGCUCUAACUUUCGCAUACGGACUCCGAUUUCAACGAAACCAAGUUUGUUGGAAAGAUAACGACAUGGGCUAACACAAUCUUGAUAGAAAUACCAAUAAGAAGCAAGUGAGAAAAGGCCCAUAAGAAAAUGCUGAGAACCCUUCUUCGAAUAAGACCGGUAAAAACUCCCAACAUUGAAAAAAUCAUAGAAGAUGCAUAUGGACUCCGUUUUCGAUGAACUCGAGCUUGUCAUGAAGAUCACCAUAAACUCUAAAACUCAUAAAGAGAAACACCAAACAAGAACCAAGAAGUAUGAUGCAAGGAUGCAAAUGGUUUGAGCUCUCAACGAACGAUACGAUCAAGCUACUCACUUGAGAGCCCCCAUUGAUAGUACAACAAUCUAUCCUAAAACAGAAAACCUAUCAAGGGCAAACCUAUACCUUGUACCUCGUCCUCUUGAGCUAGAUGAUGAUCUUGGCUUCCUCAAGAUGGACCACCUUUCUUGAUUGCGUUGGCUUGAUGAAGACUAGUUGAUUGCUCCCCCAUACUCACUAUGGGUGAGCCACUCUUCAGCAUAUCUUCACAAGUCCAUUGCCACCACAAUGGACGGCAAGCUUUAAGCAUGAUAUAUUCGUGCUAAUCCACUUGAACUUGCACACCGCAAUCUAGAUGACGAUCACCACUUGACGUCAUCCUUCCUGGGUUGUAUGAGAUCUUCCUUUUGACGCAAGCCCAUGGAAACACACCUAACCCCCACAUAGAACUCUCACGAAGACCAUGGGUUAAUACACAAACACGUAAUGGACAAUGCUUAUCAUACCAUGGGAUCACUUGAUUCCUCUCGGUACAUCUUAACUUAAGGCAACCAUUAGUCCAUAGAAAUUGUCAUCAAUUACCAAAAUCACAUAUGAAGAUAUAUGCUCUAACAGACCCAAACCCUAGUUUUCAAAAUUAUUCAAAAUAGAAUGUUUUUCAAGGGUACUUUGUUUGAUUUGACCUUGUGUUUUUGCCGAUUUUCUCCUCUCCACUAGCACAUAUUCAUUGAGUAUAGAGAAACCUUGUAUUGUAUUUUUUAUCAUUUUCAAUUCCGAGACCUUGAGCACUAGUGCCCGACCCGCGACAGGUGACUUAGGGUUCCGCCCUCCCCCUCGAGCCGCCGUCGACCUUCGGUUAGGCUCCCCUACCCCCUCCCACCAUCCACCUUCGCGCCGCCUCCCCGGGACGGUAGCCGGGGCGACGCUCAGACUCCUCUCCCGUGGGCAUGCUCCUGCUCCAUCUCACCACCGCCGCCGCUGGCCCGGGUGGUGCCGUCGGCGGCGGCCUUCCUGUCCCUGCGUGUGCGUCCCCCUUCCCGGGGAACGGGACGACGACGGUGCAACUCGGCUUGGCUGCGGUCUGGUGACCUGGUGGUGGUGGCCGGCGGCGGGUGAGGUGGCGACGCUGCUCCUUGGCGGCAGGGCGGCGCAGUGGUGCGGGGUGGCUCGCGGCGCGCCCCCGGUGCAGAUCUGGGCCCAGCAGGCCACAUCUGGGUCCUAGCGGGCGGGCACCCAGCGUGGCUACGUUGUGUUCUACAUGAUGAUGAGGAGCAGCAGCUUGGAUGGGGGCGGCGCCAUCGACGGCGUGCCUGUUGCAGCGUGAUGGUGGGAGCUUUACGGAGGGGGCAGGGGUCCCUGCCGGGCAUGUGGGCCUACGGGCCUGGUAUGCUCCUGCUAUUGUGUCCGACCGGCUGCCGUCGUUGACGAUGGAGGUUGAGCCCUCCCGCGUGCCGACGGUGCUGCGGGUCCUAGUCCCGACUCCUCUUCAUCGCUGUGCAGGUCUCUCCUUACGGUGUCGUAGUGAAACGGCGCAGGGGCCUCAAGACCGUGUUGGUGCAGGGUAUAGGUCGGUUUGGUGUCAGGCUGCGGAGCGCCCAAGGUGCAGGUUGAGAUUGGGGAAACCCUUAUCGUCCCGGCCGACACUAACACGGUGACGCCUCUGGGUGUCGCCGAACUUUCCUGGAGGGCGUCGGGGCUACCCUUCCUCGCGCCUCGUCGCGUACCGAGGGAAACCCUUGGCAGCAGCGUCAUCAUCAUCACAUUCCUUCUUGAAGGUGUUAAUGGGUACCUGCGCUUUGGAGUCGUGGAGCUUGGUGGGAGACUCUUGAUGGGCGCAACGGUCGCGAGUCUCUUGCGUUUUUUGUCGAUCCGUCGAUGUCAGCAUUUGUUUCUUUUGUAUUUUCUUUUUCAUUUGCUUUUAAACGUGAAUGUGGUGUUUCCGUCCGAGCACCUAUCGUCGGAUGUUCUGGCUGGUUGCUUUGUAAUACAAAGCGGGAAAAAUCCUUUUUCGUCCUAAUGUUUGAUGAUUUUCAAGCCUUAUAUUCAGAAACCUUGUAUUUAUUUUGUUUGCUCUAACCUUGGUUUUUUGCCGGUUUUCUCCUUUUUCGCUAGCACGUAUUCAUUGAGGAUAGAGCAACCUUAUAUUCUUCGUAAUUUUCAGGCAUUUUGUUAGUUCACGAUGGCAGUUGAUGAUUUAUAUAAAAAAAAUCUGAAAUAAACUCUUCACGCUUCUAAACCACAUUCUUACAUUCUAUGAAGAAAAUGAUUCGACCGAUUUUGCGCAUGCUUUCCCUUUUAGCAUUUCACAUGUUCUCCGACAAGUCCAGCCAGUGCACACUAUACCUUUCUUAUAUUUUUAGAUCGGUACAGUACUGACAGAGUACCUACCCAAGCCUGGAGGACCGUGUUCCACGAUCGCUAUUACCGCUACACAGUUGUUUACUCUUCGGCCUUGUACCCUCCUACAGGGGAAGCAUUACAGUACUGGCUACUGGGGUCUUCCCCGAUCCCUUUGGCAAAGGCAUCCGAUGCGGCGCGCAAGUAGAUAGAUAGAUGCUCGCACGCGCGCCAUGCCAUGCAUGGCUAUUGGCUGGCUCCUCACCGACGGCAACAAGCAGCCUGCCGUGCCGAACCUUGCAAGCUCCAUUCUCCAUCAUCACGUACGGAUACGGCCGGCCUUGCUGCGAAAACGACUCAUCACCGGCGGCCUUUCGAGGGCCAACUCUGCCGCGCGACCCAUCGCGUCCGGUCCCGUCUGUUUAAGAUAAAAGAAACAAAUCGGUCAGUCCAACACGAAACGGUCCGGAUCUAUAUUAUCCGUUUUGUGUCCGAAACGAUCCAUUUCGAGCGCAAACUUGCGCGGGAUUUGGAUCACAACGUACAACAAACGGAUGCGCGCUCGUCCACGUCGGAGCCGCGUGGCAGGCGGCCACCUACUUCCCACCCGCCCACAUCAAUGCGCACGAGCGGCCGGACCCGUCUGUCAUUCGUCCAGGGACCGGUCGUCGUCCACACUUUUCACUACACCCCGCGGCCUCCUCGAAACCCGACACCCAAACCCUAGCCUCGAACUCGCCGGCCGGCCGCCUCGCAGCCAUGGGGCUCUCGAACUACGGCCGCAAGGGGAAGCACGACCGCGAGGCUGGCUCCUCGUCGGGACACCGCCCCGGCUCAAUGAAGGAGGAGGCGGCAUCACCANACUGGGAGACGAGGUCACCGGUACCGUGGAGCGACAUCCACCUCCCCAACAACUGGCACCUCUCCGCCGACCGGGUCCCGAUCCCGUCGGUGUCGACGAGCGACCGUGCGCGCCGCGACGAGAUCGAGCGCCGCCGCGUCCUCCCCGACGACCUGUACUACGGCGACAGGUACGCCGCCGACUCCACCCUUUGGGACACGUGGCUCAGGGACGAGCACGACUUGCGGCGCGCCUCGUACUUCGCCGGCACGGUGUCGGGGCCGCGGCGGGCACGGGAGGUGCGCGGGCGUACACGGGUGCGCGGCCUCACGCCCAUGUCGUCGCCUUUCCCGUCUCCGUCACCACCUCCACCUCCUCACAUGGCAACGCAGGAGGAGGACCGGCUCAUGCAGCGUGUCAUGGAGGACUCCAAGAUCACGCAUGAUGAACGCAAAAUGGCCGGGCCUAGAGGACGCGAUGGCCCUCUCUGCGGCCGGCGACCUCGCCAUCCCCGAGCUGAUGGAGGACGCCCCGGUGGCCGCGUUCCCUACGGAUCUGGAUGGCCAGCAGUGCAGCUGGUCGUGCACAGCGCCGAAGAUGAUUCGAUGGUGAACUGGUGCCCCACACCGCCGCGGUCACCGGAGCGGGACGCCUCGCCACGGGAGGAGGUGCUGCAGGCACCUGUCAGCUUCCAGCCCGCCCCCGCGCAACACGGACCGCGGGCCCACCUCUGGACGCCGCCGGGCUACGUCGACCUCGUCAGCGACGACGACGACACCGACGGCCACUGAAGACGGCCACGGCCACGGGAGACGUUUUUUAUUUUUAUUUUUAUGUUAAUUAUGUGAAGGAUGGUGAAACUGAGCCGUAUUGUGGCGUUACCCUUAAUCUUAUGUUUUAAGAUUUUUUUAACUGCGUUUAUUUAUUUUUUAUUUAAGUUUUGCUAUUUUUUAAUCACGUCCAAUACAGACAUAAUUUGGGAUGCGACCACGCGGUGGGCGCACACACAAUCCAACAGACAGAAGGGGACAUAAACGAACCCAUUGCCAUUCCAAAAAGACCAAAUUCGAUCAAACCGGACGUCCGUUUAGGCUCGCGCCGUGGAGUUGGAUUGAGACCCUACACCAUCGAUCGUGGUUCGAGCUGUGUUUUCCAGAUGUGCACGCGGCCGGCUCGACUGCACAGUGCCCGUCGUGUGUGUGGGUUGUGCUGCGUGCAGGCAGGAGAGACGCCGCGCGCCGGCCGUCGAGAUCGUGCCUCCCCGCACGCGCGCGCGCGCUCUCGGUUGUCGCUGCAUGCCGACGGUGCGCUCGCGCCAGCUGACGGGAGGUAGAUGGGACAUGCAGCUCCUAUGCGCGUGCGUGGAGUUUGAUGUAAGCCGCUGCCCUGGUCGAGUCGUUGACGCCAUUUCGUAGCUUGGCGUGUCAUGCAUGGCCUCCGUGCGUGCGCGCCCGAUGCGAGUUUGAUUAGCGUGAUCACAGGAUUAUGAUUCAUGUCACCGUCGCUUCGAAACUGAUGGCGCGCGCGCAAGCCAUGUUCUCUACAGCAUCGGUGUCAGGGUCACCACCAUGACAGAUGCCCUGCCCAUCUUCUUUCGAGAUCUAGUACGGUACGGUAAUAGUAUCAUGGCACGCCUAGCAUUUAUCACAAACGGAAAUCGUAAGUAUUCCACGGCCAGCCGCCGGAUGACACCGAGGGCCCUCUGUCACGUCCACAGCCAGCCGUCACGUGUGCCGACCACAUGGUCAAAUCCGAGCCGUUCAUUCCGAAAUGAAUGGUCGAUAUCUAUUCCGACGAUUAGCCUCUCUCCCCCUAUCACUGCUUCUUUUUCUCUGCCCUGCUCCUGACGGUACGUUCUUUGUUGAAAUCGCUCGUCAAUGCUUGCCGGCGUGCCGAUUCAAGGAGCUACUCGCACCAUUGAUGCAAACCGCCUAAGUUAUGUGUUCUCUCUCCAAGCAUUUUCGUUCAAUUUAACGUCGCACGUACUAGUAUGAGAGCACAAAGGUUUAUCGAGGGGUGGGGGUGCGCGUUCUCCCGACUCUCUCUAUGGCAAUGGGGGAAAGAAAGGGAGGUGGCAGAGCCUCUUGUCGAAGCGGGUCCACGGCCCCACCCGAAUAAAAGUUGCAGGACCGGGGGGAGGGGGUGGGGGUGGGGGUGCCACGGCUGCUUCGCGUGACAACAUGCCACCGAUCAACGACACCACCCAUCGACGAUCCACUAUGUAGUAGUUAUCACAUAAGUUAUGAUUCGAUACCUACUGUCAUUUAUUCGAUGCCUACUGUCAUUUAUAUUGUGAGAUUGGUGUUGCUAUGCUUAAUGAUUGUCACUAGGACCUAGAUGAUAUGAUUUCAUAUUUGAGCCCUUUUUUCGUGAACAUCGACGAGUUUGGAUCUUACCUGCAAGUUGUAUGCACCUGUUGUAGUUUUUCAUCAAAGACCCCGAAGUGACAGUAAUCGGGAUACCAAUGAGCAGGACUACAACCUGAGGAUUGCAUAUAUUCAUUGAGUGUUAAUGACUUCAUCAGAUGCUUUAUCAAAUGAGUACAUUAAUUAUUCUUAAUUUCCAAUAGGAUCUCGCUGGAAUGGAAGGGUAGGACAAACUAUAAUGUGCAAGUUAUUAUUAUAUAUAUGCACGUGCAACUACAUAUGAAAUACUCCCUCCGUCCCAAAAUAAAUGACUUAACUCUACACUAACUUUAGUAAAAAAUUGAGUCAUUUUUGAGUCACUUAAUUUGGGACGGAGGGAGUACUUGCCUACGUAAGUUGAAGAAUAUGUGGUAGGUUAUUAUUCUCUAUGUUUAUGCUAUUACAUGUUUGAUUCAAUCUAUGCAACGUCUCAUUAUCCAUUCUCAUGCCUACAUUUCAUACUAUUGCUCUUUUUAAAAAGUACUUUUUAUUUCUUAUUUGUUGGGUAUUACUUCUAUUGUUAGUCCAUUGGAAUCAAAUAAUGAACACUUCAUCACAUUAGCUACUGAUAAAUCCCUUUGAGGAAGUACUUUGUUUUUAGGUGUGGCUGAAUUGAUAACUCAACUACUAAAACUUAUAAGUAUUGUUGUCUCCCUUCAUUUCGAAUCAAUAAAUUUAGAUUAUGAUAUUUCUCAUUGAAGACUCUUGUGAUGCUCCAUACUUGUGUGUUGUCAAUCACCCGUUUCUAAAUUGCUUCAGGCCAUGUCCUUAGGAGAUAAGCUUCCAGACAAUAAAAUGCAUCUUAUUAGUAUCAAGUUUGGAUCUGAACUAGUACUAUUAAUCGUAUCAAGUUAGGAUGUCACACAUUGUCGUUAGUUUUUAAAUUUCACAUCUGAAUGUUCCAAUAUUUCAGGAGAAAACUUCAGAAAACAAAACAAUGCACCAGAUGGACUAACCUCAAAGUUUAAAGAGCCGCGUGAACACUUCUCACAAUGUGAAAACUUAUGACCACUGAGUGUACUUUGACCUAGGACACAAACCUCGCAAGGGAUGUCAAUGAGUCACCACGUACUCAUCAUAUUAGAGGGAAGAAGGCCAGGAGCAAACAAUAAUUAAAUUGUGGAAUCACAUACGAGUACAAAAUAAACUUGACAUCCUCAUUUUCCAUUGACACUGUCAAGUUGGGUCAAAGUAUAGAAUGUCAAUCCAUAAGGUAGAGGCCAUUGAGAAGUUAAAUCAAUACACCGCGGGUUCUCAUGUUCUAGUUGCUUUGGUCACAACGAGCACAACACCGCGGGAAUAGAGUCUUGAGGCUUUUACUAAGUGUGACGUUGCCCCCGGCAUCCAGCAUGAAGAUACCGUCAGAAAGGACAUGAAAACCUAACAUAAAGUAAACUUAAAGAAUACUCCAACAUUGAUCCAUGGUUCUCCCUGCCGCCCAGUCCCAAAUAAUAAAGGGAUAAGUAUAUUUUUCGUCCUCGAAUUCUGGCGAUAGUAUAGGAAUCGUCCCUCAACUCCGAAACCGGUAAAACUCAGUCCCUCAACUAUUUAAACCGGAUACUUUUCGUCCCUCGCGGCACUUUAAGUGGUUUUGGUAUGACGUGGACCCGGUUUUGAUUAAAACUGUACACGUGGAUUGUUUUGACCGUCAUCACUUAAGUGUCCCCAAUCUCUCUCUCUCUCCCGUGCAUUCUCUCGAUCCCCAUCUCACACACGAACCCUAAACCUAGCAGCGGCGGCGGCGGCGGCGAAUCGCUCAUGGUCUGCGGCGGCGGCGGUUGCGGCGGCCGGCGGUGAGNCUCACCGCCGGCCGCCGCAACCGCCGCCGCCGCAGACCAUGGGCGAUUCGCUGCCGCCGCCGCCGCUGCUAGGUUUGGGGUUCGUGUGUGAGAUGGGAUCGAGAGAAUGCACGCGAGAGAGAGAGAGAGAUUGGGGACACUUAAGUGACAUGGCGGUCAAAACAAUCCACGUGUACAGUUUUAGUCAAAACCGGGUCCACGUCAUACCAAAACCACUUAAAGUGCCGCGAAGGGACGAAAAGUAUCCGGUUUAAAUAGUUGAGGGACUGAGUUUUACCGGUUUCGGAGUUGAGGGACGAUUCCUAUACUAUCGCCAGAAUUCGAGGACGAAAAAUAUACUUAUCCAAAUAAUAAACCACUGGAGGAGAGGGAAACCAAUAGAAACAGUCACCGGCGACUAGGCUUUUCUUGUUCAAACUGUCGAUCCUAACAUUAUUUUUCUUCUAAAUUACUAGUGAUCAUCUUUUAACUUGAAAUACGUUAGAGAAAAGAACUACUUAAGCCUCAUGAUCUUGCACGGACAAGAUGGAGAAACAGUAAAUAAAUACACGAAAACAAACACAUGUUAAUUCAACUGCCGUCUUUUUGGUUGAAACCACAUAGUAACGUUGCUCUGACAGCUUCCUUGAAAAGAACAUGUUUGUCUAAAUCAAGCAUGCAUUAUUUAUCCGCCAACAAGCAUCUGCGACCAAACCAGGGGUGUGAAAGAUGACCCCUCCCAUCGCACAACUAACUGUGGAGUCUGAACCAGCAACAACAAUGAGUCAAACAAAUCAAAUGAGUUACUCAAUUAAAACUGACCACGUCCAUCAACGAAGCCUCCACACACACACGCGUACAUAAGUCUUGUUUAUCACGAUCAGUUCAAGGUGAUGCCUAGAGCUUGGAAAAAGAGACUGCAAAGUAAUUGGCCAUGCGGCUAUCUCUUUCGCGUAUAGAACUAUUGAAGUAGCAGUGUUCCUUCCAAGUCGGAAUAGACGUGAUCUUGCACGUCACACGCUGCUAAACAUGCCCGGUCUAUGUAUCCAUCGGCUGCGUGCGCCCAAUUAAGCAGCCACCAAGUAGUACGUACGUACCUCCACAUACUAACCCAUCAGCGUUAGGAAGUUGACACAAGAAAUUUAACAAGUUGUGGUAGCUUUUGUACCAUAUUGACAAUGCAACUUCAACGUCGACGGCUUCGUCUCCUCUACAAACUUGUUAAUCAUCCGUAGAAUAAACGCCACCUUGAGAACGAUGGGUACUCCUAUUGGUUGUGGAUGUGAGGUCAAGGGCAGUCACAUUUGAAUGCAGCAAGCAAGUUGACAUAUUUGAUCGACGGAUGAAUUGACCGUUGCGUCCAACAUCUCCUGGUCCAAAGACGUAAUAUUCCACCAUUUCUCUUUUCCUUCCGGCCCUUGGUACGACCGAUCGACCAUACAAAUUAGCCUUGGAAUUGACUAUUCUCAUCCUUUUGUGAAGCUAGAGACAUGCCAAGUGCCGGCAUCUACUCCAGUGCCGCUGCCUUCUUUUGCCCCCAAUAAUUGGAGCACUGACGUGGACGGGCUCUGGUAGUGCAUUUUAUGGUAUAUUUUUUUUGAAAUGAAGGCUUGACCUCUGCAUCAAUCGAUGCAUGCAGCCAUAUUAUUAAAAAAAACAAAGUAUAAUCCAAGUUCCAAAACAAAUUGCAUCUCGCAAUGUAGAAAAUAAAAAAUAAAAGAGCGAACUGCCACAUCCGACGAAAAUGAUAAUAGACUCCGAUGCCUAUACACCUAGUCUAUUGCUAACAUGCCAUCCAAACCGGUUGAAGAUAACCCGUGCGGCCAUCUCCCAUCGGUUGCACCCAAUAUCCAUAAGCUUCCUGGAGUCCACAUGACUGAGUAAUGACCACGUAUGGAUCCAAUAAGUUGCUCUGUAAAUGACCUGCAAAAAGUUAUUGAAUUUGUUGCCAUUAAAAAUCAAGUCAUUCCUAGUGUUCCAUAUAGCCCAAAAUAGAGCACAUACUCCAAUCCUAAUCAGUCUAGAAAUUCGCACGUCUACUCCAUUGAGCCACAUUGCGAAUAUCGCAUUAAUGCAUGUAGGUGGGGGCACAUUAAAAGCUAUAUGCAUCGUGCGCCAAAGUAGUUUUGCAAGAGGGCAAUGUAAGAACAGAUGUGUUAUUGUUUCAUCCUGGUCACAAAAACAACAUUUAGCUCUGCCUCUCCAACUCCAUUUAAUUAGAUUAUCUUUGGUCAAAAUCACACCUUUGUGCAAAAACCACAUGAAAAUCUUGAUUCUUAGUGGUACUUUGACUUUCCAAAUGUGCACUGAUCUAAGUAAAGGUCCUGUGUUAAUGAGCUCCGUAUACAUGGACUUCACAGAGAAGCUGCCAUUCCCAGAUAAUAUCCAACGAAUGUUAUCCGAUUGUACAGAUAAUUGUAUGUUCAUAAUCCUUCUUACCAAAUGCAACCAUGCCUCCCAACGUACUCGUACUAACGACCGUCGGAAGUUUAUAUUAAGAAGAGUCGAUUGUAACACUGUGGACACAUAGUCCUGCUUACGUUGAACAAUAUUGUAAAGCAUGGGGUAUUGUAGUGCUAGCGGAGUAUGCCCAAGCCAAGUAUCUUCCCAAAAUCUUGUUGAUGCACCAUUCCCUACAAUAAAUUUCACCCUCUGGAAAAAAUUGAUCUUAUUCUUCAUUAACCCUUUCCAAAAAGGAGAGUCAUCAGGUCUAGCAGUUGCCUGCGCUAGUGAUUUUGAGCUUAGAUAUUUAUUCUUAAUUAUUUGAAUCCACAUUCCUUCUGUCUCUGUGGAUAAUCUAUACAACCAUUUACUGAGUAGACAUCUGUUUUUUACUUCCAGAUUCUCUAUGCCCAAUCUCCCCUGGUCUUUGGGUCUGCAAAUUAUAUCCCAACGCGCCAAUCCGUAUUUCUUCUUAUUAUCAUCACUUUGCCAAAAGAACCGCGAUCUGUAAAAAUCUAAUCUUUUUCGUACCCCUACGGGUAUCUCAAAGAAAGACAAUAAGAACAUGGGUAGGCUUGUUAACACCGAAUUAAUUAACACCAGCCUUCCUCCAUAGGACAUAAGCUUACCCUUCCAGCAGCUUAAUUUCUUUUCAAAUCGUUCUUCAAUGCAUUUCCACUCUUUAAUUGUUAGUCGCCUAUGAUGAAUCGGAAUCCCGAGGUAGUUAAUUGGAAGUGCUCCUAUUUGACAUCUAAAUAACUGUCUGUAAGCAUCCUGCUCCUCCUUCGCUUUUCCAAAGCAAAUGAGUUCACUUUUGUUAAAGUUUAUUUUUAACCCUGACAGUUGUUCAAAUAAACAUAACACCAAUUUCAUAUUAAUCGCUUUCUGCAUAUCAUGCUCCAUGAAAAUAAUUGUAUCAUCUGCAUAUUGUAAAAUGGAAAUUCCCCCGUCAAUCAGAUGUGGAAUUAAACGACCUACAUGACCCAUGUGUUUGGCCCUAUCAAUGAGUAUUGUCAACAUAUCUGCUACUAUGUUAAACAACAUCGGAGACAUUGAGUCACCCUGCCUUAAUCCCUUAUGCGUUUGGAAGUAGUGACCAAUGUCAUCAUUUACUUUCACUCCUACACUCCCUUUGUGGAUGAAAGUAUCAACCUGAUUUCUCCAUCUCUCAUUGAAUCCUUUCAUCCUUAAGGCUUGUUGCAGGAAAGACCAUUUGACUUUAUCAUAGGCUUUCUCAAAGUCCACUUUAAAAAUAACUCCGUCUAUUUUUUGUGUGUGCAUUUCGUGGACCGUUUCAUGCAGGACAACCACGCCCUCCAAGAUGUGUCUCCCUGGCAUAAACGCCGACUGUGUUGGCUGAACCACAGAAUCUGCUAUCUUCGUUAAUCUAUUAGUGGCAACCUUUGUGAAAAUUUUGAAACUGACAUUAAGUAAGCAAAUCGGUCUAAACUGCUGAAUACGCAUAGCAUCCGCCUUUUUUGGCAAAAGCGUAAUUGUUCCAAAGUUAAGGUGGAAUAACUGUAAUUGUCCAUUGAACAAAUCUUGGAACAUAGGCAUGAGAUCCCCCUUAAUCAUGUGCCAACACUUUUUAUAAAACUCUGCCGGAAACCCAUCAGGUCCCGGCGCUGUAUUUUGUUUCAUGCUAGUAAUUGCUUCAGACACCUCUUUUUCUGUAAACGGGGCUGAUAAAACCUCAUACUCCUGUUCAUUGAGUUGAGGUAUAUCAUUAACCUUGUUUUCAUCUAAGGAUAUCGACGACUCCCUAGGUGCACUAAAAAGACUCUUAUAAUAUUUAGUAAUAUAAGAUUUUAAAUUCUCAUGUCCUAUAAUUGUUCCUUCAUCUUGUUCUAACUGGAUAAUUUUCUUCUUUCGAUGUUUGCCAUUUGCAAUCAUAUGAAAGAACUUAGUGUUGUCGUCCCCAUAGGCGACGUUCAUCACCUUAGCUCUACUAGCCCAUUUGAGCUCUUCCUCUCUCAAAAGUUUUUGUAGUUUGAUCUCAGCAUCAUUCUUAAUAUUUCUUUCAAACAAACUUAGUUGGCACGACUCGGUCUUAAUGUCUAAAUCGUCAAUGAGAGUGAUGAGUCUUUGUUUCUCUUUUUUAUAAGCACCACUCUGAUUUUUGGCCCACCCUCUUAGAAAUUGGCGUAGAUUUCUGAUUUUAUUUUGCCAAAUAUCUACAUUGGUAGCACCUCCUAAAUCUCUAGCCCAUUCAGUAGCUAAUAUAUCCAUGAAACCCUCCUUUUCGAACCAGCUUAGUUCAAAUGAGAAAGAAUUUUUAUUGCCCAUAUGGCUGCCCUCCCCUGAGUCAACAGAAAUAGGAGUGUGAUCUGAAAUAGCUCUAUGUAAGGCAUGCGCAUUAACCAAAGGGUACUUCUGCUCCCAAUCAACAGUAGAAAGAACCCGAUCCAACUUUUCAUAUGUUGGCACAGGUAAUGAGUUAGCCCAUGUGAAUUGUCUACCAGUAAGCUCGAUCUCUCGCAGAUUUAGGCUUUCAAUCACCAUAUUAAACAUCAUUGACCAUCUAGUGUCAAAAUUAUCAUUGUUUUUUUCAUCCUGCCUUCGAACGAUAUUAAAAUCUCCUCCCACUAAAAUUGGUAGCGUUUCAUUCCCACAAAUUCUAACCAGAUCUGCUAGAAAAUCAGGUUUGAGUUGUGGUUGUGCCGCCCCAUAUACCGCCACUAGAGCCCAUUUGAAGCCAUCAACUUUCGACCUGACACGAAAUUUGACGGUGAACUCCCCAAAAAUGACGCUCAUCACCUCUAGAGUCUCACACUUGACUCCAAGUAAAAAUCCACCGGAUCUUCCCCUUGGUGGCAGACAAUGCCAAUCGAAUUCGACCCCUCCUGAUAAAGACGUUAAAAAUUGAGGUGUGAAAUUAUCCCUUCCGGUUUCUUGUAUCGCCAUAAAAUCUAGCUUAUAUUCUAGAGAUGCGUCCCUAAGGAAUCUUUUUUUAGCCAAGUCCGCAAGACCUCUGCUAUUCCAAAAAAUUCCUUUCAUAUUUCAUCGUAGAACCUUUUCUUUUGCUUCACUCUCGCGCUUCUUCGUACCGCUGAUACAGGAAAACCCUUCCUUUUCCAAGGUCUUUUCGGUUUUUCGUGAAUACAGCUAGUCUCCUCCGAAUGUAUUAUUGGUUGUGGAUAAACAUUGGCUUUCGAAGAGGCCAUAUACCCCUCCGAAUCCGUAUUAUCCACUUCGUUUUCUUCGGCCUCUUCAUGUAGUAAUGCAUCACAUAUAUUUUGGAGUUGUACCCCUCCUAAGUCGUUAAUCUCCGAUUCGGUCAUUGGUUUUAACGCAACUAAAUUUUUAAUAAACUCAAUGUUUCUAUCCGUCUCUAAAUCAAGCAUGUCAUUGAUGGAUUUGGCUAUGAUUUUAGAAGAUGAACCUAGCAAUACUCCUAUGUCGCUAGCUUUGUUCACAAUCUCUACAUCAGAAAAAUUUAGAAUUGAAGGAUUAUUUUCAAUGACCAUACGUGUAGUCAUCUCAGUGUCUCGAAUCUUGGCAGCCCUCAUAGCACGCCCCAUGGACAUAUCAUCAGCAUCAGGCACCUCCUGAAUCCGCUGACUGAAGCGUCUAUCUUCCGUAGACGGAUCAGGAAUCCCACCAAACGAGAUCACAUCCUCUUUGGAAAACUCAAUGUUAUCCUUCCCUAUUGUCGCAUUUUGAACAUAAUUGUGGUCAAGAGGUGAAUCAAAUAUAGGAUUAUCAGAUAUAAACGAAUAUAUUUGCUGCUUACUACUUGAAAAGCAAUAGUCCUUGCACCAAGACAUUGGCUCAUCAGCAACAACAUUAUGAGAUGGGGGCGGGGUUGCUACAUUUGCCCACUCCUGCGCCGACUCAGAAUUUUCCCUGAUGGCCGACUUCUUGUUCGGACCAGCAGGUGUAUUGAGAGAUGAGUCUGGUGUGUGUGAGUGUGCAGCCUCCAUGAGCCUGUUCAGAUCAGCAGCAAUAGGCUUGGGAUCAACUUUCGGGAUGGCUGCAGUACAGUGCAUAUCAUCCUUCUUAUUAGGAAUUUGCAUCGGGGCACCCCUCUCAAAUGAGGUACCGAAUGCAUAAGAGGUGUCCUGCAGAGUCAACUGUUCCCAAGCCUGUUCACUAACCUCCUCUCCUAAGGUUGACAUUACCUUGAAUGAUCCAAACCUCAGUUCGGCCAUAUGCAUAUGAGAAGAGGACGUAGCACACCCUGUGACAGUCGGUUUAUUAGAUGUAGGCAUGGAGGGGCUGAUGUUAUCCGUUGGUGCCUGAGGAGACCUAUCCUGAUUAGCAUCACCACAAUCUCUAUCUCUAUCCUCGCCAUCAGCCAUUAGCACAUCGCCAUCCUGUGUUUUCUGAUGAACCACCUCCUCAACCUCCACAUCGAGGUCAUAGUGCAGUCCAUCAUAAGACCAUGGAGCAAAAUCUGGUAUCUGCUCCACGUCAAGCACCAUCACAAGCAAUCUUGCAAUCCCCCUUUUACGAGUGAAUGGCAUAUCUACCUUCUCAGUCUUCCCAAUCAACGAACCCAAGCUCCAUACGAUAAGGAAAUUAUUGAGUAGAAUCUCUGGAAUAUCUGCAAAUCUGAUCCACCUCUUCUGUAACCGAAUACCCUGUGGUGCAGGUUUAAUACAUUCCUCGAACUCCAGUAAGCAUUUGCUCCAACUGACCUUACUAACACCAAAUGUGAGUAAUCGUUGCAGGUCUUCUCUUCUAGGGAACUCCACCUGAUAGGAAUUAUCAUCUACCCUUAUAGGAUCCCAAUUAUAUGUCUCAGAAACGAGCCUUUUCAUCUGUUGAGACACUUGUUCGGCCGUCAACUCACCAUUAGUCACUUUUACCAUGCCCGUCCUUGAAAUCUCAAGACGAGGAGGAGCAAGGACUGAAGAAGAUCGUGGCGUCUCAAAGAACAUAAGUUUGCUAUGACAAACCCCAUAGAUGUUCAUAAUUGGCUUGGGAACUAGAAGCAAGGGACAUGCAUCCUCUGAAUGUCCAGGCUUCAAACAAAUAUCACAUAAAAUAGUUGUGCGAUCCACCACAAAGUGUUCCGACACCCCACAUCUAUAGCACGUAAGCUUCUCCUUUUUGCGAGCUGCCUUAUUCACUCUCACUACUUCCCUGUCCUCGGAGUUUUUAUGCUGCGAAGAAUCCGUGGACGUACUGUUAUUCUACCCCUCCCCUCCGCCAGAAGGUAAUACUUCCUUCCACAUCGGCCCUGUGUUAUUUCUGCCAUAGUUCCGAACUCCGGCACCCCCUCGUUGCCUAAAGUUUUCCCCUCUAGUACCUUCAACGAAAUUCCCCUCAGGUGGUUGGAAGGGUCGAUGCCAUUGGUUUCCUCCACCACCAUGUCCCCCUCCUGAAUUCCAGUUGGGGCGAUUGUUGAACUCGUUCCAUUGAUUAUUGUAACGCGUGUAACCCUGCUGCCCACCGCCCCCUCUGUUACCCAUUGCUGCAUGACCGCCCCUGCCAGCCUGGAAACCGCGUCCCUGAUGGCCAGCAGCCGAGCCACCUCUACCAGCAGAUUUGGGCCCAUGACCCUGAUGGUCUUCAGCAGCAACUCGCGUAAGAGCUGCAGCCCCAGUACCUGCUGCUCCCGUAGGUGCAGCAAUGGUAGCCGGCGCCUGCUGCUCUGCCUGCGCCGCCGCCGAAGCCUCAGGACGAGGCGCCGUCAUCGCAAUCCAAGCCGGGAUACGCCGAGCCCUCCCAGAUCGCGACGGGAAACCUGGCUGUGGAGGCGCUAAUAACCCAGGCAAAACCCUGGCCGAUCCGGACUGCAUCCCGACAGACCGUGGUACAAUCUUAACCGCCGAGGAUUCCAAUCCCGUAACAAACUGGGCUGUAUACCCAGCCGCCACUUGUCCACAAGUCGUUUUUUCUGGCCCAUCUUGGCCGAUCAAAAGAUUCAAACGCUCUGAACUUCCCUCUCGGAUCUGGCACUCCGAUUGGAACAAUGUGGCCGCCGGCUGUGUUCCUACCGCCGGUCGUCUUUGCUUUCCUCCGAUCGGCUCAUGUUUGCACUUUAGAAAGAAAUCUGCUAGAGUAAUGGCUGGUAAACGUACCUUUGGUAGAGGACCUUUUCAUGGCUUAAUGGCGUUCUGCGAUGUGCGGCGCUGGACCACCCGUCGUACUACCUCGAGUUUGUCCUCAUCCGCGUCACCCAAGCCAUUCCAGGCUUCAUCAGCCGAAACGAUAUCAGAUGGAGUUGGUGAAGCUGCUGCUGUGUGCAACUCCUCGUCGUUAGAUUCAUCCUUAGACCUCGCCCAAAAUCGCCCCUCAGAUGUGAUGACUGGAGAGGAUUCCAUUCCCGGCGUGGAGACCCUGUUUUCGCGCUGCCAAGAACCCGUUCCGGCCGGCGGGCAAGGCCGUCGCCGGGCCUUGCACCACCAGUCGCCAGCGAGAUCGCCCAGAUCGCCAGACCGCAAUUGUCGGGCGAACCGGUCCAAUUAACCGGGUUUUAUAAAAUGGGAGAGAUUUUCUCUUCCCGGCCUCUGCACCAACAAGGGAUGCAUACGGCCAUUUUAGUAUGAGUACCAAGAUAAACAUGGUCCUCAGAAUUUUUUUAAAUGAGUAUCAAGAUUUUUUUAUGAAUGGUUUUACCACAUGCCAAACUUGAUCCUCAAUAAAUGAGAGAAAACUUGAUUUUUUAUGAGUGCAUUUUAUGAUGAAUCAGGCAAAUGAAAGCACGGCAUUGGCACUUGUGGAAGAGAGACAAAGAUAGAUAUCAGGUCGAUUUUCCGAACCGGAACUGAUGUGAAUUGAUCCAGCAAAAGCAAAAAUAAAAAGUGGGUCCAGUCAUGCGUGCGCAUCGGUAGAUAAGCCAAGGGUGAGGAGGAGAAAAGUACAAGCUAGUGCUCUGAAGUCAAUAGAAUCCAUUUUUUAUCGAAAAGAAAAGUGUGAGCACUGAUGUGGAAGUUUUUAUCUAUCUUGUGACAAAACGGGAUCAAGCACCGAAACACCCAGAGGAGAAAAGGAGUGGCACAAAUUGAAGCUACGGCCCCAGAUGAUAGAUGCUGUGCCAACUAUGAGAAUUACAAAUUUUAAUCUAAUCCUAUGGACAACCCAAAGUAUCAAAUAGUGCAUUGUUUCAGUGGAUGGGCCAUUCGGCCUGUUUUCGUGUCAUGAACGGAAAGCUUCUUCAUAAAGUGUUGUUAAGAUAUGCAUCGACACUUGCAACGUAACAUAUUAUCCUGGGACCUGAAAAGAUCUUAUUAGCUUAGAUAUCUGUACUUCAUCACUAGGAUUAAAGCAGCAGCAUGUGCUUCGAUCGAAACGAAUCAUCCCGUUUACCGAAUAGGCGAGUAGGGACGGAUAGUACCUACUUGAAUGACGUAACGUACUGCUGCUAGUGGGUUGCUAUUAUACUUGUGCUGAACUAUUGAUACAUCAUGGUUCAUUAGCCACCGAUUUUUCUGGCUUUAGAUCCAACCAAAGCGUACACCUGAUUGAGCUGAUCUAGUCUCUCAACAUUGUGGGAUAGUUCAUUCUUUUUCGGUGACGUAGGUUGGACCUCUACUAGCUUUCUGGUCCCGGCCAACAAAAAUGUCAAUCGAUCAGUCGGGCGACAGACUAAAGCUGCCUGAUUCGAUCUAUACCUAAGACAAGAUGAUCACUAAACUAGCUAAGAGUUAGCUAGGUAGUGUGCUGCAUGCUGUGAGCGAGUACGUGUACCUACGUGUGAGUGUGAGAGAAGCUCGACCAGAGAUCAUGGGCGAUUUUGGCCUGAUCCCCUGAUGGUAUCAUUUGGGCCCAGCCCACUCCACUUGUCUUCAUAGACAUUCUAUCGAGCAAACUCUGACUGACACACAUGACAUCCAUGUCUUGAUGCGUUAUCCAUCCGACCAUCAAACCUUCCCUUGAUUUCUGCUGCCAAAAGCAGAGCCUCCACAACGGUGGGUUCAAUGCUACUAGUUGUCUCGGCUCAUCGUCUUCCUUUUUACAAGAAAAUACUGUGUAAUACAGUAGAACAUAAUGAUGUUAUGCGUAGCGAGCUUGCUUUCCUCCCAAGCUGAGUUAAUAACGCUAGCUAGUGCUAAUUAAGCAUCCUUUGAAAGCAGUCCAUCCCGGCUAGUGCCGACCCACCCCAUCACCCCCUAAACUAGACAGCAAAGCCACCAGCUCUAGUUCCAGAAGCCUAUAGCUUCUUUGGUCCGUAUCUCAUCUCAUCCGAUCUGCCCCGCUUUCAAGUCAAAAUAUCUCAGGUUAGUUAUAAUUUUUUCUUUAGAUUUAUUUUAGUUUGACAUAAAAUUAUGUUAUGCGGACGCGGGAUGUCCGCCUACAUCCCUAAGCGUGGCACUAUCCCUUCCCCCCACCCUUUAUAUAUAUGGAUCUCUUAUGGCUUUGGAACUUGCCACAACAGCUUCAUUCGAACGCUGCUGGGCAAUUUACACGCAUAUUUCUUCUGAUGUUCCCGUCUUAUGUAUGGAUAGCAAUAGCAAUAACUCCCAGUCCCUUUGUUGCUCGAGCGAAUCCGGCGCUGAUAUGUAUGUAUGUAUGUAUGUAUGUGUGUUUGUCAUAAAAAUGGUCCUCUGCAAAAGUCGGCUUUGAAUCUUUCCAUUAUUUGCUACUUGUAGUUUCACUUGAGUUUUGUUCUUCGUGUGUGGCAUACGUGUUGAUCGCUCACCAACGUGAAUGUGUGCAGCCAAGAGUGGAUAAGUAUAGGGCAAUCCUGAUAAAUGCAUGUAUGAGCUGCAUACCCCUUUUUAUGUUAACUUUCCCAGAGGUGCCUAAAGGGGUGACAAAGAAAUGGGAUGAUCAUACAGCCAAUACGCUUCGGCAAGAAAAGAAGGAUCAGAAGAUAUACCAUUUAGUGAAUUGGCCUACAGUUUGUCUACCUAAAGAUUGGUGAUAUGGGCAACCAUGAACCGAAGCCUACUAUGCAAGUGGCUUUGGAAGCUGGAAACAAUACUGGAACGUAGUGGAAAAAAACUUUGUGUAUUCUUCCUUGAUGACAAAUGGGAAGGAAAUGUUGAGAUAAGCAGGAGACUUAUGCACGCCGGCUAAGCAACGCACAUUUACGAAUUACUAAUUUUUUUACAUGAAGGCUCUACAAUUAAUAUAUAGAUAUCCUUGAUGACAAAUGCUAAGGAAAUGUAGAGAUAAAAUACUUGUAAAGAGUAUUCAAUAAUAAACAUGCUAUGUACUAUAUAUAUUCAUGGUUGCCACCAGUCCCUAACCCAACCAUGUAGGUCUACAAGUGAAAUCUGUCUAAAAAAACCAUUGAAAUAGGAGGAUACAUUGUACCAAUAGAAAAUUUAAUAUAAACUAUUUACUUAUGUGAUGUUUGGUUUGCAACUCAGUUUCUAACCCUAGUUGUUUUGUGUAAUCCCAAACUUGUAUCGAUGGAUUUAAGGUCAAUAGAGUUUUAUAUAAUGGUUGCAAUGGUUUUGUGAUAAGGUUCUUAGUUAUGAACAUUUUGUGAGAAAACACGAAAAUUAUUAUUCAUAUUAUUUCUUCUUCAUAGAAAAAUGAAUAAAAAUAAAAUAUGAUUCAUAUAUAAUGAUCAUGCAUAUAAUCAUAACGAGAUAUAAAAUUAUGUAUUCAAAAAUGUUUAGUAACUAAUAUAAUUGGAUAUCAGAUAUGACUUAACAUUAUUUAAGUUUGUAAUAGACGUAUUUAAUUUUUUUAGUGUUUAUAACUCAUGCGAGAUGUACAGAAAACUGCUUCACUCGCAUUCAUAACAUGAUCAACUUACUAGAUGCCCCAUUUAUUUGCGGAUAGCUAUAAUAAAAUAUGACAUGUUUAUAUGAGUAUAAUCUAUAAAUUAGUUAUAAAUAAUUUUUCAUUUUUACCAUUUUAAUGCAUAAAUUGUUUAAUUAAAUAAAAUAUAUUUCAAAUGAACAAAUAGAAACAAUCAUGAAAAAAGUAAUAAAAAAACCUAAAACUAAAUAUUUUGAAUUUGCUAUCUCAAAUUUUAAUUCUUACAUUCUUAACAAAUGUAAUAGAUGUACUAAUUGAAGAUAUAUUUAAGAGCCUUAUGAUCAUUGACCAUUUGCAACCGAGAACACAGCGGGACACGGCCUUGAAAGACAUACGAUUGAGUCAUUACUUCGUAGGAGCAGAAAAGAAAGACAUGUGAAAUUCACAUACAAAAAAUGGAUAUUAAUGUGCCACUGCCACCACUGAGUUGGGUUGAAGUAUCAGACGACAGUCCGCCAGCCCAGUGUUCAUUAAUAAGCAAAACUAAAAUAUUUUUUUGCUUAUAGUCAAUUUGGUCAUUACGAUCACAAGAUAAUAGUCGUAAGACUUUUAUUACAUCUGACAUGGAAAAUCUAAAAUACUACUCUGACAUUGAUAUGCGACUCCUCCCGAUACAAUGUGCUAAAUUGGCCAUCAGAGGAAGGGGAACCGAUGGAAACACUUAGCAGCGACUAGGUACUCUUGAGCCUAACAUUAAAAUUUUCAGUAACCAAAACACAUAUUUAACUUCAUUUUUUUAUUUGAAAGAACUAGUGAUGUCUCUAUCUUUCAGCGGCAAGAUGGAGAUAAAGGAAUAGGUGACCACAUAUAAAGAAUUUCACGUUGCUUCAAUCGCGGUUCAAACCUCAAUGUAACAUGUUCCGAUUGCUUUGUUAAAAAACAUGUUUUCUCUAAAUCAUACAUGCAUUAUUUACCGGCCAACAAACACCUGUGACAGGGGUCACCAACUCUUGAGUCCAAACAAACAACAACAAUGAAAUAAACAAAUCAAACGAGUUGCUCAAUCAAAAUUAAUAAUGUCCAUCAACGAAGCCUCCACACACGAACGCGUGCACACACACAUGCACGCGCGUACACACACGCACACACAAAGGUCCUAUUUGUCACGGUAAGUUCAUGGGGGCGUUCGGAGCUGGCAUGGGAAAAUAAUGCAAAGUGAUGUGUCAUCUCUUUUAUAGAAGUAGCGGUGUUCCUUCCAAGUUCAGAUCGACGUGAUCUGGAGCUGGGAUGGGAAAAUAAUGCAAAGUAAUGGGUCAUCCCUUUCGCGUAUAGAAGUAGCGGUGUUCCUUCCAAGUUCGGAUCAACGUGAUCCUACACGUCAGACACGGCUAUACAUGUCUCGCUCUGUCGGUCGGAAGAAUAUCAUACGAAAACCAACAUUCGAUGGAAACCGAUGAAAACCAUAUAAAAAAAUAUGUUUUGAAGUUUCAGAAAAAUCUAAAAAAAAUACGGAAUGUUAAGAGGAUGAUGUUUUAUUGCCACGCAAAAUUUCAAAUCGAACACAAGGGGAAAGAACUAGUGAUAUAUCCAUCAGCCACCAAUGCAAUUCAUAUGUACGUAAUUGGCACAAGAAAUUUAACAAGUUGUAGCUUUUCUGAGAACGAAACUUCCACGUCAACGGGUUCGUCUCCUCUAGAGAAGUGCCCACUAACUGACCAGUACUAGUCGUCGGUAAAAUAAACUCUGCACUAAGGACAUCUUCAACAGUUUGUAUGUAGUCUUGUUAAUAAAAUUGUCCAUGUCAUCAACCAACAAGGGAUCAUAUAACUACUUCAAUGGUUGCAUUCAAAUUAUCCAAUAUGAGAAGAAGGAAUAAAUGCAAUUGCUCUUUAUGUAACCUUGAAGUUUGUGCAAGAGCUACUCCCUCCGUCCGGUGAAAAGUGUACAUAUAAACAUUUUAUGACAAAUUAUGAAGUGGAGUAAAAAUGCAUUGGAAAUGUGCAACACACCAUCUCUCUCCCCUUUAAUUACCAAACCCCCAAUAAGUUAAGUGCGUGUAGAAAUUAAGAUGACUAUGUGUAAAAUGUUAUUGGUCUUGAUUACCGUGUGAUGAAAGAGAAGCAUUUUUUAUACUUUAAAGUACAUUGAAAAGAUAAAAGUACACUCUUUUAUGGACAAAUUUUAAAGCCAAACGUACACUUUUCACCGAACGAAGGGAGUAUUGGUUAAUCUACACACAACUUUCCUCUCUCUCCUCAUUUAUUUAUUGCCACAUCAUUAUAUAUCCUAGUUGACAAAGUUUACCAACAACUAUCUUAUCACCAUUGGAGAUGCCCUAAGAAAGAGAGGCACCUCUAUUAUCUGUUGCUAUGAGGUCAAGGGCAGUCACAUUUGCAAAGCCAGCAAGCAAGUUGAUAUGAUCGAUGGAUAUGAUGACCACUACGUGGAGCAGCUCCUAGACAUAAUAUUCCCUCAUUUCUCUUUUCCUUGCUUCACUUGGUACGGUCGAUCACACGAAUUAGCCUUGAAAUUGACUAUUCUUAUCAUUUUCUGAAGCUGGAGAUGCGCCAAGUGCCGGCAUCUUCUCCAGUGUUGUUGCUGGAGCCACUGAUGUGGAUGGGCUUUGGCUUUAGGUGACCAGUAGUGCUCUUGAUCGAUUAGACAAUUGAAAGCACGGCGUUGGCACUUGUGGAAGAGAGACAAAGAUAUAUAGCUAUAGGAGGAAUGAUUUUCGCGACCAGAACCGAUCUGAAUUGAUCCACAGCAAAAGGUAGCACAUCCAAUCAUGCUUGCGCGUCUGUAGAUAAGCCGACGAGGAGGAGAGUAGUUCUAGUCUUCUAGCCAGUGCUCUGGAGAAAGUAUCUAUUUUUAUGGUGACAACACGGGAUCGAGCACUGAAACACCUAGAGAUGAAAAAGAGCGGCAGAGAGUAAAGGUACGGCCUCAGAUGAUAGAUGCUGUCCCAGCUCUGUAAAUUGAAUUUUAGUUUAGUCCUUUGGAUAACUUAAGCAAGGCCUUGCUUGAGUGGAUCAAUCAUAAACGAAAAGCUUCUUGACAAAGUGUUAUUAAGAUAUGCAUCGACGACACUUGCUGCAUAAUAAAUUAUUUACUAGCUUACAUAUCUGUACUUCACUAGGAUUAAAGCGGUAGUAUAUGCUUCGAUCGAAAGGGAUCAUGUGGUUUACCGAAUAAGGGAUGGAUACCUACUUCAUUUACGUAACCUGCAGCUGCCGUAGUCCAUUAAACUAGAGAUCACUUGAAAUGCCAUGCUUUUUUUCGAAAAGGAGGCGUUGCCCCGGCCUCUGCAUCGAGUGAUGCAUACAACCAUAUAUUAAUCAAAAUAAGUAUCCAGUAAAUACAUAGUAUAUAAAAAGGAAAAAAAGAGAUACAUGACGAACAUUGCGCCGCAGCCUGGAAUGGCUAAAAGAUCAAGAUGACUAAACACCUAUCCUAUUAAUAUGCCGCCAUUCAAACCGGUUGAAGAUACCCUGUGCUACCAUCUCCCAGCGGGCACACCUAGUAACCAUAAGCUCCCUGGUUGCCACAGGAGUUAGUAACGACCAUGUGCGGAUCAGUGCGGUAAUUCGGUAGAUAACCUGCAAGAAUUGGAUAUCAUGAGUUCUGUUAAAAACCAAAUCAUUUCUGCUAUUCCAUAAAGCCCAAAGAAGAGCACAUGCUCCGACACGAAUAGAUUUAGCCAAUUGAACAUCAAUUCCCUGUAACCACGUUCCAAAUAACGAGUUCAAGUCAACAGGAGAAGCGAUGUUAAAAGCAAUGUGAAUUGAUCGUCAAACAAGUUUAGCCAAAGGACAGUCUAGAAAGAGGUGGUGAAUACUUUCUAGGCUUGAACAGAAAGAACAUCUGGAACUUCCUUUCCAAUUUCGUUUGGCCAAAUGCCAUGCUUAAACUAACGAAAACACGAUCGAGGUGAACUCGACGCCAUAGCUCACUAGCCACCGAAUUUUCCGCCUUUAGACCCAAGCAAAGGAAUAUAUGCACACCUAUUUGAGCUGAUCUAGUCUUUCAACAUUGUGGGAUUUAUUGCAGCAAAUGGGCCGUUCUUUUUCGACGACGUACGUUGGACCUAUAUAUUUUGGUCGUCCAAGCAAUCAUGUCGAGAAAAGAGAAGUUGUUCCACACAACAAAACCAUCUAUCGACCAGUCUACAGAUUAAAGUUGGCCUUGUUGAUUCGAUCUGUACCUACUAAGAUAAGAUGAUCACUAAAGACAAGUAGCUAGGUAGUGCUGGCGUGCUGCAUGAUGUGCUCGAGUACGUACGUGUGAGCGUGCGAGAAGGUCGACACCACAGAUCAUGGGCGAGUCCUGAUCCCAUGACGAAAUUAUUUGGGCCCAUCCCAAUCAUCGUCACCGUUCAUGAUGAUAACGUGUUAUCCGACCAUUAAACUUUCCCUUGGUUUCUGCUGCCAGAAGCAGACAGAGUGCCCGAAAUUGUGGAUUCAGUAUUACAAGUUGGCUUAGCUCGUCUAGUCUUUCAAUAAUAAGAUGCACUAAAAUGCAAUGAUCUUAACUUCUUAAGCGACCGAGUCGGCCUUCCUCUCAAGUUCAAGUUGUAGUGCUAGCUAGUGCUAAUUAAACUUCCGUGAAAAGCCGUCCAUCCCAGUUAGUACGUAGCGUACCGACCCCGUCUAACCCGAACCUGAACUAGACAGGAAAAGCCAUCAGCUCUAGUUGCACAAGCGUACCUGCUAUUGUUAGUCCGUCUACCAGCCAGCCAGUAUGGCUGUGGCAUCUCGUACUAAAACCCUAUGCUGCUUCAAACGGAAGCUGCUGGGCAAUUUACAGCAACUUCCUUCCGAUGCUUGCGUUUUAGAUACAGAUAGCUCUUGCCCGGAAAUAAUACAUGCUCCGAAGUCCGAACCAACUCCAGCUCCAUCUGCUCACACCGAAUCCGGUGCGAUCACGCAAGUGUAUAUAGGAACCAAAGCGCCGGCAAAAGGCGCGCGGUGCGGUGCGGCGCGGCGCGGCGGCCGCAUCGGAGAGAAGGAUGCCAUGGUCGUGGAAAAAGAAGAGAUCGACGGCAUUUAGCGGCAGGUAGGCGCGACACAUCGAACAACAAAUGGUCCUCCGCCAUGGUCGCUCUCGGGUCUUUGUGGCUGCCUGGCUUUGAAUCUUUCCUUUCUUUGAAACUUGAUUCUUUUGCUUUCUAGGGCACCGGCAACCUUUAGUUUGUUCCCGGUUCGUGGCGUACGUGCUGAUCGAUUGCUCGCCGACGUUGAUCUGUGGAACCUAGAGGAGGAUAUUUCUCGUGUCUGAAUGGUCUAGACUCUAGACACCAGAGGCUUGUGAGGACCUAACUGCAUGUGUUGUUUAUGUCAGAUGACUCGGAUGAAAGAUAAACGCAUGAACACAUGUUGCAUAUGUACUAAUUAAUUGCGCACUUGUGCUUUUUGAUAACGACAUGCUUAUGCGCUCGCAUGUACUAGGAAAACCAUUCCGAAUGCUUGUAUGUCAAUCAUCGUUUAUGUGAAGUCAGACGGAUCUGCGGCGAUCUGCUGACCCCAUCCUCCACAUGAACCGAAUUAUAAAAAGAUGACUUGGCAAAGAAAUCACACACACUUGAAUCUAAAAACAAAAAGGACAAUGCUCUGUGCCGGCGCGCCGGUCAAAACUUUCGACCGGCCCCGCGCGGACCGCCCAAUCCCUCAGCUGCACACAGGCCGCACCGUUAGAUCUCCAUGCAGCAAAAUUUCUCGAUGCAAUAAAUUUCGUCCAGGAUGCAGUAAUUUUCGUUUACGGUUGCAACAAAAACAUAGUUGUAGCAAAAAAAUAUAUCAACGUGGUCGUAACAAAAAACAAAGCUGAUGAUGCGUGGUAGCAAAACAAAAUAAGGGUUGUAGCAAAACAAUCCGAUGAACUCAGGUUGCAACUCUGAUGAACGUGUAUGCAACUUAUUUAGUGAACGGUUGCAGCAAAAAAGAUACCGGUUGUAGCAAAAAUUUAAUACGGUUGUAGCAAAAAAUCCGACGAAUGGGGUUGCAACCAAACGUAUAUGCAGCUUUUUUAGUGAACAAAUAUAGCAAAUUUGGACAUCGGUUGUAGCAAAUUUAUACGAUCACCAUAGGAGAAAGUUGUUUAGAAUGAUUAAAUCAGACUAUCUCUUUCAUUGAUGACCCGUGAUGAUUAAAUACAACGGAACUGUCGCCAACGCCACGAAGGGACGCAUCCCAUCGUGGGGGCGUGCGAGCGCUUCAAACGGUUGCCAUGGGUUGUCCUUGAGUCACAUCAUCUUUGAAAUAUUCUCCUCCAAAACCCUGUGGGAAAAAUUGAGAAGAAAACAUACAAUAUGCCAUUAAAAACUCCUUCUAAAACCCAGUGGGAAAAUAAGGAGAAAAUGACAUAUAUCGUCCAUGCUUGCAUUGAUAUUGCCUUAUUAAAAACCUUUCGUGAGAAACCAUGUGAAAAACUCACAAAGGAAAAGAGUGCAAUACAAAAAUCUCAUGAUCUUAACAGGUUAUAUCCUAGGAGAUUUAUCCCCCUGAAUUUUGCAAGUCUCGAAGUCGUCUCGUACCAAUUUCAUUUACAUACUUAUGGAACAAAGAACUUGGUACAGACUUAGUAAAUAGAUCAGCGAGAUUAUCGCAUGACUUCGUUUGCAAAAUACUUAUCUCCCCCUUCUCUUGCAGAUCAUGGGGAUAAAAUAAUUUAGGAGAAAUAUGCUUUGUAAUAUUGCUAUUAAUAUAACCCGUUUGCAGUUGUGCAAUGCAAGCAGCAUUAUCUUCGUAGAUAAUAGUGGGCGAUUUUACCGAACCAAUCCCACUUGAACAUUGGACAAAGUUCAUCAUUUUGCGAAGCCAUACACAUUCACGCGAUGCUUCGAACAAAGCAAUUAUCUUAGAUGAUUGGUGGACAUUGCCACUAAGGUUUGCUUUGUUGACUUCCAAGAGAAGGCCGUACCUCCAUGUAAGAAGACAAAACCAGUUUGCGUUCUGGCAUCAUGGGGAUCUGACAAGUAUCCAGCAUCGCAAUACCCCACCAUAGUUCUCUCUUGAUUUUUCUGAUAGAAUAAACCAAGAUCUUUGGUGCCUUGAAGAUAUCUGAAAAUAUUCUUCAAACCAACCCAAUGCCUUUUUGUUAGUGAUGCGUUGUAUCUAGCGAGUAAAUUAACUGCAACUGCUAUAUCAGGUCUAGUGCAGUUUGCUAGAUACAUUAGUGCACCGAUGGCAUUGAGAUAUGGAAGCUCUGGUCCCAAUAUCUCUUCAUCAUCACCCUUAAGCCUAAAUGGGUCCUUGUCUCUGUCAAGCGACCUGACAACCAUAGGCGUUUUUGAUGGGUAUGUGAUACAUCUCCAACAUACCUAUAAUUUUUGAGUGUUCCAUGCUAUUAUAUUAUCAACUUGGGAUGUCUUAUAUGCAUUUAUAUGCUAUUUUAUAUCAUUUUUGGGACUAACCUAUUAACUCAGUGCCCAGUGCCAGUUUCUGUUUUUUCCGUGUUUUUGACCUUUUCAGAUAAGAAUAUUAAACGGAGUCCAAACAGAAUAAAACAUGCGAGAUGAUUUUUUCCGUAAGAAAAGAUACCCGGAAGACUUGAGAACCAAGGCAGAGGGUCUCGUGGGAGGUCACAAGCCCCCUAGGCGCGCCCUAGGGGGGGGGGGGCGCCCAGCAGGCUCGUAGGCCCCCCUUGCCUCCUUUGCCCUACCUCUUUCGCCUAUAAAUUCCCUAAAAUCCCAAAACCAACAGGGAGAGCCACGAAAAUACUUUUCUGCCGCCGCAAGCUUCCGUUUCCGCGACACGGAGGGCUUCUUCAUCAACACCAUUGCCUCUCCGAUGAUACGUGAGUAGUUCACCAUAGACCUUCGGGUCCAUAGCUAGUAUCUAGAUGGCUUCUUCUCUCUCUAGGAUCUUCAAUACAAAGUUCUCCAUGAUCUUCAUGGAGAUCUAUCCGAUGUAACUUUCUUUUGCGGUGUGUUUGUCGAGAUCCGAUGAAUUGUGGAUUUAUGAUCAGAUUAUCUAUGAAUAUUAUUUGAGUCUCCUUUGAUUUCUUAUAUGCAUGAUUUUGUAUCCUUGUAAUUCUCUUCGAGUUAUGGGUUUCGUUUGGCCAACUUGAUCUAUAAUUCUUGCAAUGGGAGAAGUGCUUGGUUUUGGGUUCAUACCGUGCGGUGUCCUCGCCUAGUGACAGAAGGGGUAGCGAGGCACGCAUCGUGUUGUUUCCAUCAAAGGUAAAAAGAUGGGGUUUAUAUCAUAUUGCAUGAAUUUAUCCCUCUACAUCAUGUCAUCUUGCUUAAGGCGUUACUCUGUUUGUUAUGAACUUAAUACACUAGAUGCAUGCUGGAUAGCGGUCGAUCUGUGGAGUAAUAGUAGUAGAUGCAGAAAGUAUCGGUCUACUUGUCUCGGAUGUGAUGCCUAUAUGUAUGAUCAUUCCCUUAGAUAUCGUCAUGACUUUGCGCGAUUCUAUCAAUUGCUCCACAGUAAUUCGUUCACCCACCGUAAUACUUGUUAUCAUGAGAGAAGCCUCUAGUGAACACUAUGGCCCCCGGGUCUAUUUUACACAUUAUAUAUUCAGAUUUACAUACAAAAAUACCAAAAAUACUUUGCUGAAAUUUUAUUUAUUUAUUUAUAUUUACCUAUUAUCACUAUCAGAAUUCACCUUGCAAGUAAUCGUAAAGGGAUUGACAACCCCUUUAUCGCGUUGGGUGCAAGUUUGUUUGUUUUUGCGCAGGUGCAUUGGUGCCUCAUCUUGAUACUCCUACUGGAUUGAUACCUUGGUUCUCAAACUGAGGGAAAUACUUGUCUCUACUUUGCUGCAUCACCCUUUCCUCUUCAAGGGAAAAACCAACGCAAGCUCAAGAAGUAGGAGGAAGAAUUUCUGGCGCCGUUGCAGGGGAGUAUUCAAGUGAAGAAUAUGUACCAAGUACCUAUCGCAAACUCUUCUCUUGCAUUUACAUUAUUUGCCAUUUGCCUCUCGUUUUUCUCUCCCCCACUUCUAAAACAAAAUUUACAAAAAUAUUUGCCUUUCUUUAUUUGCCUUUUUCGUUCGCCCUUUCUUUUGCUUGCUUUUGGUUUGCUCGUGUGUGCUAUCUUAUUUAUCCUCAUGGCCGAACCAAAUGAUUAUGAUGCUUACUAUAAAAAGUUGGAAGAGAUUGAAACUAGUGCUAAAAUCUUCAUGUCUACACAGUUUGAUCAUAAUAGUUACUUUCUAGAGAACUAAGGGAGCAAAAUUCCUUUAUGGCUUAUAUGAAUAAAGAGGUUGAUGAUAUGGCCAAAGAAUUCCUUGCGUUAAAUUCUCAAUUUGCUCGUCUUGAAAAAUUGGUAGGCCAAAUUUCUGAUAAACAAGCUACCUUAGUCAAUAAAAUGGCCGCUAAACGUGAAAUAUGUGAUGAGAAUCAUGAAGAUCUUAAAAUGUUGAGUGUUCACCCUACCUAUCUUGAUAUCUUAAGAAAACCUAUCAUCACUAAUGAUUAUCUUUGUUGCCUAUCUAGGAGUAUAAUGAUUGAUAAAAUUAAAGAACUCCCUAAUAAUGAUGAUGGUCUAAGUGGUUUGAGCACUAAAGAUGAUAAUACUUGAUUCUAUUGCCUUACGCCUAGCUAAGGGCGUUCAACGAUAGCGCUUGUUGGGAGGCAACCCAAUGAAUAAAUUUAUUUUUUAUUUUUUAUUUUUUGUUUUGUUGAGUCCACACCAUCAUGAUUCUGUUAUGAUUGUGUUUUUUAUAUUUUAAUUAGUGUUUGUGCCAAGUAAAACCUUUGUGAUUAGUUUUGGUGAUAGUUGUUUAAUCAUGCUAAAAAAAGACAGAAACUUUGUGCUCACGAAAUUAUUUUUAAUUCCUAUCCAGAAAGAGAUUUUGAGUUGAUUCUUUUUUCUGCUGAUUGAAAGGAAAAUUGCCCUAAUUUUCAUAACUGUUUCAGAUUUUUUGGGAUAGCAGAGGUAUACGAAAUAUACAGAUUGCUACAGACUGUUCUAUUUUUGACAGAUUCUGUUUUUUGUUGUGUUGAUUGCUUAUUUUGAUGAAACUAUGGUUAGUAUCGGGGGCUACGAUUCAUGGAGAAGUGAGAAUACAGUAAUAUAACAUCAAUCUAAAUGGAAAUUAAGUUUACUACAGUACCUAAAAAGUUGGUGGUUUGUUUUCUUAUGCUAAUGAUAUCACGAGUUUCUGUUGAAGUUUUGUGUUGUGAAGUUUUCAAGUUUUGGGUGAUGUUCUUAUGGACAAUGGAAUAAAGAGUGGAAAGAGCCUAAGCUUGGGGAUGCCCAAGUCAUCCCAAGCCAAAUUCAAGGACACUAAAGAGCCUAAGCUUGGGGAUGCCCCAGGAAGGCAUCCCCUCUUUCGUCUUCAAUCCAUCGGUAACGUUACUUGGAUCUAUAUUUUUAUUUACCACAUGAUAUGUGUUUUAUUUGGAGCGUCAUGUAUUAUAGGAGUCUUUGCUUUUUUGUUUUAUCACAAUCAUCCUUGCUGCACACCUUUUUGAGAGGGACAUGCACUCAUCGUGAAUUUGUUAGAAUACUCAAUGAGCUUCACUUAUAUCCUUUGAGCUAGGCAAUUUAGCUCCCAUGAGCUUCACUUAUAUAUUUUGAGCUAGAUAAUUUUUCUCACAUGAGCUUCACUUAUAUCUUUUGAGCUAGAUAAUUUUUCUCCCAUGAGCUUCACUUAUAUCUUUUGAGCUAGAUAAUUUUGAUCUAGUGCUUCACUUAAAUCUUUUUAGAGCACGGUGGUGUCAUAUUUUGUAGAAAUAAAAACUCUCAAUCUUCACUUAUAUCAUUUUGAGAGUGCUCUCUCUAAGUAACUUGGUAAUUGGCGUGUGCUAUGAAAUUAGUCCUAGAUAUGAUAGGCAUCCAAAGAGGAUAUAUUAAAAAAAUUUAUAUUCAAGUGCAUUGAUUAGUAAGAGAAGUUUGAUUCCUCACAAUUAGUUUUGAGAUAUGGAUAUGGUAAUAUUAGAGUCAUGUUAGUAGGGUGUUGUGAAUCUAGAAAUACUUGUUUUGAGGUUUGUGAUUCCCGUAGCAUGCACGUAUGGUGAACCACUAUAUUAGGAAGUCGGAGCAUAAUUGAUUUAUUGAUUGUCAUCCUUUGUGUGGCGGUCGGGAUCGCGCGAUGGUUAACUCCUACCAACCCUUCCCCUAGGAGUAUGCGUUUAGCACUUUGUUUCGAUUACUAUUAAAACUUUCGCAAUAAGUAUAUGAGUUCUUCAUGACUAAUGUGAGUCCAUGGUAUAGAUGCACUCUCACCUUCCACCAUUGGUAGCCUCUCUAGUGUCGCGCAACUUUCGCCGGUGCACAAACCCACCAUAUACCUUCCUCAAAACAGCCAUCAUACCUACCUAUUAUGGCAUUUUCAUAGCCAUUCCGAGAUAUAUUGCCAUGCAACUUCCACCGUUCCGUCUCAUGACAUGUGCCAUCAUUUUCAUUUUACCAUUGCAUGAUUAUAAGAUAGGUAGCGAGAUGUUUCAACGUCAUACACUAAGCUAGAUCGUUGCACAUCCCGGUACACUGCCGGAGGCAUUUCAUAUAGAGUCAUUAUUGUUCCAAGUAUUGAGUUGUAAGUAAAUAAAAGUGUGAUGAUCAUCGUUAUUAGAGCAUUGUCCCAUGUGAGGAAAUAAAAAAAAAGAGGCCAAAGAUGCCCACCAAAAAAAAUGAAAUGAAAAACGAGGCCAAAGAGCCCAAACAAAAAAAAUAAUGAGAGAAAAAGAGAGAAGGGACAAUGCUACUAUCUUUUUUCCACACUUGUGCUUCAAAGUAGCACCGUGUUCUUCAUGAUAGAGAGUCUCUUGUUUUGUCACUUUCAUAUACUAGUGGGAAUUUUCAUUAUAUAACUUGGCUUGUAUAUUCCAAUGAUGGGCUUCCUCAAAAUUGCCCUAGGUCUUCGUGAGCAAGCAAGUUGGGUGCACAACCACUAGUUUUCUUUUUGAGCUUUCAUACACUUAUAGCUCUAGUGCAUCCGUUGCAUGGCAAUCCCUACUCACUCACAUUGAUAUCUAUUGAUGGGCAUCUCCAUAGCCCGUUGAUACGCCGAGUCGAUGUGACCAUCUCCUCCUUUUUGCCUCACAACCUCCACCACACUCUAUUCCACCUAUAGAGCUAUAUCCAUGGCUCACGCUCAUGUAUUGCGUGAGAGUUGAAAAAGUUUGAGAAAGUAAGAGUGUGAAAACAAUUACUUGGCAAAUACCGAGGUUGUGCAUGAUUUAAAUUCAUUGUGUGGGGAUGAUGGAGCAUAGCCAGACUAUAUGAUUUUGUAGGGAUAACUUUCUUUGGCCUUGUUAUUUCAAAAGUUCAUGAUUACUUUGCUAGUAUGCUUGAAGUAUUAUUGUUUGCAUGUCAAUAUUAAACUAUUGUUUUGAAUCUUACGAAUCUGAACAUUCAUGCCACAAUAGAUAAGUUACAAAGAACAAAUAUGUUAGGUAGCAUUCCACAUCAAAAAUUCGGUCUUUAUCACUUCCCUAGUCGAGGACGAGCAGGAGUUAAGCUUGGGGAUGCUUGAUACGUCUCCAACGUAUCUAUAAUUUUUGACUAUUCCAUGCUAUUAUAUUAUCAACUUGGGAUGUCUUAUAUGCAUUUAUAUGCUAUUUUAUAUCAUUUUUGGGACUAGCCUAUUAACUCAGUGCCCAGUGCCAGUUUCUAUUUUUUCCGUGUUUUUGAUCUUUUUCAGAUAAGAAUAUUAAACGGAGUCCAAACGGAAUAAAACCUACACGGUGAUUUUUUUCCAUAAGAGAAGAUAGCCAGAAGACUUGAGAACCAAGGCAGGGGGUCUCGUGGGAGGAAACGAGCCCCCUAGGCACGCCCCAGGGGGGGGGGCUAGCAGGCUCGUGGGCCCCCCUUGCCUCCUUUGCCCUACCUCUUUCGCCUAUAAUUUUUCUAAAAUCCCGAAACCAACCGGGAGAGCCACGAAAAUAAUUUUCCGUCGCUGCAAGCUUCUGUUUCUGCGAGAUCCCAUCUGGGGACCGUUCUGGUGCCCUGCCGGAGGGGGAUUCGGGCACGGAGGGCUUCUUCAUCAACACCAUUGCCUCUCCGAUGAUGCGUGAGUAGUUCACCACAGACCUUCGGGUCCAUAGCUAGUAGCUAGCUGGCUUCUUCUCUCUCUUGGAUCUUCAAUACAAAGUUCUCCAUGAUCUUCAUGGAGAUCUAUCCGAUGUAACUUUUUUUUGCGGUGUGUUUGUCGAGAUCCGAUGAAUUGUGGAUUUAUGAUCAGCUUAUCUAUGAAUAUUAUUUGAGUCUCCUUUGAUUUCUUAUAUGCAUGAUUUCGUAUCCUUGUAAUUCUCUUCGAGUUGUGGGUUUCGUUUGGCCAACUUGAUCUAUGCUACUGCGUCAACAGACCUUCCUUGGCAACGGCGCCAGGAAUCCUUCUGCUACGAGCUACGCCUAUAGGGACUUCCUUGGCAAAUAUGCAAACGAUUUCCCCGCGGCCUUGGAGCCUUGCGUUUGUGUUCCAUUGAAGAGGAAAGGGUGAUGUAGCACAGCGGCGGUAAGUAUUUCCCUCAGUUUGAGAACCAAGGUAUCGAUCCAGUGGGAGGAUCGCGUCAAGUCACAAGUACCUGCACAAACCCAAAGAGCUUGCACCCAACACUAUGAAGGGGUUGUCAAUCCCUUAUAGAUUGUUUGCAAAGUGAGAACUGAAAGCAAAAAGUAAACAAAGCAAAAUAAAAGUGAAAGUGGAGAUGAUAGUUGUGAAUAGACCCGGGGGCCGUAGUGUUCACUGGUGGCUUCUCUCAUGAAAGCAAGUAGACGGUGGGUGAACGAAUUACUGUCGAGCAAUUGAUAUAACCGCGCAAAGUCAUGACAUUAUCUAAGGCAAUGAUUAUUCUAUAGGCAUCACGUCCAAAAACGAGUAGACCGAUACUUUCUGCAUCUACUACUAUUACUCCACACGUCGACCGCUAUCCAGCAUGCAUCUAGUGUAUUAAGUCCAAAAGAACAGAGUAACGCCUUAAGCAAGAUGACAUGAUGUAGAUGAACAAUCUCAAAUUUAUGAUGAAAGCCCAUCUCGUUACGCUUGAUGGAAACAACACGAUGCGUGCCUUGCUGCCCCUUCUGUCACUGGGAAAGGUCACCACACGGUAUGAACCCAAAACCCAAGCACUUCUCCCAUUGCAAGAAUCAUAGAUCUAGUUGUCCAAACAAAACCCAAGACUCGGAGAGACUUACAAGGAUAUCCAAUCAGGCAUAUAAGAAAUCAACAAAGACUCAAAUAUAAUUCAUAGAUAAUCUGAUCACAAAUCCACAAUUCAUCGGAUCUCGACAAACACACCGCCAAAGAGGAUUACAUCGGAUAGAUCUCCAUGAAGAUCAUGGAGAACUUUGUAUUGAAGAUCCAAGAGAGAGAAGAAGCCAUCUAGCUACUAACUACGGACCCGUAGGUCUGAAGUGGACUACUCACGAGUCAUUGGAGAGGCGAUGAUGUUGAUGUAGAAGCCCUCCAACUCCAAAGUCCCCUCCGGCAGGGCACCGGGAAGGGUCUCCAGAUGAGUUCUCGCGGAAACGGAAGCUUGCGGCGGCGGAAAAGUGUUUUCGUGGAUGCCCUGAUUUUUUCUGCGAUUUUAGGGAAUUUAUAGGCCAAAGAGCUAGGGCAGGGGAGCGCCAGGGAGGCCACAAGCCUGGUUGCCGCGGGGCCCCCUGGCCGCGGCAACAGGGCUUGUGGGCUCCGUGUGGGCCCCCUGCCUUGGCCCUCAAGUCCCGUGACCUUCUUCUGAUCUGGAAAAAAUUAUUUCGGGGAUUUUAUUCCGUUUGGACUUGUUCCAAAAUCAGAUCUGAAAAGAGUAAAAAACAUAGAAAAACAGGAACUCGCACUUGGCACUGAAUUAAUAAGUUAGUCCCAAAAAAAGAUAUAAAAGGUAUAUAAAACAUCCAAAGUUGACAAGAUAACAGCGUGAAACCAUCAAAAAUUACAGAUACGUUUGAGACGUAUCAAUCUAUAAUUCUUGGAAUGGGAGAAGUGCUUGGUUUUGGUUUCAUACUGUGCGGUGUCCUCACCUAGUGACAGAAGGGGUAGCGAGGCACGCCUCGUGUUGUUGCCAUCAAGGGUAAAAAGAUGGGGUUUAUAUCAUCUUGCAUGAAUUUAUCCCUCUACAUCUUGUCAUCUUGCUUAAGGCGUUACUCUGUUUGUUAUGAACUUAAUACACUAGAUGCAUGCUGGAUAGCGGUCGAUGUGUGGAGUAAUAGUAGUAGAUGCAGAAAGUAUCGGUCUACUUGUCUCGGACAUGAUGCCUAUAUGUAUGAUCAUUGCCUUAGAUAUCGUCAUGACUUUGCGCGAUUCUAUCAAUUGCUCGACAGUAAGUCGUUCACCCACCGUAAUACUUGCUAUCAUGAGAGAAGCCUCUAGUGAACACUAUGGCCCCCGGGUCUAUUUUACACAUCAUAUAUUCAGAUUUACAUAAAAAAUACCAAAAAUACCUUGCUGCACUUUUUUUAUUUAUUUAUAUUACCUAUUAUCACUAUCAGAUCUCACCUUGCAAGUAACCGUAAAGGGAUUGACAACCCCUUUAUCCCGUUGGAUGCAAGUUUGUUUGUUUUUGCGCAGGUGCAUUGGUGCCUCAUCUUGAUACUCCUACUGGAUUGAUACCUUGGUUCUCAAACUGAGGGAGAUACUUAUCUCUACUUUGCUGCAUCACCCUUUCCUCUUCAAGGGAAAAACCAACGCAAGCUCAAGAAGUAGCAAUAUGCUUUAUCCAUAUUGAACUUUUCCAGUAUGUUUUGGAUGUAAGCAGACCGAUGAACAAGUAUUCCUGAAGAAAAAUGUUCAAGUUGCAAACCAAGACAAAUUUUGGUUUUACCCAAAUCUUUCAUCUCAAAUUCCUCUUGAGAUGAUCACUUGCCUUAUGUAUUUCACGUGUAGUCCCAAUGAUGUUCAAGUCAUCAACAUACACGGAAAUUAUACAAAAUCCAUCAGUGGAUUUCUUGAUGAACACACAUGGGCAAUCAUUGUUGUUUGAGUAAUCCUUCUCCAGAAGGAACUAACUUAGUCGGUUAUACCACAUUCUAUCCGACUGUUUCAAGCCGUAUAAUGACUUUAGUAGCUUUACGCAAUACAUGUUGCGGUUAGCUUUUGGAUCCGGAAUCUUCAGUCCCUCGGGAACUUUCAUAUAGAUAUCCGUCUUAAGUGACCCAUAUAAAUAUGCAGUCACAACAUCCAUGAAUUGGAUAUACAAGUUCAUUUGCACUGCCAGUGAUAUCAAGUAUCGGUAUGUGAUUCCACUCAUCACAGGAGAAAAUGUUUCAUCAUAAUCGAUGUCGGGUCUUUGUGUAAACCCUUGUGCUACAAGCCUCGCUUUAUAUCUCACCACCUCAUUGUUUUCUUUCCUUUUACGAACAAAAAGCCAUUUUGCCCCCACGGGGAAAACAUUAGGAGUAGGUAUUACUGCAGUAAAUACCCCUCUCUUGGCAAGCGAGCGCAAUUCAUCCUCUAUUGCAACCUUCCAAUUGGACCAGUCUGAGCAUUUCAUACGCUCUGCCAUGGACUUAGGUUCACGAUCCAAUGCCAGGUCAUCUGCAUUCUUUGAGGCAAAAAAUAUGUCGACAAUUGUAGUCUUUCUGUUGAAUGAUUCUCCUGAUUCAAUGUAGUUGAUGGAAAUCUCAUCAAUACCUUCUGACUCAUUGUGAAUUCCCACAACAAUCGAGUCAAGGUGUACCAAUGUCCCAGCACCAAUAUUUGUGUGCACAGUUGUGCUGGGUUCUGGAUGCAUAACAUCCUUUAGGUGUCUUUCAACACUAGGUUCAAUAUCAACUCGUGGUUGAACUACAUUUACAAUUAAAGGGAUCCUCACUUCCCGCGAACGCUUCUGAGAAGCCCAGUCCUUUUUAUCCAGUUUUCUCCCCCUCUUGGGCGGUUGAGUGGUAUUAUGAGAUAUCUCAACUCUCUCUGGAACAUUCAUAGCGGGAACAUGGGAUUUAGUGACACCUUUAUAAUCAGUAAAUGCAUCUGGCAGAUUAUUUGCAAUAUUUUGCAAAAUAAUAAUCUUUUGAACUUCCAGUUCAGAUUCAUUCGUACGUGGAUCUAAGGACUGAAUGCCUUUAACAUUCCAAUCUAUUUCCCGACAUUCUUUGUGGUUCUUUUCUCCCCCUAAUGCCUGAAAAUUGUCCUCAUCGAAGAUACAAUCAGCGUACCGGGCUGUAAAUAGGUCCCCUGUUAGAGGCUCCAGGUACUUUAUAAUCAACGGAGAAUUGUACCCCACAUAGAUCCCCAUUUUUCUAAGUGGACCCAUCGAUGUACGCUGAGGUGGUGAUAUCGGUACGUACACAGCGCAACCAAAUCUUCGAAGAUGGGAAAUACUUGGUUGAUUUCCACGUACUAACUGCAGCGGGGAGGCUGUAUGAUAUGCAGUUGGUCGAAUUUGUAUCAACUUUGCGGCAUGCAAUACCAAAUUUCCCCAACAAGAAGUUGGAAGGUUACAAUUAUGUAGGAGUGGUCUUGCUAUCAACUUGAUCCUCUAGAUAAGGGAUUCCGCAAGACCAUUUUGUGUGUGUACACAUGGCACAGAAUGCUCCACGGUUAUGCCCAAGGCUAGGCAGUAAUCAUUGAAUGCUCGUGAACUAAAUUCAGCAGCAUUAUCCAUUCUGAUGGAUUUUAUCAUGUGUUCAGGAUGAUUUUCCCUCAGUUUAAUGAUUUGAGUAAUCAGCUUUGCAAAAGCAUGGUUCCUUGUUGAUAAUAGACACACAUUAGACCAUCUUGUUGAUGCAUCAAUGAGCACCAUAAAAUAUCUAAAUGGUCCCGAUAACGGUUGAAUUGGACCACAUAUAUCUCCUUGAAUGCGUUCAAGAAAAUUAAGUGGUUCAUUCUUGAUCUUCAGAUAUGAAGGUCUUGUGAUUAAUUUCCCAGUUGCACAUGCAGUGCAUACGAAAUCCAAGGAUUUGGGGAAAUUAGCAACCGUUAUGUUGUGUCCAAUUGAACCGUCAAUAAUUUUUCUCAUGAUCCUCACACGAGGAUGACCCAGGCGAUCAUGCCAUAUCUUGAACUUGUCAAGAUUCUGAAAAAUUAUUUUGUAUGCCAAAUGUUGCUCUGGCUUGAUGUAUGUGCAAUACAGUCCAGAAGAUAGAGCAGGCAGUCUCUCAAGGGUUUCCUUGUUGGAUCCCUUCUGCUGAGUUAUGAGUAGGCUUUCAACCGCAUUGUUUUCAUGAGUUUCAAUGUGGUAGCCAUUCAUACGGAUAUCCUCAAAACUCAACAUGGUACGAGUUGAAUCCGGAUACAAUAAAGCCUCCUGGAUUUCAAGUUUUGUACCAUUCGGGAGGGUAAAUGUGGCUUGACCAGAACCAACAAUUACCGUGUCAUGACCACCAAUUGUCAUAACACUUCCCUUACUCUUUUUGAGACUUUGGAAGUAUUUAACCUCCUGUAGAAUUGUGUUAGAGGCACCACAAUCCACUAAACAAAUUUCCUCCUCCAUUGGAUUAUUUCUCGAAGUUUUCUAUAGAGUAAAAGAAUAAAAUUCAUUAUUUAUCCAAUCUCAUAUAGAAUUAACACAUACAUUACAUACUAUGUAUGUUUGCUUACAAAUUAUAAUACAUUAUGUUUAAGGACAUAAUUAUUACAAUACCAUAUGCCCGAGGAUAUAAUUAUUUUACAACGCACAAUAUAACUAAGGACAUCAUCACAACACUUAUGACAUUAUUGGAAGAUCAAAGCAUAUCUCCAUAUGUGUCAUUAGUAGAAGUGAAAUCCACCAACAUGUCAUCAACAUUAAGUGGCGGUCCUUCCUUUUGCUGAGCCUGAUCUUGGUUCUCCAUGUUGUCAUGAACAGCGUUCAGAUGAACGUCUUGAGAACUUUCAAUCACUGGACCAGUGAAGUGAGCUUCGUACUGGUUCCCUUGAGCCUUCUUGCCCUUGCUAAUCGAUUGCUGAUACAACAUCACCAAAUUCUUAGAAGUUGUACACUUCCUUGCAUGAUGAGUAGUACAACCACAUCUGUAGCAAGCUUGAGAGCUGCUACCCUUAUCAUUUUUCUUAAAAUGAUUCUUACUCUUUUGUACUCCAUCGCUAUUCUGAUUCUCAUUGCGUCUCCAUUUUCCUUUAAAAUUCCUAUGGUUCCUUUUGGGACCAUGCGACUUCUGAGUAUUCUGAGAAUUAAAAUGUGCUUCAGGUAGCGGCAGUGUUCCCCUUGGACGGGACAUAUUAUUCUUAUCAAGAAUUUCACUGUGCUUUUCUGAAGGAGUGCAUAUAUCAACUCAGAAUGCUUCUUGUAUUUCUGCUGACGAUGUUGUUCAGCAGGAAUCCUCAUAUUAGGAAGGAAAGUAGAGAGUGUCUUUUCAAUGAGAUCCGCAUCCGAAACUACAGUAUUGCAGAAUCUCAACUUAGAGUUGAUUUGAUGCACGACAGAAUUGUACGCUGCAACGGACUUAAAAUCCUGGAAACGAAUAAGUGCCCAUUCUAUUUGCGCUUCUGGCAACAUCACCGACCUUUGUUGAUCAUAACGCUCCUUCAAGGAGUUCCAAAAUGAUAGAGGAUUUUCCUCAAUCAUAUACUCUUCUUUCAAAGUAGGAUCAAGGUGGUGCCGAAUGAAGUGCAAAGAAGCAUACUUUACCGACUCUGCGAUAGCAGGAGUACCUUGAGUAGGUGUGGUUAUAGUGCUGAUCAGAUUCUUGGCCGCUGCUACUUCUCGAGCUUGCGUUGGUUUUUCCCUUGAAGAGGAAAGGGUGAUGCAGCAAAGUAGCGAUAAGUAUUUCCCUCAGUUUGAGAACCAAGGUAUCAAUCCAGUAGGAGUAUCAAGACGAGGCACCAAUGUACCUGCGCAAAAACAAACAAACUUGCACCCAACGCUAUAAAGGGGUUGUCAAUCCCUUCACGAUUAUUUGCAAGGUGAGAUCUGAACGUGAAAAGUGCAACAAAGUAAUUUUAUAGAUCUGAAUAUAUGAUGUGAAGUAGACCCGGGGCCAUAGUGUUCACUAGAGGCUUCUCUCAUGAUAGCAAGUAUUACGGUGGGUGAUAGAAUUACUGCCGAGCAAUCGAUAGAAUUGCGCAAAGUCAUGAUGAUAUCUAGGGCAAUGAUCAUAUAUAUAUAUGCAUCACGUCCGAGACAAGUAGACCGAUACUUACUGCAUCUACUACUAUUACUCCACACAUCGAGCGCUAUCCAGCAUGCAUCUAGUGUAUUGAGUUCAUAACAAAUAGAGUAACGCCUUAAGCAAGAUGACAUGAUGUAGAGGGAUAAAUUCAUGCAAUAUGAUAUAACCCCAUCUUUUUACCCUUGAUGGCAACAACACGAUGCGUGCCUCGCUACCCCUUCUGUCACUAGGUGAGGAGACCACACGGUAUGAACCCAAAACCAAGCACUUCUCCCAUUGCAAGAAUUAUAGAUCAAGUUGGCCAAACGAAACCCAUAACUCGAAGAGAAUUACAAGGAGACGAAAUCAUGCAUAUAAGAGAUCAGAGGAGACUCAAAUAAUAUUCAUAGAUAAUCUGAUCAUAAAUCCACAAUUCAUCGGAUCUCGACAAACACACCGCAAAAGAAAGUUACAUCGGAUAGAUCUCCAAGAAGAUCAUGGAGAACUUUGUAUUGAAGAUCCAAGAGAGAGAAGAAGCCAUCUAGCUACAAGCUAUGGACCCGAAGGUCUGUGGUGAACUACUCACGCAUCAUCGGAGAGGCAAUGGUGUUGAUGAAGAAGCCCUCCGUGUCCGAAUCCCCCUCCGGCAGGGCACCAGAACGGUCCCUAGAUGGGAUCUUGCGGAGACAGAAGCUUGCGGCAGCGGAAAAGUAUUUUCAUGGCUAUCUCUGGUUGUUUUGGAAUUUUGGAGAAUUUAUAGGUGAAAGAGGUAGGGCAAAGGAGCCACGUGGGGCCCACAAGCCUGCCAGGCGCCCCCCAGGCCGCGGCUAGGGGUCUUGUGAUCUCCCCCGAGGUCUUAUGCCUUGGUUCUCAACUCCCCUGCGUAUCUUCUGUUAUGGAAAAAAUCAUCCCGCAGGUUUUAUUCCUUUUGGACUCCGUUUAAUAUUCUUCUCUGGAAAAGGUAAAAAACACGGAAAAAAUAGAAACUGACACUUGGCACUGUGUUAACAGGUUAGUCCCAAAAAAGAUAUAAAAUAGCACAUUCAUGCAUACAAAACAUCCAAAGUUGACAAUAUAAUAGAAUGAAACCAUCAAAAAUUAUAGAUACGUUGGAGGCGUAUCAAGCAUCCCCAAGCUUAACUCCUGCUCAUCCUCGAGUAGGGAAGUGAUAAGGACCGAAUUUUUGAUGUGGAAUGCUACCUAAGAUAUUUGUUCUUUGUAACUUAUUUCUUGUGGCAUGAAUGUUCAGAUCCGUAAGAUUCAAAACAAUAGUUCACUAUUGUCAUGAAGACAAUAAUACUUCAAGCAUACUAGUAAAGUAAUCAUGAACUUUUGAAAUAACAAGGCCAAAGAAAGUUAUCCCUACUAAAUCAUAUAGUCUGGCUAUGCUCCAUCAUACCGACACAACGAAUUUAAAUCAUGCACAACCCCGGUAUUGGCCAAGUAAUUUUUUUCGCACUCUUACUUUCUCAAACUUUGUCAACUCUCACGCAAUACAUGAGCAUGAGCCAUGGAUAUAGUACUAUAGGUGGAAUAGAGUGUGGUGCAGGUUGUGAGGCAAAAAGGAGGAGAUGAUCGCAUUGACUUGCCGUAUCAUUGGGCUAUGGAGAUGCCCAUCAAUAGAUAUCAACGUGAAUGAGUAGGGAUUGCCAUGCAACGGAUGCACUAGAGCUAUAAGUGUGUGAAAAGCUCAAAAGGAAAACUAGUGGGUGUGCACCCAACUUGCUUGCUCACGAAGACCUAGGGCAAUUUUGAGGAAGCCCAUCAUUGGAAUAUACAAGCCAAGUUAUAUAAUGAAAAUUCCCACUAGUAUAUGGAAGUGUCAAAACAAGAGACUCUCUAUCAUGAAAAGCAUGGUGCUAUUUUGAAGCACAAGUGUGGAAAAAGAUAGUAGCAUUGUCCCUUCUCUCUUUUUCUCUCAUUUUUUUGUUUGGGCUCUUUGGCCUCUUUUUUUCAUUUUUUUGGUGGGCAUCUUUGGCCUCUCUUUUUUAUUUCCUCACAUGGGACAAUGCUCUAAUAGUGAUGAUCAUCACACUUUCAUUUACUUACAACUCAAUACUUACAACAAUGAUGACUCUAUAUGAAAUGCCUCCGACAGUGUACCGGGAUGUACAACGAUCUAGCUUAGCGUAUGACGUUGAAACAUCUCGCUAGCUAUCUUACAAUCAUGCAAUGGCAAUAUUAAAGUGACGGCAUAUGUCAUGAGACGGAACGGUGGGAGUUGCAUGGCAAUAUAUCUCGGAAUGGCUAUGAAAAUGCCAUAAUAGGUAGGUAUGGUGGAUGUUUUGAGGAAGGUAUAUGGUGGGUUUGUGCAGCGGCGAAAGUUGCGAGGCACUAGAGAGGCUAGCAAUGGUGGAAGGGUGAGAGUGCGUAUAAUCCAUGGACUCACAUUAGUCAUGAAGAACUCAUAUACUUAUUGCGAAAGUUUUAUUAGUAAUCGAAACAAAGUGCUAAACGCAUACUCCUAGGGGAAGGGUUGGUAGGUGUUAACCAUCGCGCGAUCCCAACCGGCACACAAAGGAUGACAAUCAAUAAAUCAAUUAUGCUCCUACUUCCUAACAUAGCGGUUCACCAUACGUGCAUGCUACGGGAAUCACUAACCUCAACACAAGUAUUUCUAGAUUCACAACACCCUACUAACAUAACUCUAAUAUUACCAUAUCCAUAUCUCAAAACUAAUUGUGAGGAAUCAAACUUCUCUUACUAAUCAAUGCACUUGAAUAUGGAAGUUUUUAUUAUAUCCUCUUUGGAUGCCUAUCAUCUUUAGGACUACUUUCAUAACACACACCAAUUACCAAGUUACUUAGAGAGAGCACUCUCGAAAAGAUAUAAGUGAAGAUCGAGAGUUUUUAUUUCUUCAAAAUAUGAAACCGUCGUGCUCUAAAAAGAUCUAAGUGAAGUACUAGAGCAAAGUUAUUUAGCUCAAAAGAUAUAAGUGAAGCACAUGUGAGCUAAAUUGCCUAACUCAAAAGAUAUAAGUGAAGCUCAAUGAGUAAUCUAGAAAAUUCACGAUGAGUGCAUGUCCCUCUAAAAAAGGUGUGCAGCAAGGAUUAUUGUGACAAAACAAAAAUAAAAGACUCCUAUAAUAGAUGAUGCUCCAAGCAAAACACAUAUCAUGUGGUGAAUAAAAAUAUAGCUCCAAGUAACGUUAUGAAGACAAAAGAGGGGAUGCCAAAGAUCCCCAAGCUUAGGCUUUUUGGUGUCCUUGAAUUUGACUUGGGAUGUCUUGGGUAUCCCGAAGCUUAAGCUCUUUCCACUUUUUAUCCCAUUGUCCAUGAGAACAUCACCCAAAACUUGAAAACUUCACAACACAAAACUUAAACAGAAACUCGUGAUAUCAUUAGCAUAAGAAAACAAACCACCAACUCUUUAGGUACUGUAGUAAACUUGAUUUAUAUUUAGAUUGAUGUUAUAUUACUGUAUUGUCACUUUUCCAUGGCUAGUACCCCCCGAUACUAACCAUAGUUUCAUCAAAAUAAACAAUCAACACAACAAAAAACAAAAUAUGUCAAAAACAGACCAGUCUGUAGCACUCUGUAUACUUCGUAUACCUCUGGUAUCCCAAAAAUUAUGAACAAUUAUGACAAUUAGGGCAAUUCGCACAUCAAUCAGCAGCAAAAAGAAUCAACUCAAAAUCUCUUUCUGGAUAGGAAUUAUAAAUAAUUUCGUGAGCGCAAAGUUUCUGUCUUUUUCAGCAUGAUUAAACAACUAUCACCAAAACUAAUCAUAAAGGUUCUACUUGGCACAAACAGUAAAAACAUAAAAAACACAAUCAUAAUAGAAUUAUGAUGGUGUGUACACAACAAAACAGAAAGUGAAAAGCAAAAAUAAAUUUAUUCAUUGGGUUGCUUCCCAAUAAGCGCUUUUCUUUAAAGCCUUUUAGCUAGGCAUUGAUAAUUCAAUGAUGCUCACAUAAAAGAUAGCAAUCGGACACGAAUAGAGCAUCAUGAAACAUGUGACAAACAUAUCUAAGUCUAACAUACUUCCUCUGCAUAGGCAUUUUAUAGGAAAACAAAUUGUCAAUACAACCAAUAGUUACCAUAUGCAAGGAAGAAGAAAGAGACAAUAGCAAUCUCAACAUAACGAGAGGUGAUUUAGUGAUAUGAAAAUUUCUACAAUCAUAUUUUCCUCUCUCAUAAUAAUUACAUGUGGGAUCAUAUUCAAAUUAAACAAUAUAACUAUCACAUAGGAUAUUCUUUUCAUGAUCCACAUGCAUGCAAAGUUGACGCUCUUCAAAAAUAGUGGGAUUAGCAUCAACUAAAGUCAUGACUUCUCCAAACCCACUUUCAAUAUUAUUGCAAAUAUCAUAUUCAUCAUGAGGCUUAAACAAGUUUUCAAGAUCAUAAGAAAAAUCAUCACCCCAAUCAUGAUCAUUGCAACAAGUAGUGGACAUAGCAAAACUAGCAUCCCCAAGCUUAGGGUUUUGCAUAUUUUUAGCAUAACUGACAUUCAUAGAACUUAUAGUGAAACCAUUGCAAUCAUGCUUUUCAUUUAAGGAGCCCUCGUGAAUCACUUCAUAAAUUCCUUCAUCACAACUUUUUAGAUUCACGCAUCUCAAGCUAAAACUUCAUAAAGAAAMUCUAGUGCACAAAACUCACGAGCAAUUGGUUCAACAUAAUUGGAUCUCUUAAAGACUUUAGCAAGUGGGUGAGGAUCCAUACCAAUAGAUUUUCAGCAAGCGAAGAUGCAAGCAUAUUGAAGGCACAUAGCUCACAAGCAAAGGAAAGGCAAACGAAAAAGGCAAAUAUUUUUGUAAUUUUUGUUUUUUAGAAGUGGGGGAGAGGAAAAUGAGAGGCAAAAGGCAAAUAAUGUAAAUGCAAGAGAUGAGUUUGCGAUAGUUACUUGGAUAUGCUUCACUUGAAUACUCCCCGGCAACGGCGCCAGAAAUUCUUCUUGCUACUUCUCGAGCUUGCGUUGCUUUUUCCCUUGAAGAGGAAAGGGUGAUGCAACAAGUACNGUUUANAAGUAUUUCCCUUAGUUUGAGAACCAAUGUAUCAAUCCAGUAGGAGUAUCAAGAUGAGGCACCAACGUACCUGCGCAAAAACAAACAAACUUGCAACAAACGCUAUGAAGGGGUUGUCAAUCCCUCCACAAUUAUUUAAAAGGUGAGAUCUGAAGGUGAAAAGUGCAACAAAGUAAUUUUGUAGAUCUGAAUAUAUGAUGUGAAGUAGACCCGGGGGCCAUAGUGUUCACUAGAGGCUUCUAUCAUGAUAGCAAGUAUUACGGUGGGUGAACGAAUUACUGUCGAGCAAUUGAUAGAAUCGCGGAAAGUCAUGAUGAUAUCUAAGGCAAUGAUCAUACAUAUAGGCAUCACGUCCGAGACAAGUAGACCGAUACUUUCUACAUCUACUACUAUUACUCCACACAUCGACCGCUAUCCAGCAUGCAUCUAGUGUAUUGAGUUCAUAACAAUCAGAGUAACGCCUUAAGAAAGAUGACAUGAUGUAGAGGGAUAAAUUCAUGCAAUAUGAUAUAAACCCCAUCCUUUUACCCUUGAUGGCAACAACACGAUGCAUGCCUCACUACCCCUUCUGUCACUAGGUGAGGACACCGCACGGUAUUGAUACGUCCAUUUUGCAUCAUGUUUUCAUGUUGAUAUUUAUCGCCUCUUUGGCUGUUAUUUCACUUCAUGGUACAAUACCGGGCCAAAGAAGUGCUAGAGGGGCGCCAGGGGGUGCCCACAAAACUGCACGGCGCGGCCACCCCCCAGGUCGCGCCAUGAGGGCUUGUGGGCUAUAUGAAGGGUUUCGUCCAGGAAAAAAAAAUCAAGGAGGAGAUUUUUCGUGGUUUCGCCGCCGCCACGAGGCGGAACUUGAGCAGAACCAAUCUAGAGCUCCGGCAGGACGAUCCUGCCGGGGAAACUUCCCUCCCGGAGGGGAAAUCAUCGCCAUCGUCAUCACCAACACUCCUCUCGUCGGAGGGGAGGCAUCUUCAUCAACAUCUUCAUCAGCACCAUCUCCUCACCAAUCCCUAGUUCAUCUCUUGUAACCAAUCUUUGUCUCGCGACUCCGAUUGGUACUUGUAAGGUUGCUAGUAGUGUCGAUUACUCUUUGUAGUUGAUGCUAGUUGGAUUACUUGGUGUAAGAGUUUAAGUUCAGAUCCUUGAUGCUAUUCAUUACACCUAUGGUCAUGAUUAUGAUUAUGUCUUGUGAGUAGUUACUUUUGUUCCUGAGGACAUGGGAUAAGUCAUGUUAAUAAUAGUCAUGUGAAUUUGAUAUUCGUUCGGUAUUUUGAUAUGUUGUAUGUUGUCUUUUCCUCUAGUGGUGUUAUGUGAACGUCGACUACAUAACACUUCACCAUAUUUGGGCCUAGAGGAAGGCAUUGGGGAGUAGUAAGUAGAUGAUGGGUUGCUGGAGUGACAGAAGCUUAAACCCCAGUCUAUGCGUUGCUUCGUGAGGGGCUGAUUUGGAUCCACUAGUUUAAUGCUAUGGUUAGACUUUGUCUUAAUUCUUAUUUUGUAGUUGCGGAUGCUUGUGAGAGAGGUUAAUCAUAAGUGGGAUGCUUGUCCAAGUAAGGGCAGUACCCAAGCGCCGGUCCACCCACAUAUCAGACUAUCAAAGUAACGAACGCGAAUCAUAUGAACAUGAUGAAACUAGCAUGACAGAAAUUCCCGUGUGUCCUCGGGAGCGUUUUCCCUCCUAUAAGACUUUGUUCAGGCUUGUCCCUCGCUAUAAAAUGGAUUGGGCCACUUGCUGCACCGUUGCUAUUACUUGUUACUUGUUACUAUUUGCUUGCUACGUUUCACCUCGCUACACAAUCACUUGUUACCGCUACUUUUAGUGCUUGCAGUUGCAGAAAUCCGUUUAUCAGAGUCUUCUGCUGCUUGUUGGGUUCGACACUCUUUCUUAUCGAAAGGACUACGAUUUAUCCCCUAUACUUGUGGGUCAUCAAGACUCUUUUCUGGCGCCGUUGCCGGGGAGUGAAGCGCCUUUGGUAAGUGGAAAUUGGUAAGGAAACAUUUAUAUAUUGUGCUGAAAUUUAUUGUCACUUGUCACUAUGGAAACUGUUUCUUUGAGGAGUUUGUUCGGGGUAUCUUCAGCACGAACGGAAGCACGAGGAGUUGCUCCUCAACCCGAGGUACCUACUGAAAAUAUAUUUUAUGAAAUUCCUUUGGGUAUGCUUGAGAAACUGCUGGCUAAUCCUUUCACAGGAGAUGGAUCUUAACAUCCAGACUUGCAUCUAAUCUAUGUAGAUGAAGUUUGUGGUUUAUUUAAGCUUGCAGGUUUGCCCGAGGAUGAGGUAAAGAAGAAAGUCUUUCCUUUAUCUUUGAACUAUAAGGCGUUGACAUGGUAUAGGCUAUGUGAUGAUACUGGAUCAUGGGGCUACAAUCGGUUGAAAUUGGAAUUUCAUCAAAAGUUCUAUCCUAUGCAUUUAGUACAUCGUGAUCGGAACUUUAUUUAUAACUUUUGGCCUCGUGACAGGGAAAGCAUAGCUCAAGCUUGGGGGAGGCUUAAAUCAAUGCUAUAUUCAUGCCCCAAUCAUGAGCUCUCGAGAGAAAUCAUCACUCAAAACUUUUAUGCUCGGUUUUCUCAUGAAGAUCGUACCAUGCUUGACACUUCUUGUGCCGGUUCUUUUAUGAAGAAGGAUAUUGAUCACAAGUGGAAUUUAUUGGAGAGAAACAAACACAACUCUGAAGAUUGGGAGCUGGAGGAAGGUAAGGAGUCAGGUAUGAAUUUCCAUUUUGAUUGUGUUAAAUCUUUUGUUGAGACAAACACUUCUAGAGGUUUUAGCGCUAAGUAUGGACUUGACUCUGAGAUAAUAGCUUCUCUAUGUGAAUCUUUUGUUGCUCAUGUUGAUCUUACCAAAGAGAAGUGGUUUAAAUAUCAUCCUCCUGUAGAAAGCAACAUAGCCAAAACCAAUCUAGUUGAGGAGAAAAUCAUAGCUUUUAGUGAUCCUGUUGUUCUUGUGCUUACACUGAGAAACCACCAUACCCUCCUAGGAUAAAGGAUUAUUCUAAAGCUCCAACUGUGAUACGUAGGGGUUACAUUAGACCAUUUGCACCCCCUAAGGAGAUUAGAGUUGAACCUAGUGUUGCUAUUAUCAAAGAUCUCUUAGCUGAAGACAUAGAUGGGAAUGUUAUCAAAUUCUGUGAGGACUCCGCUAGAAUUGCUAAACCUCACGCGAAAGACAAACACAGACCUGUAGUUGGCCUGCCCGUUGUUUCUGUUAAGAUAAGAGAUCACUGUUACCAUGGUUUAUGUGAUAUGGGAGCUAGUGUUAGUGCAAUACCCCGUUCUCUAUAUGAUGAAAUCAAAGAUGAGAUUGCGCCUGCUGGAUUAGAACCCAUUGAUGUCACUAUUACGCUAGCUAAUAGAGACACUAUCUGCCCUCUGGGAAUUGUGAGAGACGUAGAAGUCAUGUGUGGUAAGACGAAGUAUCCUACUGAUUUCCUCGUCCUUGGUACUGCAGAAGAUAGCUUUUGUCCCAUCAUAUUCGGUAGACCCUUUCUCAACACUGUCAAUGCUCUAAUUGAUUGCAUUAAGCAGACGGUCACAGUAAGUUUCGAGGGUGUGUCUCAUGAAUUUAACUUCUCCAAGGUUGGAAGACAACCCCAUGAAAAAGAGUCGUCUGGUAGGGAUGAAAUCAUUGCUCUUGCCUCUAUUGCCGUACCUCCUACGGAUCCUUUAGAGCAAUAUUUGCUUGAGCACUAAAAUGAUAUGCAUAUGGAGGAGAGAGAUGAGAUAGAUAAAAUUGUCUUAGAACAAUAUCUUAUUCUCAAGAAUAAUCUGCCUGUUGAACUGCUCGGGGAUCCUCCCCCACCAAAGGGUGAUCCUGUGUUCGAGCUUAAACAGUUGCCUGAUACUCUUAAGUAUGCCUAUCUUGAUGAGAAGGAGAUAUAUCCUGUCAUUAUUAGUGCUCUCCUCUUAGAGCGCGAAGAGAAGAAGUUACUAAAAACUCUGAGGAAGCACCGCGCUGCUAUUGGAUAUACUCUUGAUGAUCUUAAGGGUAUUAGUCCUACACUAUGUGAGCACAAGAUUAAAACCGAUCCUGACUUUAAACCAGUUGUUGAUCAUCAAAGGAGAUUAAAUCCUAAGAUGAAAGAGGUCAUUAGAAAAGAAAUGUUAAAGCUUCUGUAAGCAAGAAUCAUUUAUCAUGUUGCUCGUAGUGAUUGGGUAAGUCCAGUACAUUGCGUACCUAAGAAGGGAGGUAUCACCGUCGUUCCUAAUGAUAAGGAUGAACUAAUCCCACAAAGGAUUAUUACCGACUAUAGGAUGAUGAUAGACUUCCGGAAACUGAACAAGGCAACCAGGAAAGAUCAUUAUCCUUUGCCGUUUAUCGACCAAAUGCUAGAAAGGCUAUCAAAGCACACGCACUUCUGCUUUCUAGACGGUUAUUCAGGUUUCUCGCAAAUACCUGUUGCACAAUCUGAUCAAGAGAAAACCACUUUCACCUGCCCUUUCGGUACCUUUGCCUAUAGACGUAUGCCUUUUGGCUUAUGUAAUGCACCUGCCACCUUCCAAAGAUGUAUGAUGGCUAUAUUCUCUGACUUUUGUGAAAAGAUUGUCGAGGUUUUCAUGGAUGACUUCUCCGUUUACAGGUCUUCCUUUGAUGAUUGCCUCAGCAACCUUGAUCGAGUCUUACAGAGAUGCGAAGAAACAAACCUCGUCUUGAAUUGGGAGAAGUGCCACUUUAUGGUUAAUGCAGGUAUCGUCUUAGGACACAAAAUCUCUGAAAGAGGCAUUGAAGUUGAUAAGGCUAAGGUUGAUGCAAUUGAGAAAAUGCCUUGCCCCACAGAUAUCAGAGGUAUACAAAGUUUCCUAGGUCAUGCUGGUUUCUAUAGAAGGUUCAUUAAAGACUUAUCUAAGAUUUCUAGGCCUCUUACUAACCUCUAGCAGAAGGAUGUUCCUUUUGUUUUUUAUAAGGAUUGUGAGGAAGCCUUUGAAAUACUUAAAAAGGCUUUGAUAACUGCACCUAUUGUUCAACCACCUAACUGGAACUUGCCCUUUGAAACCAUGUGUGACGCUAGUGAUUACGCUGUUGGUGCUAUUCUAGGACAGAGAGUUGACAAGAGGUUGAAUGUCAUUCACUACGCUAGUAAAACUCUAGACAGUGCCCAAAGAAACUAUGCCACUACGGAGAAGGACUUUUUAGCAGUCAUGUUUGCAUGUGAAAAGUUCAGAUCUUACAUAGUUGACUCCAAAGUCACUAUUCACUCUGAUCAUGCUGCUAUUAAGUACCUCAUGGAGAAGAAGGACGCUAAGCCUAGGCUGAUCAGAUGGGCUCUCCUGCUACUGGAAUUUGAUUUGCACGUCGUUGACCGAAAGGGUGCUGAUAACCCUGUAGCAUAUAACUUUUCUAGGCUAGAGAAUGUCCUUGAUGACCCACUACCAAUUGAUGACAGCUUUCCUGAUGAGCAAUUAAAUGUCAUCCGCACUUCACUUAGUGCACUGUGGUAUGCCGAUUAUGCAAACUAUAUCGUAGCCAAAUACAUAACACCCAGUUUCACCUAUCAACAAAAGAAGAAAUUCUUCUUUGAUUUGAGACACUACUUUUGGGAUGAUCCUAACCUUUAUAAGGAAGGAGUAGAUGGUGUUAUUAGACGUUGUGUGCCUGAACCUGAACAGGGACAGAUCCUGCAGAAGUGUCACUCCGAAGCCUACGCAGGAUACCAUGCUGGAGAUAGAACUGCCCAUAAGGUAUUGCAAUCAGGUUUCAAUUGGUCCACUCUCUUCAAGGAUUCCCGUAAGUUUGUCUUCUGUUGUGACGAAUGCCAAAGGAUAGGAAACAUCAGUAAGCGUCAAGAGAUGCAUAUGAACUAUUCACUUGUCAUUGAACCAUUUGAUGUCUGGGGCUUUGAUUAUAUGGGACCCUUCCCGAGUUCCAAUGGGUACACUCACAUCUUAGUUGUUGUGGAUUAUGUUACUAAGUGGGUAGAAGCUAUCCCCACUAAAAAUGUUGAUCACCACACCUCUAUUAAGAUGCUUAAAGAAGUCAUUUUCCAAAGAUUUGGAGUCCCUAGAUACUUGAUGACUGAUGGCGGUUCAUGCUUCAUUCACGGUGUUUUCCGCAAGAUGCUAGCUAAGUAUGAUGUCAACGAUAGAGUUGCAUCUCCCUAUCAUCCUCAGUCUAGUGGUCAAGUGGAGUUGAGUAAUAGGGAGAUCAAGUUGAUCUUACAAAAGACCGUCAAUAGAUCUUGAAAGAACCGGUCUAGCAAACUUGACGAUGCAUUAUGGGCUUAUAGGACUGCUUAUAAGAAUCCCAUGGGCAUGUCACCGUAUAAAAUGGUUUACGGUAAGGCCUGUUAUUUACCUCUCGAGCUGGAACAAAAAGCUUAUUGGGCAAUCAAAGAGCUCAACUUUGAUUUCAAACUUGCCGGUGAGAAGCGGUUGUUUGAUAUCGGCUCGUUAGAUGAAUGGAGAGCCCAGGAAUAUGAGAAUACCAGGUUGUUCAAGGAGAAGGUUAAGAGAUGGCACGACAAACGAAUACGGAAAUGAGAGUUCAAUAUAGGUGAUUAUGUCUUGCUAUACAAUUCUCGUUUGAGAGUCUUUGCAGGCAAGAUUCUCUCUAAAUGGGAAGGUCCCUAUGUUGUCGAGGAAGUAUAUCAUUCCGGUGCCAUCAAAAUCAAUAACAGAGAAGGAAAUUUUCCUAGAGUGGUAAAUGGGCAAAGAAUCACGCAUUACAUCUCUGGUACUCCCAUAAAUGUUGAGACCAAUAUCAUCAAUGUCAUAACUCCACAGGAGUACAUAAGGGAUGUUUAUCAGCCUGUUUCAGACCUUGAAAACGAAAAUGUAUCUGUUUCGGCAAGAAAUUGGACUCCGAUACUUUUCCAAUAGGAAUUUUCCUCAGUUUUGGAAUUUUUGGAAAAUUAGAAACAUAAAAAGCAGUCCGGAGAGCGAACGAGACAGCCACAAGGGCCCACUACGCCACCACCCCCUGGUGGCGGUGGGAAAGCUUAUGGGCACCUCGUGUGCCUCCCGGACUCUGUUUUCUUGCGGAGGACUCCUUCUGGCGCAGAAAAAAUCAAUAUAUAGUCGCCCGAAGGUUUUGAUCUCCGUGUCGCGCAGUUUUCCUCUGUUUUCGUUUCGAGCUUGUUCUGCCGCAGAUCUAGGUCAACAUGUCUUCUCAAGAUUCAAAGGGAGAGAUCUAUGUGGCUGACUACCUUGCUAACCCCAAGGUCUAUGGGGACUUGGAACCAUAUGGCUGGACCACUGAUGAGGAAGAGGACUAUGAGCCCAAAGGGAAGGAGCAAACGAGUUCCGAUGAAGAGGAGGCUCCUCUACCUCAACCUGCAAACACCCAUGUGGAGUUCAAGAAGUCAACCUCCUUGACCACAGGAAGAAGCCUAAGACCUUGUUUAUCCCUUCCCGUUUCUUGCAGGAGAGUAAGCAGGAACUUUGCCAUAGAGUGUUGAAACUUGAGGAACAAAAUGACGAUCUAAGGGAGCAGAACUUUUUGCUCAAGUGGAAAUUAGACAAGCUCAAGACUGCUCCAACAACACCACCAUCACCACCAAAGGAAGACAACUAAGCAUUGGUAUGGGCAAUCCCCUUGGCUUCUGCUAAGCUUGGGGGAGUUGCCGUGGUAUCGUAUCACCUUUAUAUCUUUUGCUUUUACCUUUGUUUUAGUUCUUUCCUUUUCAGUUUUUAUUUCUUCUUUUAGAGGAAUAAGUCUUUAGAUUUAGUUUGAGUCUUUUGCUUUUGUCUCUCCCCCGAUGUAUUCGAGCUUACGAGCUAUAUAAUAAAGAGUGUCUUAGUGAAGGGCUUUGCUUUGUGCCAUGAUCAGAAGUAUGAAAAGAACAAUAGCAUGAAAGAUCAUGAGACGAUCUUAUGGAAAGUGAUAACUUCACUUAUAACACGUACGAUGAUUGAAACUUGUUGAGAAUAAAUCAUAAUAGACCUCGGCCAUUGUUGCAAUUAAUAAGAAGUAAUAAGGAAAGAGAGGUUCACAUAUAAAUAUAUCAUCUUAGACACUUUUUGCAAUUGUGAGCACUCACCAAACUAUUACAUGCCUAGGAGUAGAUGUUGGACAAGGAAGACAACAUAAUGAAUUGUGUUUGCUUGGUUCCAAACAAUGUUAUAUGAUUAGAGAUCCCUUAGCAUGUGACGAUUGCUUCCACCUCAUAUUAGCCAAAACUCCCGCACCAAGUAGAGAUACUACUUGUGCAUCCAUAAACCUCCAACCAGUUUUGCCAUGAGAGUCCUCCAUACCUACCUAUGGAUUGAAUAAGAUCCUUCAAGUAAGUUGUCAUCGGUGCAAGCAAUAAAAAUUGCUCUCUAAUAUGUAUGAUCUAUUAGUGUGUGGAAAAUAAGCUUUGUACGAACCUGUGAUGAGGAAGACAUAAAAGCGACAGACUGCAUAAUAAAGUUCUUUAUCACAUGAGGCAAUAUAAAGUGAUGUUCCUCCGCACUAAGAGGACACACAUUCAAACCUCAAAAGCGCAUGCCAAUCUCUGCGUCCCUCUGCGAAGGACCUAUCUUGUACCUUUACUUUUUACCCUUGUAAGAGUCAUGGUGAUCAUCACCAAUUCCCUUUUUGCCUUUGUCUUGACUACCGUCACAUGCUUGGGAAAGAUCUAUAUUCAUAUAUCAACUUGGAGUUGAGUACUUAUGCUUUAUUGUUGUUGACUUUAACCUUGAGGUAAACCGUUGGGAGGCAAAACUAUAAGCCCCUAUCUUCCUCUGUGUCCAGCUGAAACUUUGACACCAUGAGUACCACGUGAGUUGUAACAAUUGUGGAAAACAAAAGAGAUGAUUGAGUAUGUGGGUUUGCCUUACAAGCUCUUAUUUGACUCUUUCCGAUGUUGUGAUAAAUUGCAAUUGCUUCAAUGACUAUGGACUAUUGUUGGUUACUUCUCGGUAAGGCUUUUGCUUCUUGCUUUGCUUUGUGAAGGAAUUGCUACUUUCCCAUAAGAAUCUUUAUGAUGUAUUGUUGUUCUAUGUGUGAUCAUGAUGCCCUCAUGUCCGUAUUAUGUUUUAUCGACACCUUCGUCCCUUAACAUGUGGACAUGUUUAUGGAACUUGGUUUUCGCUUGAGGACAAGCGGGGUCUAAGCUUGGGGGAGUUGAUACGUCCAUUUUGCAUCAUGUUUUCAUGUUGAUAUUUAUUGCUUUUGGGGUUGUCAUAUUACUUGUGGUACCAUAUUUAUGCCUUUUCUCUCUUAUUUUGCAAGGAUUAUUUGAAGAGGGAGAAUUCAGGCAGCUGGAAUUCUGGAAUGGAAAAGGAGCAAAUCCUAGUCCACUAUUAUGCACAUCUCCAAAUGCCCUGAAAAUUUACGUGGAUUUUUUCUGGAUUAUAUUAAAAAUACUGGGCGAAAGAACUACCGGAGGGGGGACACCAGGGCUCCACAAGCCCAACUGCGCCACCAGCCCCCUGGUGGCGGUGGGCAAGCUUGUGGGCUCCCUGAAGGCCCACUAGCCCCCCCUCUUUUGCUAUAUAAAGCGUCCUGGUCUGGAAAAAAUCAAGAGGGAGCUUUUUCGUGGUUUCGCCGCCGCCACGAGGCGGAACUUGAGCAGAUCCAAUCUAGAGCUCUGGCAGGACGAUCCUGCCGGGGAAACUUCCCUCCUGGAGGGGGAAAUCGUCGCCAUCGUCAUCACCAACACUCCUCUCGUCGGAGGGGAGGCAUCUUCAUCAACAUCUUCAUCAGCACCAUCUCCUCACCAAUCCCUAGUUCAUCUCUUGUAACCAAUCUUCGUCUCGCGACUCCGAUUGGUACUUGUAAGGUUGCUAGUAGUGUUGAUUACUCUUUGUAGUUGAUGCUAGUUGGAUUACUUGGUGGAAGAGUUUAUGUUCAGAUCCUUGAUGCUAUUCAUUACACCUCUGGUCAUGAUUAUGAUUAUGUCUUGUGAGUAGUUACUUUUGUUCCUGAGGACAUGGGAUAAGUCAUGUUAAUAAUAGUCAUGUGAAUUUGAUAUUCGUUCGGUAUUUUGAUAUGAUGUAUGUUGUCUUUUCCUCUAGUGGUGUUAUGUGAACGUCGACUACAUAACACUUCACCAUAUUUGGGCCUAGAGGAAGGCAUUGGGGAGUAGUAAGUAGAUGAUGGGUUGUUGGAGUGACAGAAGCUUAAACCCCAGUCUAUGCGUUGCUUCGUGAGGGGCUGAUUUGGAUCCACUAGUUUAAUGCUAUGGUUAGACUUUGUCUUAAUUCAUCUUUUGUAGUUGCUGAUGCUUGCGAGAGAGGUUAAUCAUAAGUGGGAUGCUUGUCCAAGUAAGGGCAGUACCCAAGCGCCGGUCCACCCACAUAUCAAACUAUCAAAGUAACGAACGCGAAUCAUAUGAACAUGAUGAAACUAGCAUGACAGAAAUUCCCGUGUGUCCUCGGGAGCGUUUUUCCUCCUAUAAGACUUUGUUCAGGCUUGUCCCUUGCUACAAAAGGGAUUGGGCCACUUGCUGCACCGUUGCUAUUACUUGUUACUUGUUACUCUUUUCUUGCUAUGUUUCACCUCGCUACACAAUCACUUGUUACCGCUACUUUCAGUGCUUGCAGUUAUUACCUUGCUGAAAUCCGUUUAUCAGAGCCUUCUGCUCCUCGUUGGGUUCGACACUCUUACUUAUCGAAAGUACUAUGAUUGAUCCCGUAUACUUGUGGGUCAUCACAUCUCAUCUCCAAACCCUAGUUCAUCACUUGUAACCAAUCUCCGUCUCGCGACUCCGAUUGGUACUUGUAAGGUUGCUGGUAGUGUUGAUUACUCUUUGUAGUUGAUGCUAGUUGGAUUAUUUGGUGGAAGAGUUUAUGUUCAGAUCCUUGAUGCUACUCAUUACCUCUCUGGUCAUGAAUAUUAUUAUGCUUUGUGAGUAGUUACUUUUGUUCCUGAGGACAUGGGAUAAGUCAUGCUAAUAGUAGUCAUGUGAAUUUGGUAUUCGUUCGAUAGUUUGAUAUGUUGUAUGUUGUUUUUCCUCUAGUGGUGUUAUGUGAACGUCCACUACAUAACAAUUCACCAUUAUUUGGGCCUGGAGGAAGGCAUUGGGAAGUAGUAAGUAGAUGAUGGGUUGCUAGAGUGACAGAAGCUUAAACCCUAGUUUAUGCGUUGCUUCGUAAGGGGCUGAUUUGGAUCCACUAGUUUAAUGCUAUGGUUAGACUUUGUCUUAAUUCUUCUUUCGUAGUUGCGGAUGCUUGUGAGAGGGGUUAAUCAUAAGUGGGAUGCUUGUCCACGUAAGGGCAGUACUCAAGCGCCGGUCCACCCACAUAUCAAACUAUCAAAGUAACGAACGCGAAUCAUAUGAACAUCAUUAAACUAGCAUGACAGAAAUUCCCAUGUGUCCUCGGGAGCGUUUUUCCUCCUAUAAGACUUUGUCCAGUCUUGUCCCUUGCUACAAAAGGGAUUGGGCCACUUUGCUGCACCAUUGCUACUUUUUUUACUUGUUGCUUGUUACGAAUCAUCUCACCACACAAUCACUAGUUACCGACAAUUUCAGUGCUUGCAGAUUUUACCUUGCUGAAAACCACUUGUCAGAUCCUUCUGCUCCUCGUUGGGUUUGACACUCUUACUUAUCGAAAGGACUACGACUGAUCCCCUAUACUUGUGGGUCAUCAGUUAUGAACCCAAAACCAAGCACUUCUCCCAUGCAAGAAUUAUAGAUCAAGUUGGCCAAACGAAACCCAUAACUCGAAGAGAAUUACAAGGAUACGAAAUCAUGCAUAUAAGAGAUCAGAGGAGACUCAAAUAAUAUUCAUAGAUAAUCUGAUCAUAAAUCCACAAUUCAUCGGAUCUCGACAAACACACCGCAAAAGAAAGUUACAUCGGAUAGAUCUCCAUGAAGAUCAUGGAGAACUUUGUAUUGAAGAUCCAAGAGAGAGAAGAAGCCAUCUAGAAACUAGCUAUGGACCCGAAGGUCUGUGGUGAACUACUCACGCAUCAUCGGAGAGGCAAUGGUGUUGAUGAAGAAGCCCUCCGUGUCCAAAUCCCCCUCCGGCAGGGCACCAGAACAGUCCCGAGAUGGGAUCUUGCGGAGACAGAAGCUUGCUACGGCGGAAAAGUAUUUUCGUGGCUCUCUCUGGUGGUUUUGGAAUUUUAGAGAAUUUAUAGGCGAAAGAGGUAGGGCAAAGGAGCCACGUGGGGCCCACAAGCCUACGAGCCCCCCCCAGACCGCGGCUAGGGGGCUUGUAAUCUCCCCCGAGGUCUUCUGCCUUGGUUCUCAAGUCCCGUGCGUAUCUUCUGUAAUGGAAAAAAUCAUCCCGCAGGUUUUAUUCCGUUUGACUCCGUUUAAUAUUGUUCUCUGGAAAAGGUCAAAAACACGGAAAAAAGAGAAACUGGCACUUGGCACUGAGUUAAUAGGUUAGUCCCAAAAAGAUAUAAAAUAGCAUAUUCAUGGAUACAAAACAUCCAAAGUUGACAAGAUAAUAGCAUGGAACCAUCAAAAAUUAUAGAUACGUUAGAGACGUAUCAGCCGCCAAGUUAAUCUUGACAUCCAUGGCCCAGGUUAGAUAAUUUGUGCCAUCAAUGGCAAGCUCAGCAAAUUCCUUCUUGGAUAUGUCAGCCAUAUCCUGCAUGAAAAUAUUAUGCGCAUUAAUUUACACUCAUGUAAAUUAAUUGUGUGUAAAAUAAAAUGAUUGAUUAAAUAUAAAGGUCUAGGAAAAGCCUAAACGACCCAAAAUAUGACUGUCUACAAAAGAUAAUCACCAUGAAAUGGCGUAGAUCUUUUUUUUUGUAGAACACAUAGAGGUAAUCACCAUGAAGUGGCGUAGACACUCGUAUGGCGAUUUUCAUGCCAUAAUAUGUGUGCUUUCAUUUUCGCUUUGAGAUAAUCACUACGAAGUAGUGCAGACCUUAAUCUCAUGGUACUUUGUACAACCUUGUGUUAUUUAAAACACUUUGAAGGUAAUCACCGUGUGGUGUAGACCUCACAGUCGUGAACAAAGCAUACAUUGCAUUAGAUGCAAUCCAUAAGAUACGUGCAAAAACUGAAAGUAGUCAUAUAAUUUUCAAGCAUAAUCAACAUGUAGCAAUUAAAAAUUGCAUCCAUACACAUGUUGACAUUGCAAUAAGCAGAUAUUAUAUAGUACUAUGUUAGAAAAUACUAACAAACACAUAUGUACAAAAACUAAAAGCUAGAAUCUAAUCAGAAAAUGAAACGAAAAGAAGAAAAAAUGCCAAUAUGCCAACACAUGCAGCCUGCUACCCGUGGCAAAUACACUUUUGCUUUUCGUUCUUGAUUCUUUUUUUUCUCGUAUAGCAUGGGAGGCAACUAGGCUCAGCAUGCUGCCUGUACGCACGCUACGAGAGCUCUGCAUGCUGCCUGUACGCACACCACGAGGGGCUCUGCAUGUUGCUUGUACGCACGCCACGAGAGACUCUGCAUGCUGCCUUUUUUGCACAGCUGUACGCAUCGGAAAAACGGGAGGAUAAGGGAGGCAGGGACAUGUCGUUCUCGUCCAGAAAUCAUCCCGAUUCAUAUCCAGCGCGAGAAGCAAGCUCUUUCACCAGCACCGCCAACCUCCGCCACCGAUGGCUGCCUCACCAGUGUGGAGAAUAAGGCCUGGCGUGGCAUGCUCUUCCUCCUCUGAAGAAGACCCUCCAGGCAGGUGCGUCCCGGGAGCAACUCCGUUGGACUGGCUAUUGGCCAGCCCAAGAUUCUCCGGGCUCCAUCGUCCCGGCCGACGGCCGGCGUGCUGCAGCACGGCGCGUGGCACUAUGUGCCAGCGGCGGGGCGUCGAAGGACCGGUGGAGGUGCUCGCCCUGUUGUCGAAGACGUCCCCGAGCGUAGCACUCCGAGCGGGGAGGCGCGGCCCAAGGCUGGCGCUUGACGAAGAGGCGCUGGUGUCCACGUUUAUGGCGCGUGCACCAACCGGCGAGGGCCUUUGCUCUGCUCUCGGUAGAGUUACGGGCUGAUAACGUGUUUAGAAUGAUUAAAUCAGACUAUCUCUUUCAUUGAUGACCCGUGAGGAUUAAAUACAACGGAACCGUCACCAACGCCACGAAGGGACGCAUCCCAUCGUGGGGGCGUGCGAGCGCUGUGAACGGUUGCGAGGGGUAAACCGCACGUUAAUUACAAGGGAGGAUUAUUCNGGAAAACGUUUCCCAAACAAAAAACAAUCCUAGCCCCUACGCCCGAUCCAAUCCGGGAGGAGGCAACCACCGCCUGCCCCUACGCCCCGUGCCGCCCCCACUGUCUCCCCUCGCAGCCGUCAAAAGCCACACGUCGUCGUCGCCGCCGGCCAUGGCCUCUCUCUCCCCAACCGCAAGAAGAGGAGACCCAGGAGGUGAGCCGGCGGCCGCCAUGGAUUGGCCUUGUACACGUGUGUGCCUGGCUGAGGUUCGUAUUGUCUUCUCCGUCCCGUCCGUGUCCCUGUCCCCGUCCCAUCUCCAUCCCCGGCGCCAUGCUCUGCUCUACUCUUCUCAUGAACAUGCAUGUUCGUGGUGACUCAGUUUGAUUUCUCUGCCGCUCGCCGCUGUCAAAACAACUACUGAACUACAGUUUUUAGGUCUAUAAACUCGUGAAUAAGCCGGCACCACAUUUUGCUUCAGUUUCUAUGUCUCGGUCAGUUAGUUUCUUUCAAUUAACUCAACGUGAUGGAUCAAAGUGCGCUGACGAUGAAGGAAUGUGAGUGAUGGCUGCAGAUUUUUAUAAACAAUUGUUCACCUUCGAAGGCUCGAAUGAGGGUGAGAGACUGCUUCAGCACAUCAACCCUUUGGUGACAGAAGUGAUGUAUGGGCAGCUUACUGAGGCCUUUACUGAUGAGGAGAUUGAGAAAGCAUUAUUCUAGAUGGGUCCUACAAAGUCACCUGGACCAGACGGUUGCCCGGCAAUGUUUUAUCAACGACACUAGUCGUUGGUGAAAGAUGACGUGUGCAACGCUGUGAAGGAAUUCCUGGCGGGAAAGGAAACACCAAAUGGUUUUAAUGAUACUAUUAUUGUGAUGAUACCGAAAGUUAACUCACCGGAGUUACUCUCGUAGUUUCGACCUAUUAGUCUAUGUAAUGUACUAUAUAAGAUUGCUGCAAAAAUUUUGGCAAAUAGACUCAAGGUGGUGUUACCUAUUUUGAUUUCAGAAGAACAAAGUGCUUUUGUCCCGGACAGGCUAAUAACAGAUAAUGUUUUGGUGGCGUACGAGUGUGUUUAUGCUAUUAGGAAAAGGAAAAUAAAGAAGCCUCUGUGUGCAGUGAAGUUAGAUAUGAUGAAGGCGUAUGACAGAGUGGAAUACAAGUUCCUAAGGCAGAUGAUGGAAAGAAUUGGUUUCAUUGGGUCAUGGAUAGAGAUGGUUAUGCGAUGUGUCACUUCAACACACUUCCAGGUUAAGAUGAUUGGUGGUUUAUCACAUAGUUUUGCCUCGUCCAAACGAUUACGACAAGGAGACCCUUUGUCCCCAUAUCUCUUCUUGUUUUGUGUGGAGGGUUUCUCAGCUUUGUUGAAGCAUGCUCAAGAGGUGAAGGGCAUUAAGGGUGUCUCGUUUGGGAGCACUGGCCCCACUGUGACACAUCUUCUCUUUGCAGAUGAUAGUGUGGUGUUCCUGGAGGGGUCCCAUGCGAAUUUUCAGAGAUUGCUGAUAACCCACAAGUAUAGGGGAUCGCUACAGUUUUAUAGGGUAGAGUAUUCAACCCAAAUUUGUUGAUUUGACACAAGGGGAAGCCAAAGAAUAUUCUCGAGUAUUAGCAGUUGAGUUGUCAAUUCAACCACACCUGAAAGACUUAGUAUCUGCAGCAGAGUUUCAGUAGCAAAGUAGUGUGAUUGUAACGGUAGCAGCGGUAACAGUAACAGUAGUGACAGCAGUAGCGGUAACAGUAGCAGCAGUGACAACAGUAGCGGUAAAGUAACGUAGCAAGGACCAGUAGUAAAAGACUCGUAGGCAUUGGAUCGGUGAUGGAUAAUUAUGUCAGAUGACAUUCAUCAUGUAACAGUUAUAACAUGGGGAGAUAUGUAACUAGCUCGAGUUCGUUAAUGUAAUGUAGGCAUGUAUUCCGUAUUUAGUCAUACGUGCUUAUGGAAAAGAACUUGCAUGACAUCUAUUGUCCAUCCCUCCGGUAGCAGCGGGGUCCUAAUGGAAACUAAGGGAUAUUAAGGUCUCCUUUUAAUAGAGAACCGGAACAAAGCAUUAGCACAUAGUGAAUACAUGAACUCCUCAUACUAUGGUCAUCUUCGGGAGUGGUUCUGGCUAUUGUCACUCUGGGGUUGCCGGGUCAUAACACAUAGUAGGUGACUACAACUUGCAAGAUAGGAUCAAGAACACACAUAUAUUGAUGAAAACAUAAUAGGUUCAGAUCUGAAAUCAUGGCACUCGGGCCCUAGUGACAAGCAUUAAGCAUAGCUAAGUAGUAGCAACAUCAAUCUCAGAACAUAGUGGAUACUAGGGAUAAAUCCCCAUCAAAACUAACUCGAUUACAUGAUAGAUCUCAUCCAACCCAUCACCGUCCAGCAAGCCUACAAUGAGAUUACUCACGACCGAUGAAGAGCAUCAUGGAAUUGGCGAUGAAGGAUGGUUGGUGAUGACGACGGCGUCGAUUUCCCCUCUCAGGAGCCCAGAACGGACUCCAGAUCUACCCUCCAGAGGAAGAACAUGUGGUGGCGGCGGCUCCGUGUCGUAAAACGCGAUGAACUCUUCUCUCUGAUUUUUUUCCGGGCAGGAGAGAAUAUAUAGAGCUGGAAUUGGAGGCGCCGGAGCCACGAGGGGCUCACAAGCCUGCCAAGCCCGACCACAGGGGGCGGACCUCCUGGGCUUGUGAGCUCCUGGCUCCGUGUCUCCAGGUGAUUCUUGUGCCGGUAUUUUUAUAUAUUCCACAAAAAAUCCUGUAAAUUUCCAGGUCAUUCCGAGAACUUUUACUUCUCCGCAAAAACAACACCAUGGCAAUUCUACUGAAAACAAUGUUAGUCCAGGUUAGUUCCAUUCAAAUCAUGCAAAUUAGAGUCCAAAACAAGGGCAAAAGAGUUUGGAAAAGUAGAUACGAUGGAGACGUAUCAACUCCCCCAAGCUUAAAGCCUUCCUUGUCGUCAAGCAAUUCAGUUGUCAAACUGAAAGAGACAAAAGAAAAACUUUUACGAACUCUGUUUGACCUUGUUGUUGUAAUUAUGUCUAACUCAUAUUCAGAUUUUCAGCAAGAUCAUAAGCUAACCACAUAAGCAAUGACAUUUAGGUCUCAUGAUGUACUCAUAUCAAUGGCAUAAUCAACUAGCGAGCAAUAAUAAUAAGUUUCAAACGUCAACACUUCAAUCGAAACAAUCAUGAAACAAUAUGAACAGAUGGUAUCUCGCUAGCCCUUUCUGAGACCGCAAAACAUAAAAUGCAGAGCACCUUCAAAGACCAAGGGCUGAAUGAACAUUGUAAUUCAUGGCAAAGAAGAUCCAGUCACAGUCAUACUCAAUAUCAAUUAAAAGCAAAGCAUAAAAACGACGGAGGUGCUCUCUAACUGGUUCCUUUUGAUAAGGAGAGGACGACUCAACAGAAAUGUAAAUAGAUAGGCCCUUCGCAGAGGGAAGCACUGAUUUGCACAGGUGCCAAAGCUCAAGCUUUUAAAACAAAGAUAAAUAAUUUUAAGUGGUAUGCUCUCAUUGUCAACGCGAUGACCAAGAGUUUUCACCAUCUUCCAUGCUACACAUACUAUAGGCGGUUCCCAAACAGAAAAGUAAAGUUUUGACUCCCCCACCACUGAUCAAUCACACUCCACGACUAGCCGAAUCCUCGGGUGCCGUCCAUACCAACAACAAUCCACGGGGAGUUUUGUUUGCAAUUAUACUUUCGAGCAUGGAACUGGGCAUUCUAGUUACCGGCCCCUUUCUCGUGAGUGAUAGUGAAUAAACGCGUAUCGAGGAUAACACGCCUAGCAUGGAAGAUUCUGACCGCCCCUUGUCACCACAUGAGCGGUUCGGGCAUACAAAACAGAUUAUUACUUGAAAAUUUAGAGAGUGCCACAUGCAAAUUUACUUGGAACGGCUGGUAGAUACCGCAUAUAGGUAGGUAUGGUGGACGCAUAUGGAACAACUUUGGGUUUAUGGCAGUGGAUGCACAAGCAGUAUUCCCGCUUAGUACAGGUGAAGGCUAGCAAAAGAUUGGGAAGUGACCAACUAGAGAGCGACAAGAGUCAUCAAUAUGCAUUGAAAUUAACCAACAUUGAGUGCAAGCAUGAGUAGGACAUAAAUCACCAUAAACAUGAAUAUCAUAGAGGCUAUGUUGAUUUUGUUUCAACUACAUGCGUGAACAUGUGCCAAGUCAAGCCACUUGAAUCAUUCAAAGGAGGAUACCAUCCUAUCAUACUACAUCAUAAUCAUCUUGAAAUUCAUGUUGGCAUCCAAGACAAACCAUUAUAUGCUCCUAGCUAAUUAAGCAUAGAUCAGAAACUAUGAUCUCUAAGUUGUCAUUGCAAACAUGUUUCUCUCAUAACAAAGCUGAAUUAGGAACGAUGAGCUAGUCAUAUUUACAAAAAUAAAAUAGGUCGAGUUCAUACCAACUUUUCCAGGCCAGUCACUUCAUCAUAUAUCGUCAUUAUUGCCUUUCACUUGCACGACCGAAUGAUGCGAAUAAUAAUGAGAGUGUUCGUGCAUUGGACUAUGCUGGAAUCUGCAAGAAAACACAGAGGAGAAGACAAAGUAAUAUGGCUCUUUCACCGAUAAACAAAUAUGCAUGUGAGAGCCACUAAACAUUUUAACCAUGGUCUUCUACCUUGACCCAAAGAAAAAGAAAACUAUUUACACGGAAAAUCUCCCAACAAACAAAAGAAGAACGGGAAAUCUUUUUGGGUUUUAUUUUUAAAUACCACUAAGCAAGCUAGAAAGAAAACUUACAACUAAUUUUUUUUGUUUUUCUCAAAUCAAAUAAACACACGAGAAGAAAGCGAGAAAAAGAAAUAAACUAGCAUGGAUGAUACAAUGACAAGGUGUGAACACCGACUAACAAAAUGAAAGUGUGAGCAAGAAUAUAAAGUCGGUGAGAAACCCGUACUCCCCAAGCUUAGGCUUUUGGCCUAAGUUGGUCUACUCCCACGGCUGGUCCAGGCGAUAUCCAAAAUCAUGAAGGGGGUUGUACGGGAUCGCGGCAGCUACCGCCUGAAUAGCUGCCUCAUAGAGGCGAGCAGCCUUCGCUUCGCUCUCAUACCCCACUGCCUCUCCUCUGGUUAUGUAAUAUCUCCAUUUUACCUGAAAGUUAACGAAGGCAGGAGCAGGAAGGGUAAUAUGGAAAACUCACUGUCGGUUAAAUAAUAACCGGUAUAGGAGGGAUUCAUUAUCCCUCUCAAGGAACUGAUAACGUGUCAUAGCGGCGCGAUCAAGGAAAGUUGUAUGGAGCGGGGGAUCUCUUGUGCGGAUGGGUAUUCCAAGAAAAUUCGCUAUAUGAGUGGCAUAGAUCCCACCAAAGAAAUCCCCUUCAUUAGCAUUAUUAUUUAGCCUCCUCGCGAUUAUAGCUCCCAUAUUGAAACUUCUAUCACCCGUUGCUGCACUCUUAAGAAUACUAAGGUCAGGUGCGCAGAGGUGACAAUGAUCAAUCUUGCCGUUAAUGCAUCUCGUAUGGAGAGGGCAAAAUAAUGUAAGGCACGAAAAUGAAUGCUCCCCAUGGUAGCCUGCGAAAUAUCUCUAGUUUCUCCAAUAGUUAUACUAGAGAAAAAUCACUAACCGAAGACUUAGGAGGAUCAUUGAGACUACCCCAAUCAGGUAUCCUGCAAAUUCUAUUAAAAUCCUCUAAAUCCAUGGUAUAUGAUUUGUCAUAAAGAUCAAACAGUAUGGAUGAGUCACGGCCAACUGAAAAUCUGAAUCUACGAACAAAAGAGGCAGUGAGUGUAGUAUACUGUUCGCAUUUGUUGGAGAUGAAUUCUUCGAGCCUGGCGUUGUGAACAAAUGUAUCAAACUCGUCCUUGAAACCUGCAUCAAUCAUGAAUUCAUCUGAAGGCCAUUCACAUGGUUGUACCUGUGCGUUCCUCGGCUGAUAAGGAUCGGGUUCCCGAAUCGAGAGACGGGGACCCCUUUUGCUUGAGGAACCACCAUGAUAGUUUCUCCUGAACAUCUUCUCUUUUCUGAAAUUUUUAGUGACUCAAAAGAGAAGUGAACAAGGCUCAACAAAACUCAUAGCAACUACUCCUACAAGUGCCUAGAGGCGACACCAUGCAUCAAAACUACUUGGGACCAACUAAAAUGAACAUGCAAAUCUGAAGAACAGGGUCAUCAAGACACCAAAAAUACGCAACGAAUAAAGCACUAGAGCAAAAACUAAUUGGACCAAUGGAGGAGUCACAUACCAAGGAACAACUCCCAAAAACAGUUUGGUGAAUGGGGCUUUGCACAAGGAGAUCGAAAAAUGCAGCAAGAGGAGCAAGAACACGGGUUUGAGCUGUGGAAUGAUUUUUUCUGGAGGUAGAAGAAGGAGAUGGGAGCUGGAAUAAGUGGAGGGGGCACGUGGGGCCCACAAUCCUGACAGGCCAGGCCAGGGGGGGUGGUCGGGCCUCCUGGGCUUGUGGCCCACUGGUGCAUCCCCCUGACUAGCUUCCUAUCUCAGAAAUUUUCAAAAAUUCCAGAAAAAAUCAUACUUGAAUUUCAGGGCAUUUGAAGAAAUUUUAUUUUCGGGACACUUUUCUAAGAGACGGAGAAAGCAGAAAACAGGAAAAUAAAGCUAAAUUUAUCAUUUUUCUUCUAAGCAACAGAAAGUAAAAGUUGGGAACACAAGGUUGUGACUCCUAGAUUCAUCCAUCUCAUGGUCAUCAAAAGAAAUCCGUCAAUGAGGUUGAUCAAGUCUCCUUGACAAACUUUUUUCGAAUCACGUAGAACCGGAGUCGAAUAAUCACUAGGUUACCUCAACGGGGAUGUGCAUAUCCCCAACAAGUAAAUCAUACUUCAUCUUCACAGCAGGUAUAGGGAAUUCNNNNNNNNNNNNNNNNNNNNNNNNNNNNNNNNNNNNNNNNNNNNNNNNNNNNNNNNNNNNNNNNNNNNNNNNNNNNNNNNNNNNNNNNNNNNNNNNNNNNAGCAUAGCAUUUAACAUGAUACGUUAUCUACCUAUGUUACUAUAACCCCCUCUCUCUUCUUUAAUUACUUGCCACAUCAUCAUGUUUGCUAAUCCCAAUGCUAUGUUACUAGCUAUGAUACCCCCMMUACUGGCCAGCCUGACUUUGCUAUGUUUAAUGUUUGUCAACUAGGACUCAAUUGAUAUAAUUUCAGACCUGAACCGUAUUCUAUAUAUUUCAUGAAUAUCUAUGUGUUUGAAUCUUCCCUGAAAGUUGUAUGCACAUGUUAUAGUUUUCCACUAGAGACCUCGAAGUAACAAUAAUCAAAAUAUCAAUAGGAAUGAUUGUAACUUGAGGAUUACAUCUAUUCGCUGAGUGUUAAUGCUUUGCUCUGGUGCUUUAUAAAAAGAGAUGUCUUAAGUACCCUCAAUUUUCAUUAGGACCCUAUAAAAAUGGGAGGGCAUGACAAAAAAUAAUGUAGAGGUUAUUAUUGUAAGCACGUAGAGCUAUAUAUGAAUCACAUGCCUAUGUUAGUUGAAAAUACGAGCUAUCUGAUUAUAGUCUANNNNNNNNNNNNNNNNNNNNNNNNNNNNNNNNNNNNNNNNNNNNNNNNNNNNNNNNNNNNNNNNNNNNNNNNNNNNNNNNNNNNNNNNNNNNNNNNNNNNUCCUCAAAAUUGCCCUAGGUCUUCGUGAGCAAGCAAGUUGGGUGCACACCCACUAGUUUUCCUUUUGAGCUUUCACACACUUAUAGCUCUAGUGCAUCCGUUGCAUGGCAAUCCCUACUCAUUCACGUUGAUAUCUAUUGAUGGGCAUCUCCAUAGCCCAAUGAUACGGCAAGUCAAUGCGAUCAUCUCCUCCUUUUUGCCUCACAACCUGCACCACACUCUAUUCCACCUAUAGUACUAUAUCCAUGGCUCAUGCUCAUGUAUUGCGUGAGAGUUGACAAAGUUUGAGAAAGUAAGAGUGCGAAAAAAAUUACUUGGCCAAUACCGGGGUUGUGCAUGAUUUAAAUUCGUUGUGUCGGUAUGAUGGAGCAUAGCCAGACUAUAUGAUUUAGUAGGGAUAACUUUCUUUGGCCUUGUUAUUUCAAAAGUUCAUGAUUACUUUACUAGUAUGCUUGAAGUAUUAUUGUCUUCAUGACAAUAGUGAACUAUUGUUUUGAAUCUUACGGAUCUGAACAUUCAUGCCACAAGAAAUAAGUUACAAAGAACAAAUAUCUUAGGUAGCAUUCCACAUCAAAAAUUCGGUCCUUAUCACUUCCCUACUCGAGGAUGAGCAGGAGUUAAGCUUGGGGAUGCUUGAUACGCCUCCAACGUAUCUAUAAUUUUUGAUGGUUUCAUUCUAUUAUAUUGUCAACUUUGGAUGUUUUGUAUGCAUGAAUGUGCUAUUUUAUAUCUUUUUUGGGACUAACCUGUUAACACAGUGCCAAGUGUCAGUUUCUAUUUUUUCCGUGUUUUUUACCUUUUCCAGAGAAGAAUAUUAAACGGAGUCCAAAAGGAAUAAAACCUGCGGGAUGAUUUUUUCCAUAACAGAAGAUACGCAGGGGAGUUGAGAACCAAGGCAUAAGACCUCGGGGGAGAUCACAAGACCCCUAGCCGCGGCCUGGGGGGCGCCUGGCAGGCUUGUGGGCCCCACGUGGCUCCUUUGCCCUACCUCUUUCACCUAUAAAUUCUCCAAAAUUCCAAAACAACCAGAGAUAGCCAUGAAAAUACUUUUCCGCUGCCGCAAGCUUCUGUCUCCGCAAGAUCCCAUCUAGGGACCGUUCUGGUGCCCUGCCGGAGGGGGAUUCGGACACGGAGGGCUUCUUCAUCAACACCAUUGCCUCUCCGAUGAUGCGUGAGUAGUUCACCACAGACCUUCGGGUCCAUAGCUUGUAGCUAGAUGGCUUCUUCUCUCUCUUGGAUCUUCAAUACAAAGUUCUCCAUGAUCUUCAUGGAGAUCUAUCCGAUGUAAUCCUCUUUGGCGGUGUGUUUGUCGAGAUCCGAUGAAUUGUGGAUUUGUGAUCAGAUUAUCUAUGAAUUAUAUUUGAGUCUUUGUUGAUUUCUUAUAUGCCUGAUUGGAUAUCCUUGUAAGUCUCUCCGAGUCUUGGGUUUUGUUUGGACAACUAGAUCUAUGAUUCUUGCAAUGGGAGAAGUGCUUGGUUUUGGGUUCAUACCGUGUGGUGACCUUUCCCAGUGACAGAAGGGGCAGCAAGGCACGCAUCGUGUUGUUUCCAUCAAGCGUAACGAGAUGGGCUUUCAUCAUAAAUUUGAGAUUGUUCAUCUACAUCAUGUCAUCUUGCUUAAGGCGUUACUCUGUUCUUUUGGACUUAAUACACUAGAUGCAUGCUGGAUAGCGGUCGACGUGUGGAGUAAUAGUAGUAGAUGCAGAAAGUAUCGGUCUACUCGUUUUGGACGUGAUGCCUAUAGAAUAAUCAUUGCCUUAGAUAAUGUCAUGACUUUGCGCGGUUAUAUCAAUUGCUCGACAGUAAUUCGUUCACCCACCGUCUACUUGCUUUCAUGAGAGAAGCCACCAGUGAACACUACGGCCCCCGGGUCUAUUCACAACUAUCAUCUCCACUUUCACUUUUAUUUUGCUUUGUUUACUUUUUGCUUUCAGUUCUCACUUUGCAAACAAUCUAUAAGGGAUUGACAACCCCUUCAUAGUGUUGGGUGCAAGCUCUUUGGGUUUGUGCAGGUACUUGUGACUUGACGCGAUCCUCCCACUGGAUCGAUACCUUGGUUCUCAAACUGAGGGAAAUACUUACCGCCGCUGUGCUACAUCACCCUUUCCUCUUCAAUGGAACACAAACGCAAGGCUCCAAGGCCGCGGGGAAAUCGUUUGCAUAUUUGCCAAGGAAGUCCCUAUAGGCGUAGCUCGUAGCAGAAGGAUUCCUGGCGCCGUUGCCAAGGAAGGUCUGUUGACGCAGUAGCAUAGAUCAAGUUGGCCAAACGAAACCCACAACUCGAAGAGAAUUACAAGGAUACGAAAUCAUGCAUAUAAGAAAUCAAAGGAGACUCAAAUAAUAUUCAUAGAUAANNNNNNNNNNNNNNNNNNNNNNNNNNNNNNNNNNNNNNNNNNNNNNNNNNNNNNNNNNNNNNNNNNNNNNNNNNNNNNNNNNNNNNNNNNNNNNNNNNNNCUUACGAGUACCAGAAUUAAGAGGGGGAAGAUGUACGCUUAGCGGACGUGAAUUACAGAUGAUCAAAUGAAUGAUCCUGAACACCUACCUACGUCAGACAUAACCCCACCGUGUCCUCGAUCGGAGAAGGAACUCACAAAAGAGACAAUCACGGUUACGCACACAGUUGGCAUAUUUUAAUUAAGUUAACUUCAAGUUAUCUAGAACCAGUGUUAAACAAAGUUUCCACGUUGCCACAUAACCGCGGGCACGGCUUUCCGAAAAGAUUUAACCCUGUAGGGGUGCUCCAACUAGUCCAUCACAAAUUACCACAAGCCGCAAUGAAAUGCUCAAUCACGAAGCUCGCGAUCUCGUCGGAUUCCCUAGUGGAAAACCUNNNNNNNNNNUUCGACGUACCCGAUAGGAGCCGCGUAUCUCGUUCUCAGGACACGACGGAUGGAACUAGCUACGAGUGCCAAACCUCGAGUUUCCUCGCGGUGGCCCCGCAGGCAGACCGUUUGGGACCAACACCAUCAGCACUGGCCCCCCUUUUUAUGUAAAAUUACUCCUCGGGUAGCGCUAACUCCCUAUGCCAUUCAUUAUUAUCAAAAUUAUUAUGUUGGGCAAAUGUAAAACCAAUGUUGGGCCUUGCCAGACCAGCUUUAAUCUAAAACGAAUUAUCAAGGGGGUUCCCAUAACAACCCCGAUCGUGUUAGGAGCGCUCAAUUAUGGAACAUAACACCGGUAGCCGAAAACUAAGGGGGCAAAGGUGGAACAAAACACCAGGCUAGAAAGGCCGAGCCUUCCACCUUUUACCAAGUAUAUAGGUGCAUUAAAUUAAAUAGCAUCUAAUAUGGUGAUAUAACAAGGAACCCAUGCUUUCACAUGGAAGCAUCUGCACCUGCAACUAGCAACGCUAACAACAUGGAUAAGCAAGCGGUAACAUAGCCAAUCAGUGGUUUGCUAGGUCGAACAGGUUGAAGGUUAUCAUGGNNNNNNNNNNGUAUUUAACAUGUGGUAGGCAACGAGACAUAAUCGAUAGAUGCGAUAAAACUAGCAUGGCAAUGAUAGUAAUGGUAUCUGGGGAAAUGAUCAUCUUGCCUGAGAUCCCGCUUGGAAGAAGAAUGCCUCCGUGAAGCAGACGAACUGACGUAGUCGAACGGGUCCUCACAAUCCGGCACGUUGCGGAACUCUAUCGAGACGAAGCAAACCGGAAACACAAAUCAACACACGGAAUUCACCACACGAUGCACAACACAAAUGAUGCAUGAGCAGCUGAAUACAUGCAAGUCACGGCAUGACAAUUUCAGACAAUCAAAACUACACAUUAAGUGAAGUUCAAUAUGCGACGAUUUGCAUAUUGACGAAACUUCACAUAUGAAUUAUUUAGUUCACUCCCGGUUAUUUACACGGUAAUAUUAAUGUUGUCAAACAUGCGAGAGGUGAAGCGGAAAUUAAACUACCUACCUAGACAUUUUAAAUGAGGUCGGAAACGACAUAUAGCAUCUCCGGGACGACCUCACAUGUUAAUUUACAAUUCUGUCCAGAUCUGAAUUAACACAUUUAAUUAGUUGUUAAACAGCAAAACAAAUAGGUUCACGCGAUUCUACGCGUCAUUUCAAGCAAUUUACACAUAAAGAACAUCUCCAACGGAGCUACGGUUCAACAACUACGAGCAAAACAAGAAAUCACUACAAUAUGCCAAAAUCAGCCACAUAGCAUUUUCUCCGCGCCACAACUACGGGCUGCACAACUCCGUUAAACUCAUACAAGGCAUGGCACGGAAGAGGGCAAUAAGCACUACUACAAACAACUCACAACAACUAGAAUGGCAUCAUGGAUCACUAGGGAAAGAAGACACAAAAAUGGCUUCCCACACACUAUUUCAGACUUAGUGAAAAUAACACUUCAUGAAAUGCAGUUUUCGAUCUGAAGCAAUAUUGACAGCAGCAAAACCUGUAGCUACGGGACUCCAAAUGGCAUGAACAUCUACAGAAUGCUUGAGAAACACAAGGGGUACAACUAACUCCAUUGGACCAACCUCAAAAGAGCUACAGAUCAACAGUUAGAAGCAAGACAAGACAGCAACAAAAUAUAACAGAUUCCAGACUUACAAAUAUUUCAGCUCCUCUAAAACAGCACUAUUUCUAGCAACUUGAGAGCAAGCAAAACACACCUAAACAUGCAUUUCUAUUGCAACUAAAAAAUACCAGGGGCUAGUCUAAACAUCCAAGAACAACUCCCUAGUUGACAACCCCGUCAAACGAAGAACGGAUUAAAUCCUACGAAUUAAACAAAAGGGCAACAUAGCAAAAUAUCUCGCGAACUAACCUUCUCUAAUGCUAAAACUAAUUGCAUAGAAAAAUCCAUGGGAUUUUCCUACCCAGAAAACAUAUAAAAUAUGUGGGGUUGCACAACAAAAUAAUGGCACACGAAAAUGCGGGAAAGAUAACCUAUAUACGGGAAAAUAAACUACCGGCAAUCCAUACAUGCAAAAAUACCUAUGACCGCUCUAAAAUAAAUAGAAAAAUGAUCCCUAAAACAUGGACAUUUAAUCUACGGUAUACGGGCAGUCCGGACACGCGUGAAAAAUAAUCACGAGCACUAAUCUAAUGGGACAACAUGUUACUCUAGGCAAACAGUGGGUCAAACCUCAUCAAGCAUUUAUGCAAGUUGCAAAAACGAAUACUACGCGAAAUUCUACACCAAAUCGAUAUAAAGAUCACCUCGAUCCGACUUACGGAAUAUAACAUACGUACGUUUAAAAAUAUGGCAUUUUUCUGGAAACGGAAUAAAUCGCAAGAAAAAUAAAUAAAUACCUAAAGCCUAAAUGGGCCGAAAGCGCAGGCGCAUGAAAGCUAAAAGAUGCCCAGGGCGUUGGAUAGGGCACGGGUUAACUCACCUAGGGCCAUCGGGCCAUGAGAGGAGGCAGGCCGGUGCUGGGCGACUGGGCCGAGGCGCCGCGAGGCGGUGGGAGGCCUGCGGGGCAACUGGGCCAACUGGGCCGAGGCGACAGCCGGCUGGGCCACAUCGGCGCUGGCGCGGCAGGCCCAGGUGGNNNNNNNNNNNNNNNNNNNNNNNNNNNNNNNNNNNNNNNNNNNNNNNNNNNNNNNNNNNNNNNNNNNNNNNNNNNNNNNNNNNNNNNNNNNNNNNNNNNNCAUGUUAGUAGGGUGUUGUGAAUCUAGAAAUACUUGUUUUGAGGUUUGUGAUUCCCGUAGCAUGCACGUAUGGUGAACCACUAUAUUAGGAAGUCGGAGCAUAAUUGAUUUAUUGAUUGUCAUCCUUUGUGUGGCGGUCGGGAUCGCGCGAUGGUUAACACCUACCAACCCUUCCCCUAGGAGUAUGCGUUUAGCACUUUGUUUCGAUUACUAUUAAAACUUUCGCAAUAAGUAUAUGAGUUCUUCAUGACUAAUGUGAGUCCAUGGAUUAUACGCACUCUCACCCUUCCACCAUUGCUAGCCUCUCUAGUGCCUCGCAACUUUCGCCGCUGCACAAACCCACCAUAUACCUUCCUCAAAACAUCCACCAUACCUACCUAUUAUGGCAUUUUCAUAGCCAUUCCGAGAUAUAUUGCCAUGCAACUCCCACCGUUCCGUCUCAUGACAUAUGCCGUCACUUUAAUAUUGCCAUUGCAUGAUUGUAAGAUAGCUAGCGAGAUGUUUCAACGUCAUACGCUAAGCUAGAUCGUUGUACAUCCCGGUACACUGUCGGAGGCAUUUCAUAUAGAGUCAUCAUUGUUGUAAGUAUUGAGUUGUAAGUAAAUGAAAGUGUGAUGAUCAUCACUAUUAGAGCAUUGUCCCAUGUGAGGAAAUAAAAAAGAGAGGCCAAAGAUGCCCACCAAAAAAAUGAAAAAAAGAGGCCAAAGAGCCCAAACAAAAAAAUGAGAGAAAAAGAGAGAAGGGACAAUGCUACUAUCUUUUUCCACACUUGUGCUUCAAAAUAGCACCAUGCUUUUCAUGAUAGAGAGUCUCUUGUUUUGACACUUCCAUAUACUAGUGGGAAUUUUCAUUAUAUAACUUGGCUUGUAUAUUCCANNNNNNNNNNUAUAGAUGCACUCUCACCUUCCACCAUUGGUAGCCUCUCUAGUGUCGCGCAACUUUCGCCGGUGCACAAACCCACCAUAUACCUUCCUCAAAACAGCCAUCAUACCUACCUAUUAUGGCAUUUUCAUAGCCAUUCCGAGAUAUAUUGCCAUGCAACUUCCACCGUUCCGUCUCAUGACAUGUGCCAUCAUUUUCAUUUUACCAUUGCAUGAUUAUAAGAUAGGUAGCGAGAUGUUUCAACGUCAUACACUAAGCUAGAUCGUUGCACAUCCCGGUACACUGCCGGAGGCAUUUCAUAUAGAGUCAUUAUUGUUCCAAGUAUUGAGUUGUAAGUAAAUAAAAGUGUGAUGAUCAUCGUUAUUAGAGCAUUGUCCCAUGUGAGGAAAUAAAAAAAAAGAGGCCAAAGAUGCCCACCAAAAAAAAUGAAAUGAAAAACGAGGCCAAAGAGCCCAAACAAAAAAAAUAAUGAGAGAAAAAGAGAGAAGGGACAAUGCUACUAUCUUUUUUCCACACUUGUGCUUCAAAGUAGCACCGUGUUCUUCAUGAUAGAGAGUCUCUUGUUUUGUCACUUUCAUAUACUAGUGGGAAUUUUCAUUAUAUAACUUGGCUUGUAUAUUCCAAUGAUGGGCUUCCUCAAAAUUGCCCUAGGUCUUCGUGAGCAAGCAAGUUGGGUGCACAACCACUAGUUUUCUUUUUGAGCUUUCAUACACUUAUAGCUCUAGUGCAUCCGUUGCAUGGCAAUCCCUACUCACUCACAUUGAUAUCUAUUGAUGGGCAUCUCCAUAGCCCGUUGAUACGCCGAGUCGAUGUGACCAUCUCCUCCUUUUUGCCUCACAACCUCCACCACACUCUAUUCCACCUAUAGAGCUAUAUCCAUGGCUCACGCUCAUGUAUUGCGUGAGAGUUGAAAAAGUUUGAGAAAGUAAGAGUGUGAAAACAAUUACUUGGCAAAUACCGAGGUUGUGCAUGAUUUAAAUUCAUUGUGUGGGGAUGAUGGAGCAUAGCCAGACUAUAUGAUUUUGUAGGGAUAACUUUCUUUGGCCUUGUUAUUUCAAAAGUUCAUGAUUACNNNNNNNNNNGCUAGUAUGCUUGAAGUAUUAUUGUUUGCAUGUCAAUAUUAAACUAUUGUUUUGAAUCUUACGAAUCUGAACAUUCAUGCCACAAUAGAUAAGUUACAAAGAACAAAUAUGUUAGGUAGCAUUCCACAUCAAAAAUUCGGUCUUUAUCACUUCCCUAGUCGAGGACGAGCAGGAGUUAAGCUUGGGGAUGCUUGAUACGUCUCCAACGUAUCUAUAAUUUUUGACUAUUCCAUGCUAUUAUAUUAUCAACUUGGGAUGUCUUAUAUGCAUUUAUAUGCUAUUUUAUAUCAUUUUUGGGACUAGCCUAUUAACUCAGUGCCCAGUGCCAGUUUCUAUUUUUUCCGUGUUUUUGAUCUUUUUCAGAUAAGAAUAUUAAACGGAGUCCAAACGGAAUAAAACCUACACGGUGAUUUUUUUCCAUAAGAGAAGAUAGCCAGAAGACUUGAGAACCAAGGCAGGGGGUCUCGUGGGAGGAAACGAGCCCCCUAGGCACGCCCCAGGGGGGGGGGCUAGCAGGCUCGUGGGCCCCCCUUGCCUCCUUUGCCCUACCUCUUUCGCCUAUAAUUUUUCUAAAAUCCCGAAACCAACCGGGAGAGCCACGAAAAUAAUUUUCCGUCGCUGCAAGCUUCUGUUUCUGCGAGAUCCCAUCUGGGGACCGUUCUGGUGCCCUGCCGGAGGGGGAUUCGGGCACGGAGGGCUUCUUCAUCAACACCAUUGCCUCUCCGAUGAUGCGUGANNNNNNNNNNNNNNNNNNNNNNNNNNNNNNNNNNNNNNNNNNNNNNNNNNNNNNNNNNNNNNNNNNNNNNNNNNNNNNNNNNNNNNNNNNNNNNNNNNNNUGCCCUACCUCUUUCGCCUAUAAAUUCCCUAAAAUCCCAAAACCAACAGGGAGAGCCACGAAAAUACUUUUCUGCCGCCGCAAGCUUCCGUUUCCGCGACACGGAGGGCUUCUUCAUCAACACCAUUGCCUCUCCGAUGAUACGUGAGUAGUUCACCAUAGACCUUCGGGUCCAUAGCUAGUAUCUAGAUGGCUUCUUCUCUCUCUAGGAUCUUCAAUACAAAGUUCUCCAUGAUCUUCAUGGAGAUCUAUCCGAUGUAACUUUCUUUUGCGGUGUGUUUGUCGAGAUCCGAUGAAUUGUGGAUUUAUGAUCAGAUUAUCUAUGAAUAUUAUUUGAGUCUCCUUUGAUUUCUUAUAUGCAUGAUUUUGUAUCCUUGUAAUUCUCUUCGAGUUAUGGGUUUCGUUUGGCCAACUUGAUCNNNNNNNNNNNNNNNNNNNNNNNNNNNNNNNNNNNNNNNNNNNNNNNNNNNNNNNNNNNNNNNNNNNNNNNNNNNNNNNNNNNNNNNNNNNNNNNNNNNNNNNNNNNNNNNNNNNNNNNNNNNNNNNNNNNNNNNNNNNNNNNNNNNNNNNNNCGGUGUCCUCGCCUAGUGACAGAAGGGGUAGCGAGGCACGCAUCGUGUUGUUUCCAUCAAAGGUAAAAAGAUGGGGUUUAUAUCAUAUUGCAUGAAUUUAUCCCUCUACAUCAUGUCAUCUUGCUUAAGGCGUUACUCUGUUUGUUAUGAACUUAAUACACUAGAUGCAUGCUGGAUAGCGGUCGAUGUGUGGAGUAAUAGUAGUAGAUGCAGAAAGUAUCGGUCUACUUGUCUCGGAUGUGAUGCCUAUAUGUAUGAUCAUUCCCUUAGAUAUCGUCAUGACUUUGCGCGAUUCUAUCAAUUGCUCCACAGUAAUUCGUUCACCCACCGUAAUACUUGUUAUCAUGAGAGAAGCCUCUAGUGAACACUAUGGCCCCCGGGUCUAUUUNNNNNNNNNNNNNNNNNNNNNNNNNNNNNNNNNNNNNNNNNNNNNNNNNNNNNNNNNNNNNNNNNNNNNNNNNNNNNNNNNNNNNNNNNNNNNNNNNNNNAGCGGUGCCACGCCGAGGAACGACAAAUCUCGCCCACGAUGCGACGCAAUCACCACCACCCGGUCCUCCUUCCAGAUGGCAUCGCGCCCCGAAUAGAUAGAUAGAUAGAGUAGGUCAGACACACGCACAGUCACAGGAGAGAGAACGUGAGAAAAAUUAAAAAAUAGAAAAAGCAACGGGUCGCACGCACACCCACAUGGGACACGGCCCGGCCCGGCCCGGUCCCCCUACCCAAGCCGCAGGAGCAGCACUCUCACUCGCACCCGCACCGCCAGCCGUGAAGGAAAGAAACCGCACGACGGGGUGGCGUUUUUGUGGAUACCCCCCUGAAAGACCGGGCGUCGCGCGCACGCCCCCCUGCCCGGGCCAGCGCUAUAUAAGCGCGAGCCCGACGCGGCGUCGCUGCACAACACGCACCGCUUUUUGCACCACUCUUUUCCCCUCCCUCCCGUCUGCACGUUUCGCGCCCUCUUUCACGAUUCCGGUUACCUUCACCUGCACCCACCCACCGCCCACCCCCCUUCCAAGGGAAAGAAUACGGAGAAGGAACAAGGGAGAAAGCUCGUCUGCCGGCCGGCCAUGGAGAGCUCCUCAUCCUCCUCGUCUCUGCUGCUCAGCUCGUAUACCGGCGGCAGCGGCAAGAGGGGCAGGGAGGUCGACCUUGAGGGGCCGGAGGCGGAGGCUGCCAAGAGGAUGCGGCCCGAGGACCUGCUCGACCUGCUGGACGACGACACCGACGCCGCGGCGGCAGGCGACCUGGCCUCCGUCAUGCGGAGCCUGGAGAAGGAGAUAUGCGCCGGCGACCUAGCCCCGCCGCAGCCGGAGCUGGGGUUCCUGCUCGAGGCCUCGGACGACGAGCUCGGCCUCCCGCCGGCCGCGGGGGCGUCGUCCUCGUCGGACGACGCCGGGGGNNNNNNNNNNNNNNNNNNNNNNNNNNNNNNNNNNNNNNNNNNNNNNNNNNNNNNNNNNNNNNNNNNNNNNNNNNNNNNNNNNNNNNNNNNNNNNNNNNNNNNNNNNNNNNNNNNNNNNNNNNNNNNNNNNNCCGCUGCCGUCUUCGGGGACCAGAUCUGGGGCUUCGAGGACGAGAUCGAUGGCGCGUAUGCCUUUGGCGGCAUCGCCUCCUCGCCGGAGGCUGCGGCGGCGGCNNNNNNNNNNNNNNNNNNNNNNNNNNNNNNNNNNNNNNNNNNNNNNNNNNNNNNNNNNNNNNNNNNNNNNNNNNNNNNNNNNNNNNNNNNNNNNNNNNNNAUCUUUUGAGCUAUUCCUAGAAGUGUCACAAACAGCCUUAGAGUUCGUACUAGAAUAACACUCAUGAUACAUAUCAGCCCUAGAGUUUGAAUAUAGGGAGGUGUCGCACCUGAGAGCUCCUAUGCACUUUCGCAACAUCACUAGUUGUCCGCUACUUCCUUUUUUAUAAGGCGUGUUCAGUUUUCAAGUCCAGUAUUUCCAGNCGCUGGCCUAAACUAAGCUCUGUCGUUGAGCAUUUUCAUCUUUGACAAAAUUUAUAGAAAACAUCAUUAACAAUACCAAAUCAGUACCAUUUGAUACAUCAUGAAAUAUAUUUCAUGUCUUACUUAUUUUAUGGCAUAAGUACCAAUGGUUUUUCUAUAAAUUUGACCAAAGUUUGAACGAAUGAAUUCCAAUAUAUCGAUACACCCUUAUAAAAAUGAAUGGAGGUAGUACGAAAACCUUUUCCUGGCUAAAUCGUGUAGUAAAUGACAGAAGGUUCCGCAGAUAUACAUUUCGUACAUUUCAAAUUGAAACCUCUAGCGUAACGGGCCAUCAAGACCCGUAACUGGAAAUAUAUCCGUCUUCUAAUGUGCACCGAGAUCAUGAGCCGCUGGCUACACUCACUCGACAGGCUUCGUCCAGUCGGUCUGAUCCAUGAACAGUAUGAGAUAAAACUUAGCCUACUGGAAAUACAUUGAAGUUUUUUUAUGACACCCGUCCGGAGUCCGGAGUGUCAGCUCGAUCCAUGGAGGCGGAUUGUCAGUUGCCCUCCAUUUCCAAUAUCAUUUAGCCUCAGCUAGCAUUGUGUACCCAGUUGUGGCAACAAUGGCCCUGUUUGGAUCCAUAGGCUAGAGUUAGUUUGAGCUAGUUGAGGCUCAAAUAGCACUAAAGUAUCCAAACAUGAGGGUUAGAUUGGAGCUAGUUGCAUCUAAUCCACCAAAAAACUAGCCCACCCAAGAGGUGCUAAUUGGAGCUGGUUUUCAUGGGGCCCACUAAAAGUCACUUUUCUCUCUCUAUCCACGAGGUAAUUUUUUCGAAAAGGAGGCAUCGCCCCAGCCUCUGCAUCGAGUGAUGCAUGAAGCCCUUUAUUAAGAAGCGUAAUAAUCCAAAGCAAGUACAAAGUGUAACGGUAAUCCUUAAGCAGAAAUUACAAGGCGAUCAACGCCCAAAAGAAAAGAUAGAAAUAGGUGAAGUUGGCUAACUCCCUAUUCUAUCAGCAUGUCGCCAUCCAUAUUGGCUGAAGAUAGCCUGAGCUACCAUCUCCCAUCGGGCACACCCAGUAACCAAAGGCUCCCUGGUUUCCACAGGAGUGAGUAAGGACCACAUGCGGAUCGAGGCGGUAGUCCUAAAGAUGACCUACAAAAAAUUAAUACAAUGUUGUCUGUUAAAAACUAGGUCAUUCCUACAGUUCCAAAUAGACCACAAAAGUGCGGAUGUUCCAACUCGAAUUAGUUUGGCUAACCAAACAUUAACCCCAUCCAGCCAUGUCCCAAAUAACAUGUUAAUGCUGGUAGGCGGGGUGAUGUUAAAGGCAAUAUGGAUUGAGCGUCAUAAAAGUUUAGCCAUAGGGCAUUCUAGAAAGAGCUGCUUAAUUGUUUCAGACGACUGACAUAAGCUACACCUUCGAUUUCCCUUCCACUUUCGCUUGGCUAAGUUGUCCUUAGUUAAAACAACACCUUUGUGAACAAACCACAAAAAGAGUUUUAACUUAAGUGGCACUUUGACGUUCCAAAUAUGCGAAGAUUUUGGAAUAGGUGUAUUGUCAAUAAUAUGGUCAUACAUUGAUUUCACUCAGAAAGUACCAUUGGAGGUCAGUCUCGAAGUAAUUCGAUCAGGGACAUCGGUAAGACUAACAUCCAUUAGCCUUCUGACUAAAUGUAACCAUCUACCCCAUCUAUUGCCAACUAAGGAUCUUCGAAACUGGAUGUUAAGAGGAGUCUCACGUAACACUACCGCAACAGACGUCUCUCUGCGCUGGGCAAUAUUAUACAACUGCGGGUAUUGUAUAGCUAGUGGCACAUCCCCUAGCCAACUAUCCUCCCAGAAUCUAGUAGAUUCACCAUUACCUAUGAUGAAUUUAGUCCUAUUAAAAAAAGCCGUUUUAGUCCUCAUAAGACCUUUCCAAAAAGGUGAAUCUCCCGGUCUCAAAGUGACCUGAGCUAAGGUUUUUUGCUGCAAGUACUUGUUCGUCAGAAUUUGUACCCACAUACCUUCUGAUUCUCCAGAGAGCCUGAAAAGCCACUUGCUUAGCAGGCACCUGUUCUUAACCUCUAAAUUUUCAAUCCCCAACCCUCCCUGAUCCUUUGGCCUACAAAUAAUAUCCCAUCUAGCCAGCCUGUAAUUGGUCUUGAUCUUAUCACUCUGCCAGAAAAAUCGUGACCGGUAAAAGUCCAACCUUCUUCGCACCCCUACGGGUACUUCAAAAAAGGAUAGGAGGAACAUUGGCAUGCUUGUCAACACCGAGUUAACUAAAACCAAUCGUCCUCCAUAAGAUAGUAGCUUGCCUAUCCAACAGCUCAAUUUUUUCUCAAACCGAUCCUCUAUGCACUUCCACUCCUUAAUAGUUAAUUUUCGGUGGUGAAUAGGGAUCCCUAAGUACGUAAACGGCAACGUACCACCUUCACAACCAAAGAGUUGAUUAUAUGAGAGCUGUUCUGCUUUGGCUUCCCCAAAACAGAAGAGCUCACUUUUGUGGAAGUUAAUCUUCAGCCCAGAUAGCUGUUCGAAUAAGCAUAAAAUUAGCUUCAUAUUUCUGGCUUUUUUGAGAUCGUGUUCCAUGAAAAGGAUUGUGUCAUCCGCAUAUUGUAGGAUGGAGACCCCCCCCCCCAUCUACCAGGUGAGGCACUAAUCCCCGUACUAACCCUUUGUUAAUAGCCCUCCUGAUCAUUAGCGCUAACAUAUCUGCUACGAUGUUGAAUAAGAUAGGUGACAUAGGAUCUCCUUGCCUAAGUCCCUUGAGUGUCUGAAUGAAAUGACCGACAUCAUCAUUAACUUUAAUACCGACACUACCCUUUUGUAUAAAACAAUCGAUAUGUUUUCGCCAAAUCUCACCAAACCCCUUCAUACGGAGAGUUUGUUGCAAGAAAGACCAUUUGACCUUAUCAUAAGCUUUUUCGAAGUCUACCUUAAAAAGUACUCCGUCAAGCUUCUUGGAGUGCAAUUCGUGCAGGGUUUCAUGCAACACGACUACUCCUUCAAGAAUGUUCCGACCAAGCAUAAAGGCUGUCUGCGAAGAUUGCACCACAGAAUGUGCCAUCUUGGUUAGCCUAUCCGUUCCCACCUUUGUGAAAAUUUUGAAGCUAACAUUGACAGACAUAUGGGGCGAAAUUGUUCAAUACGCGAAGCACCCUCUUUCUUUGGUAGCAACGUAAUCGUACCAAAAUUAAGAUGAAAGAGUUGUAGGUGCCCAGAAAACAGAUCGUGAAACAUAGACAAGAGAUCAUCCUUAAAGAUAUGCCAACAUUUCUUAUAGAACUCAGCUGGGAACCCAUCUGGCCCCGGUGCUUUACCAUUCUUCAUACCCUCAAUCGCUAGUAACACCUCUUUCUCUAGGAAUGGUGCGGAAAGACUCUCGUUGUCGGACUGUCCGACUUGAGGAAUAUCCGCAAUCUGAUGCUCGUCCAUAGACACAAAACUAUGAGCCGGAGCACCAAACAACCGCUUAUAGUAGUUUGUGAUGUACAAUUUUAGAUUCUCAUGACCUACUAUUGUACCCUCAUCUUGUUCUAGUUGUAUUAUCCUCUUUUCCGAUGCUUGCCAUUGACAAUCAAGUGGAAAAAUUUUGUGUUGUCAUCCCCUUGGACAAUAGCCCUAACUUUAGCUCUAAGAGCCCAUUUCAUUUCCUCUUCUCGAAGAAGGAUCCGAACUCUUUGUUCAGCAUCAUACUUCAAAGCCCUCUCGUGUUCAUCUAGCAAGCGAGUUUCUGCCUGACGAUCUAGAGUGUCUAUGAAUUGGAGCAGUCUAUCUUGCUCGUCUUUAUAAACCCCAUAGAUAUUCUUAGCCCAACCUCUCAAGAAUUGUCUAAGAUGUCGAAUUUUGCUUUGCCAUCUAUCAACACUAGACUUCCCUUCCCCCACAUCCUUGUUCCAUUCCCUAGCAAUCAAGUCCAGAAACCCCUCACGUGUGAACCAACUGGAUUCAAAAGAGAAAGCAUCUUUUCCCCUUUGUGAGAGGCCUCACUCGAAUCUAGUAGGAGUGGGGUAUGGUCAGAUAUAGCCCUUUAAAGUGCACAAACCGUGACUAGCGGGAAUUUUUGUUCCUAGUCAACACUAGUAAGUACCCUGUCCAAUUUUUCGAAUGUUUGAUUAUGUAGAGAGUUAGCCCAAGUAUAUUUCCUCCCUGAGAGAUCAAUCUCCCGUAGGUUUAGGCUCUAUAAUUUUGUUGAACAUAAAGGGCCAUCUGCCAUCAAAGUUAUUAUUAUUAUUCUCAUCAGCUGUCCUGAUAAUAUUGAAAUCACCACCUACCACAAGUGGUAAGGUGUCAUCGCAAAUUCGAACUAAAUUAGCAAGAAAGGCGGGCUUUUGCUCUGUUUGUGCGGCCCCAUAAACCGCAACUAGAGCCCAUUGGAACCCAUCUUCCUUGGUUCUGAUUCGAAAUUUGACCGAAAACUCCCCGAGCACCACUUCGCGAACUUGAAGUGUAUGACAACGAACCCCAAGUAAGAUCCCUCCGUACCUUCCUCUUGGAGGAAAACAAUGCCAAUCAAAUUCAGCACCUCGUGAAAGAGAGUUGAGAAAUUGCGAUGUGAAAUUAUCCCGUCCAGUCUCCAUCAACGCGAUGAAGUCAAGACUAUGCUGUAAUGUUGUUUCCGCAAUGAACAGAAUUUUAGCCAAGUCUCUCAGAUCUCUGCUAUUCCAGAACAUUCCUUUCAUAUGUCAUCGUAGAAUUUUUUAGCAGUCUUGAAUUUCGCGCUCCUGCGUAUGGCAGAAACCGAAUACACCCUCCGCUUAUAAGUACGUUUAGGCUUUUCAAUAGCAUGCUCCUUGUCACGCCCAAGAUGCGACCCUAUCCUCAAUUUGGCACGGGGGCCUCGUGAGGGAUAGAAGCGCAUCUCGUCGUGUCGCAAGAAUGGAUAUCGUUACAAGUACAUGUACUGAAAAGAAGAGAUAUAAAAAGAGUUGGCUUACACUCGCCACAAGCUACAUCAGAGUCACAUCAGUACAUUACAUAAUCAUCAAGAGUGAGAGAAGGGUCCGACUACGAACGAAAACAAACGACAAAAGAAGAACGACGUCCAUCCUUGCUAUCCCAGGCUGCCGGCCUGGAACCCAUCCUAGAUCGAUGAAGAAGAAGAAGAAGAAGAAGAAGAAGAAGAAGAAGAAGCAACUCCAAAUGGACAAUCAACGCGCUCGCGUCAAGUAACCUUUACAUGUACCUGCAACUGGUGUUGUAGUAAUCUGUGAGCCACAGGGGACUCAGCAAUCUCAUUUCCAAAGGUAUCAAGACUAGCAAACCUUAAUGGGUGAGGUAUGGUUAAGUGGUGAGGUUGCAGCAGCGGCUAAGCAUAUAUUUGGUGGCUAAACUUACGAGUACAAGAAAUGAGAGGGGGAAGAUCUACGCAUAACGGACGUGUCUACUGAUGAUCAAAUGAAUGAUCCUGAACACCUACCUACGUCAUACAUAACCCCACCAUGUCCUCGAUCGGAGAAAGAACUCAUGAGAGAGACAGUCACGGUUACGCACACAGUUGGCAAGUUUUAGUUAACGUAACUUCAAGUUAUCUAGAACCAGUGUUAAACAAAGCUUCCACGUUGCCACAUAACCGUGGGCACGGCUUUCCGAAAGAUUUAACCCUGCAGGGGUGCUCCAACUAGUCCAUCACAAAUUACAACAAGCCGCAUAGAAAUCCUCGAUCACGAAGCUCGCGAUCUCGUCGGAUUCCCUAGUGGAAAACCUCAACUCUGAGAUUACCCAAAGCAUCACCGGAAUCCCGAUGCACAAGAUAUUUCGUCAAAGGUAAAACUAAUCCAGCAAGGCCGCCCGACGUGUCGACGAUCCCGAUAGGAGUCGCGUACCUCGNNNNNNNNNNNNNNNNNNNNNNNNNNNNNNNNNNNNNNNNNNNNNNNNNNNNNNNNNNNNNNNNNNNNNNNNNNNNNNNNNNNNNNNNNNNNNNNNNNNNAUGCGCCCGCGGCACCGUCGAAACCCUGUUUUUAAAGUGCGUUUAAAACUUUCUCUGAUCGGGUUGAGAUUUGAUGUGCGGUCGUGAUUAGUUAUAGCGAGGCCGCCUGUCGAAUUUCGUCGCGAUCAGAGACCGUCUCAUACCCGAACGGUCGCCCGUAGCUGCAUCGUCUUCGGUUAUUCGUCGGACGUCUGUCGGUGUUUUAAAAUUCGUGCCGCGCCGCGUGUUCUCCCUCUCGUCUCCGGAUAUCCCCUCUACACAGCCGCGUACCCAUAGCCGCGUUCGGAAUCGUCCGAAUCCGACCCCGCGGUUGGAUCCGGAGCGCGAUUCCGGUUAACCGAGCCCCCCCCCGUUUGUCCUAUUUAUAGACCCCCAUGCAUUAUUCAGACAAACCCUCUCUCUCUCCCUCGGGANGGCCGCCGCCGGCGAGCCGCCCCUUGCAGGUCCUGGCCCGGACCGCCUCCUGUCCUCCCUUCCUCUCCUGCCUUCCCUCUCUCACCUCCUGUUCUCUUCCCCGCAUGAGCCAUGGUAGCCAUGCUCCCGAUCCCGAUCUCCUCGGCCGGCCUCCGCCACAUGCCGCCGCCGGCGGGAAUGAGAAGGGCUGCCUCAGACCCGCCCGGAUCUGCAACCUCCGGUCCCUCCGCCUUGGCCGGAGCCGUUCGCCGCGAGGAGCCGCCGCCGGCAGCCGCCAUGGAGCUCGGUCCCGUGCGGGAGAACGGGGACAACACGACGCCCAGCGCCAGGCGCGCCCCCGGCCCAGUCGACUCCCCGGGCCAGCUCCCGCAGCCGGCCCAGUCGCCCCGCUUGCCAGCGCCGGCCCAGGCCAGCUCGGCCCACUCCCGCGUCUGGCCGCCUCGCCUCUCCUCCGCCUGGGCCCCAAGCCCCCUGCGCCAGUCCGGCCCAAGUGGCCAGGUGAGCCAGUCCCUCGCCUGAGCCUUUCUUUUUUAUGUAGCGCCCCUGUUCGGCCCAAUAGUUAGUUAGGUUUAUUUUUCCUUUUCUCGGAAUUAGUUAUAUUUCACAGAAUAGACGUAUAAUAAAAUGCCCGUAGAUCUUUAUCCGUAAGUCGGAUCGAGGCAAGUUAUAUAUGUUUUUCGCGUAGUUUUACGCGUAGAUUACGUUUGUGUACCUCACGUAUUUGUUUGAUUUAGUUUAGCGGGUCAAAUGCUUUGUUUACCGUGCUGUCUAUAUAGUAUAGCCGUCGUAUUUAUUUUACGCGCUAGAAUGUACUGCCCGGAUGCCUUAGAUAAAUGCCCAUGUUUUAGGGAUCUUUAUUCCAUGUAUUUUAGAGCGGUCGUUGUUUUUUUACGUGUAGGGAUUUGCCGGUAGUUUAUUUUCCCGUAUCUAGGUGUUUAUCUCGCAUUUUUGUGUGGCAUUAUUUUGUGUUGCAAACCCCACAUAUUUUAUAUGAUUCCGGGGUAGAAAAAUCUCAUGGAUUUUUCUGUGCAAUUAGUUUUAGCUUUUGAGUAAGUUAGUUCGCGCGAUAUUUUGCCGUGAUGCCCUUUUGUUUAAUUCGUAGGAUUUAUUCCGUGCGACGUUUGACGGAAUUGUCAACUAGGAAGUUGAUCUUGGAUGUUUUGUUUAGCCUCUGGUAUUUUUAGUUGCAAUAGAAAUGCAUGUUUAGGUGUUGUUUGCUUGCUCUCAAGUUGCUAGAAAAAGUGCUGUUUUAGACGUGUUGAAAUAUUUCAAAGUCUGGAAUCUGUUAUUAUUUUAUUACUGUCUUGUCUUGCUUGCAUCUUGUGAUCUGUGGCUCUUUUGAGGUUGGUCCAAUGGAGUUAGUUGUACCCCUUAUGUUUCUCUAGCAUGCUGUAAAUUUUCAUGCCAUUUGGAGUCCUGUAGCUAUGAAUUUUGCUGCUGUCAAUAUACCUUCAGGCUGAAAACUGCACUUUCAUGAGGUGUAAUUUUCACUAAGUCUGAAAUAGUGUGUGAGAUGUCAUUUUGUGUCUUCUUUUCCUAGUGCUCCUUGCUGCCAUGCUAGUUGUUGUUAGAUGUUUGUUGUAGUGCUUUUUGCCCUCUUCCGUGCCAUGCCUUGCUUGAGCUUAUCGGAGUUGUGUAUCCGAAGUUGUGAGGCGUAGAAAAUGCUAUGUGGUUGAUUUUGACAGAUUGUAGUGAGUUCUUGUUAUGCUCGUAGUUUUCGAACCGGAGCUCCGUUUUGAUCGUGUCCUACAUGAAACUUGCUUAGAAUCUCGUGUAGUUUUAUUUUCUCUUGCUGGUUGUUUGUUUUGAAGUGCUCGUAGUCGUCGUUGCACACAUAUUGCAUUCAUGCCAUCAUAUCUUGCGGUGCUUGUAUCUUUUGAACCGUAGCUCCGUUGGAGAUGUUCUUUACGUGUAGAUUGCUUGCCUUGACGCGUAGAAUAACGUGAACCUAUUUGUUUUGCUGUUUAACAACUAAUUAAAGGUGUUAAUUCAGAUCUGGACAGAAUUGUAAAUUAACAUGUGAGGUCGUCUCGAAGAUACUAUAUGUCGUUUUCCGACCUCAUUUAAAAUGCCUAGAUAGGUAGUUUAUUUACGCUUCACCUCUUGCCAUGUUUAACCAAAUUUAAUAUUGCCGUGUAUUUAAUCGGGAGUGAACUAAAUAAUUAACGUGGAGUUUCGUCAAUAUGCAACUCGUGCAUAUUGAGCUUCACUUAAUGUGUAGUGUUUGAUUGUGUGAUUUGACAUGCCGUGACUUGCAUGUAUUCAGUAGCUCAUGCAUUAUUUGUGUUGUUGCACCGUGUGGUGAAUAUCAUGUGUUGAUGCUUGUUCCGGCUUUCCCCGUCUCGAUAGAGUUCCGCACGCGUGCCGGAUUGUGAGGACCAGUUCGACUACGUCUGUUCGUCUGCUUCACGGAGUCGUUCUUCUUCCAAGCGGGAUCUCAGGCAAGAUGACCAUUUCCCCAGAUACCAUUACUAUCAUUGCCAUGCUAGUUUAUCGCUUCUAUCGUUUAUGUCUCGUUGCCUACCACAUGUUAAAUAUCAGCCUCUCAACAAUGCCAUGAAACCGUCAACCUGUUCAACCUAGCAAACCACUGAUUGGCUAUGUUACUGCUUGCUUAACCUGUUGAUAGUGUUGCUAGUUGCAGGUGCAGUUGCUUCCAUGUGAAACAUGGGUUCCUCGUUAUAUCACCAUAUUUAAAUGCUAUUAAAUUUAAUGCACCUAUAUACUUGGUAAAAGGUGGAAGGCUCAGCCUUUCUAGCCUGGUGUUUUGUUCCACCUUUGCCCCCUUUAGUUGCCGGCUACCGGUGUUAUGUUCCAUAAUGAGCGCUCCUAACACGAUCGGGGUUGUUAUGGGGACCCCCUUGAUAAUUCGUUUUAGAUUAAAGCUGGACUAGCAAGGCCCAACUUUGGUACUACAUUUGCCUAACAACCUAAUAAUAAUGCAUAGGGACCCGCCGGCACUCGUGGACUAUUUUUAAUCAACCCCCGGGCCAGUGCUCCUCAUGAGUGUUGGUCCAAACCAGAGCAGCUUAUUAACGCUACCCGGGGCAACUCGACGUUUGGCGUGGUAACCAUAGCUCAUCCGUCGUGUCCUGAGAACGAGGUACGCGAAUCCUAUCGGGAUCGUCGACACGUCGGGCGGCCUUGCUGGAUUAGUUUUACCUUUGACGAGAUAUCUUGUGCAUCAGGAUUCCGGUGAUGCUUUGGGUAAUCUCAGAGUUGAGGUUUUCCACUAGGGAAUCCGACGAGAUCGCGAGCUUCGUGAUUGAGCAUUUCAUUGCGGCUUGUGGUAAUUUGUGAUGGACUAGUUGGAGCACCCCUACAGGGUUAAAUCUUUUCGGAAAGCCGUGCCCGCGGUUAUGUGGCAACGUGGAAACUUUGUUUAACACUGGUUCUAGAUAACUUGAAGUUAACUUAAUUAAAAUAUGCCAACUGUGUGCGUAACCGUGAUUGUCUCUUUUGUGAGUUCCUUCUCCGAUCGAGGACACGGUGGGGUUAUGUCUGACGUAGGUAGGUGUUCAGGAUCAUUCAUUUGAUCAUCUGUAAUUCACGUCCGCUAAGCGUACAUCUUCCCCCUCUUAAUUCUGGUACUCGUAAGUUAGCCACCAAAUAUAUGCUUAGCCGCUGCUGCAACCUCACCACUUAACCAUACCUCAUCCAUUAAGCUUUGCUAGUCUUGAUACCUUUGGAAAUGAGAUUGCUGAGUCCCCUGUGGCUCACAGAUUACUACAACACCAGUUGCAGGUACAGGUAAAGGUUAUUUGACGCGAGCGCGUUGAUUGUUCAUUUGGAGUUGCUUCUUCUUCUUCUUCUUCUUCUUCAUCGAUCUAGGAUGGGUUCCAGGCCGGCAUCCUGGGAUAGCAAGGAUGGACGUCGUUCUUCUUUUGUCGUUUGUUUUCGUCCGUAGUCGGACCCUGCUCUUACUCUUGAUGAUUAUGUAAUGUACUGAUGUGACUCUGAUGUAGCUUGUGGCAAGUGUAAGCCAACUCUUUAUAUAUCUCUUCUUUUCAGUACAUGUACUUGUAACGAUAUCCAUUCUUGCGACACGACGAGAUGCGCUUCUAUCCCUGACGAGACCCUCGUGCCAAAUUGAGGAUAGGGUCGCAUCUAGGGCGUGACAGCGGCAUCGCGCCGGCGGCCCUCGCCGGCAGGCACCGAGGCUCGGCCGCCUGAGGCUGCGGUGGCCGGCUCGGGGAACCUGCGCGGGGAGGCGGCGAGGCCCGCGGCGGCGCACGGGGCGGAGCAGAGAGGAGGCCGGCGCUGGGGCGAGAGGGGCGCGGCGACGGACAGGAGGCGCGGGGCUGCUGGCGCGGCGCUCGGGCAGGGGAGGCCAGGGCGCAGGGGUGUUGGGGCGGCAAAUCGGCGGCGGCAGGGCGGUGUGGUCGGCUUGGGGCUGACGGCGCGCAGAGGGAGGAGCGGCGCCAGGGCGAGCACCGCGGGGCACAGCGCUGGCACGGGAGGAGCACGUGGCUGCAGGGCACCGGGCGGUGAGGCGCGGGCUGGCGGCGCUNNNNNNNNNNNNNNNNNNNNNNNNNNNNNNNNNNNNNNNNNNNNNNNNNNNNNNNNNNNNNNNNNNNNNNNNNNNNNNNNNNNNNNNNNNNNNNNNNNNNCCCACCCACCCACCACCCCCCCCCCCCCGCGCCGACUCGUAAAUCUUAACGAAAAACGGAUGAACUAGUAUUGGAUGAACUAAUCUCCCGCGUAGUUUGAAUGUUAAUUUGCAGUUCUGUUUGCCGUGUCUCUUCUGCGCAACACGUUUCUGAAACUGUAACCCAGUUUGCACUGGACUGCAAAGUGAGUUUGCAGUUUCACAAACUGCAGGGUCUGCUAGAGAUGCUCUAAACUUCACUAGAAAGCCGUCAACUUCUCGUUCCACAAGAGUAGCAGUAUCUCACUCAAGCAGCAUGAUAGUGACCACAUACAUCUCAAAUAAACAGAACUACAUCCGGACAUUUCAUAUUAGAUUGUCAAAUCCAUACAAAAGCAUGCAUAUUAAAAAAAGUUGCGUACUAUGUAGAAACCUAACUAGUACUCCUCGUCGAAGAUUUCGAUGAUCUACGUGCCCUUCGACGGAUACAAGGACGACGGUUGCAGUUCUGCCCCCUCCGGCGGAUAAAUAUGCGGCAACUGUGGGUAUGACCCCUCCGUCUGCUCCGUUGCGGCCUCCUCCAUCGCUAUCUCCGUGUCAAGCUCGUCGAAGAGGGCGUCAGCCUCUACCUGCCUCUGUCGGAUGAGUCUGCGGUUGGCCCACACCUCGGCCUCAUCCUGGAUGGAAUCCUGGAUCGCUUGCUGCUCCGCCAUCUUCUCGGCUUGGGCAAUGGCGAACUCUACAUCCACCUCAUCAUGUUCAAGCCCAGAGUAGCAUGGUCCUCCUCGUCCUCCUCCGCCCCGUCAUUUUCCAUUGGCUCUGGCAGCCCCUCCUCCGUCUGAUCCUCCUCCUCCGACUUCGGCAAGUCCGAAGGCAGGACGGAGCAAUGCGGGCGGCAUGCCGAUCCUGGAUCUCCGCCUCGAUCUACACCCGUCGCUUCGGCGUGAAAAUAGCAUACGUGGUGAUCCUACGGCGGACCAUAUAGACGGUGAAGAGCAUGGGAGAGCGGGGAAGAUGAGGCGGACGGGCUCGGGUGGCGGCGGAGGGAGGGAGGAGGCAGAUGUGCUAGGGUUGGGGGACGCCGACCGGCUUAAAUAGCCAGCUAUGGCCUCGGGCGACGUGCCGGAGCGGCACGACACGACGUUCACACCGCGGCGACGGUCGACGUGUCCGUUGAACCGUCGGGUUUUCGGAUGAGUCUGGAUGGGAUCCUAUCAUUAGGCGCCCCUAUAUCCGUCACAAAGUUAGGCUGGAUAUGAGAGGUACUCGUCAUCCCGAGUGUUUGAUGCCGGUUUGAAAGGCACUGUUGGAUUGAAUUUUUGUGACCGGUUAAUGAUCAGCGGCCUACUCAGGUGUUUAAGAUGGAUAUGAGGAGUCCAACUGUAGAUGCUCUAACUUCAGGCCAAUUUUCUCAACGAAAUGAGGUAUUGAUCACGCGGAUGUAGGAGAGAUAGAUCGAUGCUGCGCAGGUACACGCGACACAUAGAGAAAAAAUAUCCUUUGCCAAAGUCUUUAUCCGAUGUUUAGCUGCUUGGUUUUGAAUCUUCCUUUCUUCUAGAUGCCAACAUUUUCUUUAUUAGCUUGUUCUUUCGCUUGCGUCUUACACGUUGAUCACUCGCCAGCGUGUAGGUUGCCGCCUAGACAGGGAUGUUCCUCUCGUCUGAAUGUCCUAGACCUUUCUUUUAAGGAGAAAAGACUACAAUUUGAUUUUAAGUUAAUGAAGCCCUUACGAUUAACCUUACAACACAACAAAGGAAAGGGAUCAGAAACAAGUCAGUAUAACAGUGAUGAGGAGCAACCACAAACCGCAUAAAACAACAAACCAAUACGAGUUGAAGAUUGAUGCGACACGUUGGGUCAUCCGAAUUAACGUCCAUGAUCUGUCAUGUAGAGCGAAGAAAGAUGCGGACUCAAAAAGGGAACAAAUGACAAGAGGGGCCAUGUCAUCACAAUCCCAAGGGCAGCAACCAUGGCAUCGCCAUCCAGCUCCAUCACCAAAAGGAGCCAAUGUUCCCUUGCCCUAGAUCGAGAGGGCGCCGCACCAUCGGAAAAUGAAGAUGCACAUGACCCUAGAGCCUGGAUGGAAACUAAUGCCUUGGUCCCACAUCAAGGAUUUUGAGCACAGACCGUGUGCAAACUUGCACAUCUUGAGAGAAGCAUCAUCGAGGCCACAAUAUCCUCAACGUGAAUAGAAGAAGUUGUUGUCCGCCACCACACUGCAACCACUACCAGUAGGCACCUUGCUCAUGAUACGAAGUGUCCAAGAAGCGAAUGACGCCACAACACCGACUUCGCCCGAUCUGAAGAUAGACCAAGGUUUUCACAUAGAGUAGAGAGGAGGAGGCCAUCCAUAAUGAGGCCUCCAAGGAGGGAAACGUUCCUCGAGAGCGUCGCUGUCAAAAGCACCGACACCGUCAAGCAAAGCUUUCUCCUGGGACCCGACCUUCUACCACCCAAAUUCCGCUAGCCACACCUCAACUGUGCCCCUGAAGGGACCAACGGAUUGGUGAGGAAGACAUGUAGAGGUGGAGAUGACACCCAAAACAGAGAAAGGUGCAACUUCGACGACAAUACCCAGGCAUGAACAUCUCCCACGCGAGCUGCCUUCUCGCUCGCACAAGCGAGGCACCACACGAGCACCUAGAAGACACCACCCACCGCGAGAGCACCUCCAAGCCCACAAUCCCGGAGUUGCCACUCGAGAGUGUGAAUAGCCAACCUUACAUGCCUUCCGUCGAGAAGACCAACCUUACAUGCCAUCCACCCAUGCUACCGCACCAACGCACAUCGAUAGCCUACAACUCCUCCACUAUCGGCGACCAUCUGCGUGACGGCUAGAUUCUUGAGGCUCAGAUUCACACGAAUUCACACGGACGUGUACCAGGUUGAGCACAAAUACGGUUAUCUAUGACUAUGGCCUAACGAGGUCGGACCAUGGAAGCUAGGAGGGAAGGAUGCCUGAAAGCCUCAACUCCGCCACUAGCCUGCCGACAUCGACGAUGAGGGGAGAUGGCAUGAGAGCUAGGUGGGAAGGAUGCAUGGAGGCCUCAACUCCGCCACGGGCAUGCCAACAUCGACGACGAGGGAAGAUGGCAUGGGAGCUAGAAGGGAAGGAUGCGUGGAGGCCUCAACUCCGCCACGGGCCUGCCGACAUCAACGGUUAAGGGCGCGGGAGAAAAACCAAAAGCUCUUUGAAAACAACCUAUACCCUUAAAAAACUUAAGAACAACUUUAGCCGGCCAACUCAAACGGACGUCCAUGUUAUCCGAGACUUGAGAACCUAGUUGUAUUUGUAUGCGCUUGGCGCCAUUGCCCAUUAUGCGUGCGUUGAUUCUCUUUGAGAGACGAACACAUCAACACAUGUUCCAUACACAAUUGCACACUUGCACUUGUCGACAAGGACAUGUUAAUUUAUGCGCUCGCCUCUAAAAAAAAUCAUUCCGGCCGCUCGCACGUCAUUCCAGUUUGUGCAGCCAGCCCAUCCUCUUCUAUUUAUAUGCUUGUUCGUUUUACAUCCGUUGCACUUGCACCCGAAGAGAAAAUUAAAGAAGAGAGAAGUUGCCCGUCGGCCAUGGAGAGCUCCUCCUCGUCUCUGUCGUUGAGCUCGUAUACCGGCAACAACAAGAGGGCCAGAGAGGCCGGCCAUGAAGCGGCCUCGUCCGCGGAGGCGGAGGCUGCCAAGAGGAUGCGGCCGGAGGACCUGCUGGACCUGCUCGACGACGACGCCGACGCCGCGGCGGCCGGCGACCUUGCCUCCGUCAUGCGGAGCCUGGAGGAGGAGAUAUGCUCCGGCGACGUGACCCCGCCGCAGCCGGAGCUCGGGUUCCUGCUCGAGGCCUCGGACGACGAGCUCGGCCUGCCGCCGGCCGCCGGGGCCUCCUCGUCGUCGGAUGAUGCCGGGGGCUGGGAGCCGGAGGAGCCCACCGGCGUCUUCGUGGACCAGAUAUGGGGCUUCGAGGAUGAGAUUGACGGCGUAUACGCCUUCGGCGGCGUCACCUCCUCGCCGGAGGCCGC
Molecule: long non-coding RNA, 97787 nt
Filed under: Hordeum vulgare
Lineage: Eukaryota; Viridiplantae; Streptophyta; Magnoliopsida; Poales; Poaceae
Description: long non-coding RNA (HVUL_LNC006194)
Source: RNAcentral